This 92039-nucleotide long non-coding RNA is filed under the name Vitis vinifera (wine grape). Its description in RNAcentral is "long non-coding RNA (VVIN_LNC006487)". Lineage: Eukaryota; Viridiplantae; Streptophyta; Magnoliopsida; Vitales; Vitaceae. The record is from RNAcentral.
UUAUGAUAAUGUAACCACACCCAGAGUAAUGAUUCAGUCCACCAACAGUUCUGUGCUGAAGGAGUUCAAGGAAAAGAAGAAGAAUUAUGAGCUUGUGUACAGAGUUGAUGAAAAUAUCCGUGAUGCCUCUGAUGCAACCAUUGAGGACAUCAAGAAAUUUGCCACUUCUGUGGUUAUCAGCAAAGAUUCCAUCUAUCCUGAGAACAAGGCAUUCAUCACUGGUGCUACGGAUAUUGUAUCAAGGCUCAAGAAGAAUAAUCUCCCCGUUUAUGUACAACGCUUUGAUAAUGAGUUUAUAUCUCAGGCAUGGGACUUCUUCUCAGAUGCAACCGUAGAAAUCAACUCAUUUGUCACGGGAGCUGGAAUUGAUGGUGUAAUCACAAGCUUCCCUCAAACAGCUGCUUCAUAUAGAAGUAAGAUUCCACCUUUCUAUUUAAAACUUAUUUUCAAAUUAUGCAAGACUAUUUGCUAUGGUUUUCAGAUUACCUGGCUUGAUUCCCGAGCAUCAUACAUCAUCAUUUUAUUUGGGUUAUGUUUACCUGUCACAAAUAUCUUAUUGUCGUUAUUUUAAAAAUCCUGCUUAAAUUCACGGUUCAUCCUUCAGUUAUGUACUAGGUGGGGUAUUACAUUAAAAUACUUGUUACUGUUCUAAGAAAUACAAAUGUGCUGUUUGCAAAACCAUGUUGCUCCAUAAUGAUAAUAGCAGUUGUAAUCUUUUGUUUAUUCAGUCAUUAAACCCUUUUAUUUUAAUUGUUUUGGUGUGGGUGAGGGAUUUAAAAUAAGUUCAGCUAUUCUAUACAGCUAUUCAUCUGUCCAAGACAUCCAACCUUGAAAUAAUACACAAAAUUUACUGUCUUUGGUUAUGCAGAGAACCGAUGCUUAAAGUACAAGAAUGCACCGUCAUACAUGAGUCCUGUUCAGCCUGGCAGUCUCAUGCAAGUCAUCACUAGCGACGACAUGCCACCUGCUCUGGCUCCAUACCCGGUGCUGACAGAGUCUGAUGUGGCUGAACCUCCACUACAAGAAGUCGCACCAGCUACCCCGACUUCCAGCACAAACGCUGGAACUACAGCACCUGCUCCCACCUCACCAAACGGGCAACCUAGAAUUGCCACAUGCAUUGUCCUGUCCAAUCUUGCUGUGCUCCUUGUGGCCGUUCUGCUGCUAUGAAAAGGUUACAAGAUCACAUGCAGUCAUUUUAGAUCACCAGUAUGUCCAUCCUCCACUGCCUGGAUCUUUUGCUGCCUCGUCACAGAGCUAAUUCAGAUUUUUCCCCUAAACCGCAAUGAUCAUCUUCUGGUCAUCAAUAUAUAUUGUAGGUAUGUUCAUUCUUCCUCAUGUAUUCUGAGUACUUAUUUUCUGAGAGACGUAUCCACGAAUGGAUUCUUUGUAGUCAGCAUUGUUUUCUGUUUCAUUAUUGUAAGAUUUGUCCAUGAUUGUUCUUUGGGUAUGUAUGAUGCAUGUAUGAUUUUAAAGUUAAAACCUCGACAGGAUCUCCCUACUGACUGAACAUGUGCAGUUGUUUAACCUCGUUGGAGAAUCUGCACGGAAAAAGCCAUUGGUUUUGAUUAAUCUUGAGCUUGCCCUGCAAAACUGGAUACUUUUUUUCUGCAUUUAAUCUCGAGCAUUGGUUAUGAAUUACGAUGUGUUUUCGGGAUUUCGUUACGCAAAUUUCAGGCGAGAAGCUUCUGGAAUUAGCACAAAAAACAUUGUGGAAAUGGAGUUAAUUUCGGAUACAUGUCAAUAAAAAGGUUACACGCCCAAUGCUCUCUCAUUGAAUUUCUGAUUUGAUGACAACAAUCUAUAUACGCUAUAGGCUUAAACAAAAUUUCACAAGACAAGGUUGUGAUCAGUGAAUAUGGAAAAAUUGAUGCCUUUUUCCUUCUUUUUUUUUUUUUUAUUAAAAGAAAACUGGUUUUUGGAAAUAAUUUCCAAAUUGAUUCGAUAUUUCUCUGUUUCAGAACACUCUUAUAUUAGUUUAUUAUUCAAAGAAUAUGGUUGAUUUGGACCACACACAUAUCCAAAGUUCUCCUUUAUUUUUGGUAGCAAAAUCGGUUACUGAAAAAUCACAAAAAAUAUAUAAAAAUAUAUGUAUUAUAGAUGCAUUCAUAAAUAAUGCAAAGUGCAUCAUCAAUGACUAUCACUUUCUCCCCCUUCUCGUCUUUUUCCGGUUUAAACUUCUUUUAUGAACGAACAGGUACUAAUGAAUAAGAAUAAAGAGGGUUGAUAGUGAACAAUAGAACUCCGAUUGACAUAUCGACUGCUCAUCCUAACUUGCUAUGGGACAAUGAAUCUGUGAAAUGUUAUACAUAAGAUUUAGCCAAAGCAUAGAUGGAAAUCGUAGACAUGAAAUUUUGUUAUACAAGAGGUCUAGAAAGCAGAAAGGAAGUCAACUUAUAAUGAAUGUGCAGAUAUUAUAUCAUGAGAUGGGAUAAGAAAGAGACUAUUAUAUUAUAUCUCAUGUUUGGUUGGUGAUACGAUGAGAAAAAUUCUCCCAUCACUUAUCCUAUCCUAUAUUCAACGGGAUAUUAUAACUUUUAUUUUAUUUUAUUUAUUUAUUUAUUUAUUUUUUAUCCCCUCUACAUAAGAUAUGUUAAUCCCGUUAGGAUAUGAAAUAUUCAUAUCUCAUAUAUCAUAUAUCAUAUAUAUAUUUUUUUUACAAAGCAUGAAUAUUGUUAAAUAUAAGAGAAAUUUCAAUUUUUUAAAUAGAAAAUAUUAAAAUGCGAUAUAAAUUUUAUUUUAAACAAUGAAAAUAAUAUAUAUAUCUUUUAUAUUAUUUUAUUUAUUCAUUUAACAAAUUAAAUAUAAACAUAAUAUAACAUAACAUAUCUAUUUGGAUAUGAUAAUUUAGAAUAUCAUGUUCAUAUGAUAUGAUUUCUUUUAAAUGGGAUAUGAUAUUUUUGGAUAUAUAUAUAUAUCAUCUCAUAUCUUGUCAACUAAACGUAGUAUAUAAGGAUUUGAAUAGAAAUAUAAUUAAAAUAGUUUUAUUUUUUAUUUUUUAUUUUUUAUUUUAUUGCAUUUAUAAAGCAUGAAUAUUCCGAAGGUAAUUAUGAGGAUCACUAUAAUUCAAGUUCCUAAGAUACUUCCAAUAGUUUUUCUCUUGAAAAUUCUUAAAGUAAAUGCAUUGAUGUUUAGAUCUCAUUCAUGUAAAUUAGAUUGUGCACAUCACGUAUAUCUUUCCAUCUUCCACACAUAUGCAAUCCACCAUGCUCUAAUCAAUAUGUUUGUCUUGUACUUGAUGUUGAAGUAUCCAUGAUUUAAUUAGUUGAAAAUUGAUUACAUCCAUAAACUAUUCUUCUUGCAAUUGAACUUUUAAUGAGCAUUUGUUAAACUCUUCAACUUUGGUAAUGUAAUGAGGGAUAAAAGUAGGUUGUAAGCAAAUUUAAUGUGAUUGAAACAACUAGUGGCAAAAAUAAAACAUUAUGAAAAAAGUUGUUUUUAUUUACCAAGCUUUUUACCAUGAAAAAAAAAAAUUAAUAUACAAUCUUUUGUCAAGUUUUUAAUAAUGAUGCAUGUAAUAUUUUAUCACAAAAAUUUUGGUACAUAAGUUAUGUAGUGACCAAUUUAGGACUUUGUACCUAGAAGUAUAUUUUACUAACAAGUUUAAUAUUUUGUCUCCAAAGUAUUGUCAACCGCCCUCCCUCUUUUUGUUUCUACUUCUUCUAAGGAAAUAUGGUAUAAAUUUUUUAUGUCAAAUUCGAUUUUUGAAAUAUCUUUUGAAAUUCUUCUUCUUCUUCCUUCAUUUCUUCCUUUGCCUCUUCUACGUCUUCUUCUUUUUUCUCCCUUCUUCCUUCGCAUUUUUUUUUAUCCCCAUCCUUACAAAAUGGUCAUCUACUCUUUAUUUUUUCUAUCACAUAUAAAAUAAAAAAAAAUUGAAGAUACAUAACAAAGAAAAAGAAAGAAGAGAACCUAAUCUUUUCUUACACCAACCUCAUUUUUCUUUUUUGUUGUCCACUAGUCCCCAACCCUUGUUAAACUAAUCAAUUUUCCUAAAAGUUUUAAACUUGUAGGGUUACUUGAAGGAUUUGAGUUUAAUAUUCAUAUCAUGCUCCUUAACACUCUCUCUCAUGUAUGGGUUUUCACGUGGAGAGAUAGAUAGAAUUUCGACUUAUAUCCAACAAAUUGCAAAUUUAGAUUUAUAUCCAACAAAACAAAUGAGGGAAAUGCAAAUUAUAGAGAGACAAUUCAAAUGCAAGACCUUCUACCAAGCCAAGCUCUAAUACCAUUUUGAAUAACUAAUUUUCCUAAAAGUUUAAACUUAUAGGAUUUGAGUUCAGUAUGCAUUUUGUGUUCCUUAACAACCUUAAUCAUACUUUCCUUUACUUCCUCCUCCACUAGCCUCAUUGUUUUUUUUUUCUUCAUGGUCAUAUACUUCUCCAAGAUCAUCAUCAUCAUCUUCAUGGUUUUUUUUUAUUCAUCAUCAUCUUCUUCUUAAAAAACAAAAUGCUCUUCUUCUUCUUCUUCUAAAAAAAUAAAAUAAAAUAAAAUAAAAUGAUCAUAUACUCUAUUUAAUUUUUUUUCUACUUUUUCUUCAUGGUCUUUUUAUUUUUCUUCUUCUCUAAACUUCUUCCUACAUGGAUGUCGUCUUCUACUUCAUGGUUUUCUUCUUUUAAUAAAAACAAAAUGGUUAUCUACUCCCUUUAUUUUUUUCUAUUUCUUUUUCUUCUUUAUUGUCUUUCAUUUUUUUUUUAAAAGAAAAAGAAAUGGUCAUCUUUAUUUAUUUACUUUUUCAUCAUCAUCCUCAUCAUCCUCAUCUUGUUGUUGUUCUUCUCAUUCUUCUCUUCUUCUUCUUUGUUUUCUUCUUCUCCUUCUCCUCUUCCUCCCUCUCCUCUAAACUUCUUCCUCCUCUUCUUUUUUGUAAUUGUCUCAUUCUUUUUCAUAGAAUUUUUUUCUCUCUUCUUCUUCAUGAUCAUGAUCUUCUUCUUCUUCUUCAUGAUCAUCUUCUUUUUAUUCAUGGUCUUUUUCUUCUUCUUCAUGAUCUUCAUCAUCAUCUUUUUUUUUUCAUAGUCUUCUUCUCCUCCUCCUUAUGAUCUUCUUCUUCAUCAUUUUCUGCUUGUUCAUGAUCAUGAGCAUCAUCAUCUUCUUCUUUAUGGUUGUCUUCUUCCUCUUCCUUGUUUUUCAUUGCUCCUAGGAGUUCUAAGGAGAUUCUUGGAUUUUUUUUUGAAGUUGCUUUAGAACCAUGGUUAUCUUAGGAAAUGAAGCAACUUUCACUUUGCUUUGAGUCAUUGGACCAAAACUUGCUUUAAUUCCAACCACUUUGAUUGGAUCCGAAUAGGUAGAGUUGAUUCCUUGAUGAUCACAUUUGUCUUCUUUUUAAGACUCCAUAUGGUGUAGUGUAGAUUUCUUAUAAGAAAGAGAUGAGAGACAGAGUUGUCUCACUAGGUGUGCUAGAAAUUUAUACACAUAAAUUUUCUCAAAUGAAAAAAUUGUGGACAAAAUUAUAAAUUUGAUAACAAGAGAAGACAAUCUCCAAUAUCCUUUUUGAUUCUUCUCACAAAGACAAAAACACAUUUUUAAGUGAUUUAGUACUGAUUUUGGAUCAAAAGAUAAUAAAUUAUGAAGUUUUCCUAUAAAAAGAAAUUUUCUAGUCUUCUUUUCUUCAAAAUAAAACUUUUGAAUCUUCUUGAAAAAAGAAAUCUUGAGUCUUCAAGGAAUUUCUUUAAAUUUUUUUCAAAUUUUCUUCGAUAUUUUGAAGUGUCAUUUGGAAUGAGAAGUAUUAACUAAAAUAAAUAAAUAAGAUAAUUAUCUUUAAAAAAAAUCAAAAAAUAAUAUCAAAAUAAAAUUCUCAUCCUGAAGUUCCUCUCAUACAUUAUUAUCUUUAAAAAAAUCAAAAGAUAAUAUCAAAAUAAAAUUUCCAACCUAAAGUUUCUCUAAAGUUUCUCUCAUUUGGAGGUGAAUGAGAAAGGUUGAAGAAAGUUUAGAAAGUUAAUUAAGAAAUUCUUUGAAGACUCAAGAUUUCUUAAAGAUUUCAAGAAAAUUCAUAAAUUUCUUAAAGAAAAGAAGACGGGAAGGUUUCUUUUUAUCAAAAGAUUUGAUAAUUUAUUGUUUGUUAAUGAAAUCCUUUUUCAUCCAUAAUUAACCACUAGAUUACUUAAAAUGAUGUUUUUAUCUUUGUAAGAAAUAUCAGAUGAUAUAUUUAUUUUUAUUGGAGAAAAUUUGUGUAUAUAAUAUUAUAUUCAAAAUAUUCAAAAAAAAAAAAAAAAAAAAAACAAGUCUCCAUCAUGAAAGAAUUGUAGCCAGCAUCAAAUAAUUGAGGAGGGUGUUGGCUGUUGCAACGGUAACUCCACAAUAUUAUAAUAUCCAAUUGAAAGUUGAACCAAAUUCUAUACUAUAAUAAUUCAAAAGGGUGGCUCAACAAACCAAAUUCAGGUUCCACCCUGGCUUUGUGCUUCGAACGUCAAGUGCAUCUCGAGUGUUCAUGAUCCUACUCACCUAUGAAAAUAUGGAGCACGGAAUUUUCUUGAGAAUUUUUUUAAAAAAAGAAAAUAAUAGAAGACAGAAAGAGAGAGUGUUACCGUAUCAAUCAAAGCCAUCCGAAAGUCAAUUUCUCGUCAUUCUAAAAGAGCAAAAAUAUGAUGGGGAACGUAUGAGAAGUAUGAGGUCUAUUUAUAGGCUCAGUAUUUUUCAAAUGACAUUGCCACUUAGGAUUUUUAAUUUUAAUUUUCACUCAAUAAAAUAAAAUUUGAUACUUCAAAUCCUUUUAGGAUUAAGAUUUCUAAUUAUCAAUUAAAAUUUUUUAAAAAUAAAAUAAAAUCAACAUAAAUAAAUAAAACAAAAUUUAAAAAGAAAUUUAAUUGGCUUAAAUUUUUGGUCUAUAAAAUUUCAUACUUCAAAUUCUUUUAGCACUAGGAUUUCUAAUUGUGAAUUAAAUGGGAGCAUUUGAAGAGACACGAAAUUUUAUAUACUGAUUACCACAUGUUAAUAAGUGACAUGUCUUAGUGGGUUCCACAUAAACCAAUUUGAUAAAGAAAAUGAUAAACCAAUUAAUUGUCAUAAUGCAAAAUAAAUUAAGCCUAUAAAUAUAUUAUUCCUCUCAUUUCAAAGGAUACUUGAAAGAUUGAAAAAAAAGAAGAAGAAAUUUUUGAAGAUUUCUUGUAGAAAUUAAAGAUUCAAAGUAUUUUUGUUUUCAUUUUAUGAAAAUUGAAAGAAUUCACUAGAAAAUUGGGUGUUCAUUUAUGAAAUCCAUUUUCAACGAAAUUAAGUAUUAAAUUGCUUAAAAUGACAUUUCUAAGAAGAGUUUAGAGGACAAAUUAGAAAUUGUCCUCUCAAAUGAAAAACAAAUCAAAUUUACAAUUUUGUCCAUAGUUUUUUUGUUGAAGAAAAUUUUGUGUAGCCAGGUUGAAAUGGGUAAUAAAAAUUUGGAUCAUUAUGAAAUGGGUAAGAAGUGUUAUGAGUGAUUAUUGAAUGGGUAAUGGGUAGUUGGUUGAAUUUUGAAUGAAUGGAUAUUGGUCCCAUUAAGUUUAUAUGAAAUUUAUAGAAAUAAAUGAGAUGCCUAUGUGGGUAUAAAUUGGAAAUGGAUAUGAAUGUUUUCUUAAUUUACUUACCUUCAUGUAUGUUGAUUCAAAUAAAAAUAAAAUUGAUAAGUCUUUAUUUAUUAUAAAUAUUUAUGGUAGUUUAUGGAUGAUAAUACUAUUACCAUGUUUGUGCUGUUACUUGAUAUUAUUCUUUAGCAUAUAAAUAAGGGUUUAUGAAUUAAUAAAGAGAGUCUUAACAAUUAAGCUAUUCUCUCUUUUUAUUUAUUUUUCUUCUAUUUUAAUUUUCACAUUUAUUUUACAUUAUUAUUAUUAUUAUUAUUAUUAUUCACCGUAAGAAAUAGGAUUUUAGGUGACGGUUGCCAACCGUCAACAAAUCUUAUUAAUCCGUGACUAAAACCUAUUGUCACGGUCUUAUGCAUCUGUGACUGAGCAUCACAAUAGGAGGCACAUGUAAAGGUAUUGGUCACGGUUUCCUAAGUGAUCGUGACCAUAUGAUUUUUUUUUUGAAAACCUAUAGUCAUGGUCAAGUAAUAAACCGUGACUAAAUGUACACUUAUAGUCACGGGUUAGUUAGCAACCGCGACUAUAUGUAAGCUUAUGGUUUUGAUCAAGUAAGUUACCAUGACUAAAUGUCAGCUUGAUGGAUUAAAUGUAAACUUAUGGUCAUGGGUACAUGAGUGACCAAAACUAUAUGAAAUCUUAGGGUCACGAUUAAUUAAGUGAUUGUAACCAAAGAUGAAAAUUUCUGUUUUUUUUGACGAAAUUUCGACAAAAUUUCGUUUUUUGGUCGGCGAUGAAAUGAAAGAGGAGGGUGAAAUGUCGACGGUAGAAAUAUCCAUAAAUUUCGCCAAAAAUUGGAGAAAUUUCGGUAAAAAGAGAAAUUUCGACGAUUUUGUGAAAAAAUCGCCUCCAGUUGGAAAAUUUCGGAGAAAAAUCGUUUUGUUUCGUUUUAUUUCAGAGAUUUUUCGUAGAUUUUGUGAAAAAAGAUUUGUACCUCUAACACCAGAAUAUGAACGGACGAGUUAAUGGUGGGACCAUCGGCGGUGUGGUCAAGUUACACAGCCACGACUCAUACGGUGGUGUUAGGGCUUGGAGGAGGGUUAGGGCAGGUGAAGAGUGGUUGAUUUCGUGGCAGAGAGAGAAUUGAGGCGAUGGGUCCGACGAGUAGCGACGAUGAUGUUGGAGCCGGCUUUGGCGAGGUCGAGAUAGAAGUCGCGGUCGAGGGCAGAGGAAGCGCCGGUGACCAUGACCACCUUGCCUUCUAGGCGGUGCCAUGGCUAGAGGUGGUUGGAGACUUUGUUCACCAUUGGGUCUCUGGCAUCCAUUAAAAGAAAUAAACCUUUUCAUUAUGAUAUUUUUUUUCUAUUACCUAUUUUUAGAAUAUUGUCUUUUUUUAAUAUGCCUGAAUAAAGGAAUAAAUAUUUUUUUAUUGGAUCUUUUUAUAAUUUAUUAAAAAAAAUUACUCUUCUAAUAUUUAUUAAUUUUCGAUAUUAGAAGAGCAAUUAUUUCUAAAUGUAAUAUAUUUAGAUAAAAGAAAAAAAUUACAUUUUUCUUGAAAUUUUUUUUAAUAUAUUCCAAAAUUAUUAAAAGAUUGUUAUUUUUUAUUUUUUAUUUUAUAUGUUAAUAACUUAUUAGGAAGAUUGUUAUUAUUUUCGUUUAUAGUCUAGAAUGAAGGGAUUUAAAUGAAAAAGGAAAUAAUGGAUUUGGAGUAGAGGGAAUUUUUAGAAGGAAAGAAUUUUAAAGGAUUUGAUGGGAUACUUUUGAAGUUUUUAAUUUAUGAGAUUUUAAUUUUAUUAAAGUAAACUUUCUUUUUUUCAAUGUUGACUUAUUACUCUUACCUUUUCUUUUUAAAUUUAAAUUAAUAUAUACAUUUUUGUCUUUUGCACUUACAUACUAUUUCUGGCAUUUUUUUUUUUUUGGAACUUCUGUGGAAUUUUUAAUGAUAGAAUCUUCUUGAAUAAAUUAUUUUAAAUAUGUAUGAGGUUUAUUUUCUUUCUUUUUUCAAUAUAAUAGAUGCCCAAAUAGAGUAGAAGGAAAAAAGAAUUUGCUACAAUAAUUAAUGUAUUUUUUUAGUAUUUUUAUUAGAAUAAAUAAUUGUCCAACUUGAGUGAAUUUCCAAUUUUAAUCUCACUUAUAUCAUUGUAGUUGUUAUCUAUUUUUAUAUCAAGUCUUUCAUGAAGCUUGAUAAUGAGUGUACAAUUAUAAAAUUCACGUUUCUUCUCGACCAACAUGAUAUAAUUACAUUUAAUAUCGUAAAUUAUAUAAUACAUAUAUCAAAUUCUUCAACAAAACAACUUUAAAUUGUCUAUUAUAUUUCUAAUUACAUUGCUAUGAGGUUUUUCUUACAUUUCCAUGAGUUUUGAUCAAAUUUUGGCAUACCGAAAUUUUUUUCCAAAAUAUCUGCUGAUAUUUCUCCGAUAUAUCCAUAAAAUCAAGUUACCGAUAUAUCCGUAAUUACCGAUAUUUUCAUCCUUGAUUGUAACUAAAUGUAAUCUUAUGGUCACAAUCAAUUCCUUAGCUGUAACUAAACGUAGGUCUAUAGUCACAGUUAUUUAAGUGACCGUAACUAAAUAUAAUCUUAUGGUCACAGUCAAUUCGUUAAUCAUGAGUACAUGUAGGUCCAUGGUCAUGGUUAAUUAAGUGACCAUAACUAAAUGUUAGGUCUAUGGUCGCGAUUAAUUAAGUGACUAUGACAAAAUGUACACUUAUGGUCACAACUGGUAAAGAUCAUGACUAAAAUUAAUCAUAUGAUGUCUUCUAGAUCACUAAAUUUUGGUCAUGGUUCAUUAUGGAUUGUGACUAAAAGUAGACUUAUGGUCACAAGUUUUUAAUGGCCGUGACUAAAAUUUGUCAUAUUUAGACAUUGGUAUUUAUAAAUUCAGAUUUUCCAAAUCUGUUAUAAACAUGAACAAACUCAUUUUAGACUUGUAUAUGCAAUUAAAAAAUUAAAACAAUUUCAAAAUUUCAAUAUAGUACAAUAUAUUACAAUCAAUUAUCUUAAAAAAUUAAUAAUUUUUGAAAAUAAUUUAAAAAAAUUAAGGUAGCAAAUCAUUUUUACUAUAUCAAAUUUAAAAUUUUUUAGAACUAAUUUUUAAGAACAUAAAAUAAAUUCAUAGUUUUAUAAAAGAAUUCUUACAUUUAAUAUAUAAUUAAUUAUUGUUUGUUUAUAAUAAAAAUAGAAAAUAUAUGCAAAUUAUGAUUCGAGGUGAAUGUGUGGUGUGGACUCCUAUACAUAUCAUGAUUCCAAAUCACAUUCCAAUUAAAAAAAACAAGACAAAAAUAACAAAUCAAUUUAUGUAUUAUUUUUUCCAUAAAAAUAAUACUUAAUUAUGAAAAUUAAUACUUAUUUUUCCUCAUAUAUCAUUAUAAAAAUUCUUUGGCUGUCUUAUGUUUACUUCAAACUAAAAUUAUUUAUCUUCAAUUAUUGAAAAAAUAAAAAAAUAAAGGAAAAGGAUAUUGAGUCAAAUAUGCAUGUUUCAUAUUAUUUUUUAUUUCUUAAGUAGUUACUGAAAAGUUAUAGGAAAAUGAUAGAAUAGGUUUUCAAACAUUGUAGAUUUUCACCCAUUUUCCUAUUUUUUUCUAGGCAACCAAACAAUGGAAGAUAUAAGGUUAAAUGAGAAUAAAAUCAAAAUGGUGAAGGAGGUUAUUGUCAAAACAUUUCCAUUUGAGACAAACCCAUAAUCAUUUCCACAAACACUCACAACAUAUAUCAUUUUCAAUUUUUCUAAAAGCACCAACUAAGAAAUAAACCCAAUAACAAUGGAAUCUCAAACCUAAUAACAAACAUUUCCAAAAUACCAACUAAAAAAAAAAAAAAAAAAAUCCAAACCUCACCAAAACCUAGAAAAAAAAUUAUUUUUAAGGGAGUUUAUUGGAGGUGACUUUAGCUUUACCGACCAUAGGGGCUUCUUUGGCAUGACUUCCUCUAAGCAAUGGCGACUGUGGGUAGGUUUUGUGGGGAAGAAAUGGUGCCUUGUUUUUGUAUGGCCGUGGGUUUUGGGGAGGGAGAAAGAAUGGGUUUUGUUUUGUUUCGUUGGGUACAACUAUUAAUGAGUUAUGGAAAGAAAUCAAGUGUAAAAUAUUUUGAAAGUAUUAAUAAUAUAAAGGCUUUAUAAAUGAAAUGUAUUUUAAAUAUUCAUGGUUAAAAUGUUUUACUAAAAUGUAACUAGAACUAUUAAUUUUGAAAGUUCAAAAAUUUUAUAUUGGAAGUUAUUUUCAAAGUGUUAUUUUAAAAUUUUUAUUAAGUUUUAUCAAGUUUUUCAAGUUUUAAAAUUAUCAAGUUUUAAAUUUAAAAAUUUUAUAUUAGAAAUUUAUCAAGUUUUAUAUUUUAAAAUUUUUUAUUUUCGAAGUAUUAUUUUAAAAAUUUUAUCAAGUUUUAUCAAACCUAUCAAGUUUAAAAAUUUUAUAUUAGAAAUUUAUCAAGUUCUAUAUAUUAAGAUUUUAAUAGUUAACUAAAACAGUAUUUUUGUUACAUGGUAAAUUUAAGUUUACUAAAAAAAAAGUAACUACAUAGAGAGAUAAAUUUGAAUUGAAUUACUAUAAAUUGAUAAAUAAUAUUAAUGAUGAUAAAAUUUAAUAGAAUUUUCUCAUAAUAACUGGUCUUAUUAUCAUCAUAAUUAAAAAAAACAUAUCAAUUGAAUAUCAAAUUCUUAAUGUCUUUAUAUAAAACCUAUUAUUAAUAAUCAUACAAUAAGAAAAAUAGGUACUUUAUAUAAAACCUAUUAUUAACAAUAUAAAACCUAUUAUCAUUAACCCUAUUAUUAAUAAACCUGUUAUGAAGAUUAUUUUGAUCUUAAUUGUUAAUAGUAAAAUUUAGUUAUCACUUUUGUUGGUACUUUAAAUACAAUAAGAAUUAUUAAUCAUAUAUAAAAUUAAAAUUAUUUUUUAAUUUGCUGACUCAUUUAUAUUUAAACUUUUUAUCAGAUAAUAUCAAAUUGAACCAUCAUAUUUUUAAACUAAUAUAUUCAACUUUAUUUUACUUCUUAUUAAAACAUUAAUCAUUACAAGGAAAUUAAAUAACUUUAACUAAAGAAAAAUAGGUAACACACCAAUUUGUUUCUUAACUUAAAAAUAUAAUAAUAUAACUUUGAACUUUUUAUAAUUAAUAACAACUAUUAUUAUUACUAUUAAUGAUAAUUUCUAUGAUAUAUAUAUAUAUAUAUAUAUAUAUAUAUAUAUAUAAGAUUUUCUAAAAAAUUAUAAUAGGUAACCCAAAAAUCAUUUAAAAUAAAUAAUAUACUUUGGUCACGAUUGUGUGAACCUCGUGACCAUAGGUUUGAAAUAUUUAAAACAAACAUUUGUGCAGUUGGUCACGGUCAAAUGUGAAAUUUGUGACUAUAGAUUAUCGUAUAGUCAUGGUCAAUCAAUGGCAUGACUAAAAGUCACAAAAAACUGUGAUUAAAACAUCAUUUUGUUACACUUUUUGUCAUGAAUAAUAAAAUUAUUGUGACUAAAAUUAUUGGCCCCAAAAUUUCCCUCCAUAAAUUUACAAAUAGUUACGGUUUCAAAUAUAUUCGUGACUAAAAUACCCUAUCAUCAAUCAUUUUAGUGACGGUUGAUAAAAUCAUCGUGACUAAACAUGUUUUUUUUCCCACCCUAUAUUGAUAAACACAUAUACAUAGUCACAAUUUUUGUCCUAGCCAUGACAAAAAAAUAUCUUUGGUCACGAUAUUUUGUGGCCGUGACUAAAGAUUCGUCAUUAAAAACCUAUUCUUUUGUAGUGAUUAGUAUUUAUAGUUACUUUAUUUUGAAUAUAUUUGAUAGAAAAAAUAAAUCUAUUUUUCCAUUAAAUCACCUCCAUUAUGUUCAUUCACUUGAAGUAAAAAAUGGUUCAUUUCAUCUUAAAGAAGAUAAUGAAUAACUAAAUGGUCCAAAAGUUCCAUAUCUUAGUAUAAUUGGUAUAUUGACUUAUUUGACAAAUUGUACAAGACCAUAUAUAACUUUUUUUUGUGAAUUUACCAGCAAGAUAUAAUUUUGCACCACCUUGAAAACAUUAGAAUGAGAUCAAACAAAUAUUGUGUUAUCACAUAUAUGGGUUUACUUUAUGUAAAAUGAGUGAAAUCAAAACUAUUUGGAUACGCAGAUUCCAACUGUCAUUCAGAUCCUCACAAGGUUAGGUCUCGAACCGUAUAUAUGUUUACUUGUGGUAGUACUACAAUAUUAUGGUGAUUAAUAGAACAAACAAUGGUAGCUACUUCUUCGAAUCAUCCACAAAUACUUGCAAUCCAUGAAACAAAUCGAAAAAAUAUGUGGUUGAGAUUCGAAAUCCAAUAUAUUUGAGAAUCAUGCGGACUAUCUUAUAUUAAAGAUAACUCAACAAUACUAUAUGAAGAUAAUGUUGUAUACAUCACAUAGAUUAAAAAAAUAUGCAUUAAAGGUGAUAGAAUUAAGCAUAUAUCACCCAAGUUCUUUUACAUUCAUCAGCUCCAAAAGAAUAUUGAAAUUAUUGUUCAAUGAGUAAGAUCAAAUGACAAUUUAGCAAACUUAUUCACAAAGGCAUUGCCAACUAUAAUACUCAAGAAACUCAUAUAUAAUACUGGAAUACGUUAACUAAAAAAUCUUCAUGCUGAACUAUUAGAGAAAGUACAAUCAUGUCAAUAUGAGAAGAACUAAUUAAUAAGAAUAUCACUACAUUGUACUCUUUUUCCCUUUGUUCAAGUUUUGUCUCAUUGAGUUUUACUGUCAAAGUUUUUAACAAGGCAAUCAUAGUAGUUUAAAAUAAUAUUAUACUCUUUUUUCUUCACUAAAGUUUUUCCCAUAAGGUUUUUCUUCGUAAGGUUUUAAUGAGACAUAUUCUAAAAAUGGUUGUCAUCCAAAGGAUAGUAUUAUAAAUAUUUAUGGUAGUUUGUGAAUGACAAUACUAUUGUCAUGUUUUUACUCUUACUAUAUUGGUAUUAUCCCUUAGCCUAUAAAUAAGGAUUUAUUCUAAAAGUAGUUGUCAUCCAAAGGGUGGUGUUAUAAAUAUUUAUGGCAGUUUGUGAAUGUCAACACUAUUACCAUGUUUUUGUUUUUACUAUAUCGGUAUUAUCCCUUAGCCUAUAAAUAAGGGUUUAUGAAUUAAUAAAGAGAACCUAACAAUUAAGCUAUUAUCUCUUUUUAUUUUUUCUUCUUCUUUUUUAAUUUUCACAUUUAUUUUACAACAUUAAUAUUAAUAUUAUUAUUAUUAUUAUUUAUAGUUGCUUUAUUUUGAGUAUAUUUGAUAGAAAAAAUAAAUUUAUUUUUGUUAAAAUUUCAUUAUUCAUGGUUGCAUUUUUAGUGUUAGAAAAAUACAUUUUAAGAUUUUAACAACAUUUAUUCUCAAACAAAUGUGUCAUCAAAUAAAUUCUUUUUAUUAUUUUCAUUUUUUAUUCAUUACAUAUUAAAAUGAUUUUCAUUUAGCAAGCUGUAAUUCCAAUGUUUUAUAGACCAAUUAUAAAAAAAAAAUAAAAAAUUGUAUUUUAAUAAGAAAUUGAUAUUUGUAUUGGGCAAUUGGUUAUAACCUCAAUAAUGAAUUGUAAGUGAUUGGAUCAUGAUUAAUUCAAAAGAAAGAGAGAGAGAGAGAGAGAGGCUAAUUUAUAAAAUUAAAAUUAUAUAAGAUUUUAAUAUGAUAAUAAUUUCCAUAAAAUUAAUUUUAAACUUUUUUUUAUACAAUUACAUAAGUGAUAUGAAUGUAAUUUGGUUAUUUUUAGGGUAAAGUAAUAUUAAGAAAUUAACAAGAAUUCAUAACAAGAAUUUAAUAGUGUUGAAUAUUAAAUUGUUUUUUUUGGUAAUAUUUUAGCAUUAAAAGAUAAAGAAAAACCAAUAUAUUACUUCAUACAUUCAGAAAAAGCUAAAUAUUUUAGCUUUUGCUAUAAAAAAUUUAUAAUAAAUCAUAAAAAAAUAGAAAAACAAACAAUCUAAGUUGAAAAGCAAAUGACUUUAAGCAAAAAACUAAAAAAAUAAAAAAACAUGAAAUGAUAGAUUGCAUUAUUACAUUAAUUAUUUUUUGUCAAAAUGCAUUAAUAACUUCCUAUUAUGAGAGUUCAAAUUCAUGCAACAUCAAAUUAUUUUAUGAUGUUAUAUGUAAAUAUAGGUUAAUGGUAAUAAAUGUUUUUAUUUUAUUUUAUUUUAUUUUUUUAUGGAAAGAAACUAAAAAAUAGAGUAUCUACCCAUUCGAUUGAAGGAAAGAUCUAAAUAAUCUUCAAAACCAAAUUUUACAACGUAUCUAGGAAAAAUCUGAUAUUCAAGUGAAAGACUCUAAAUUACAUAUAUCUUGUUUAAUUAAACAAUUUGUUGUUUUAUUUAUUUCUCUAUAAAUAACAAAUAAAAACAUUAAGGUCUUGAGUUAUCUUUUAAAUAUCUAUCACUACUUUGAUAACUCAUUAUUCUUAACAGCUAACACAUCAUUUCUAAAAGUAAUACAUGAUAAUAAAUGCUUUAACUUCUAUUUUAGGAUGUCCCAAAUUGACUUCCACAUCUUAUUAUUUUAUGAUAUUAUUAUGGGAAUAUAAACAUACUAAGAAAGAAUAGAAAAUAUUCAAAAUUAAACAUUUUCCAAAAACCCUCAAACUUAACGUAGGAAAUUUUGAGAAACAAGCCCCCGGAAUUACCAACUAAAAACCAAAAAAUUGAAUACAAGUAUCUAAAACAAAUAAGAAAUCUAAACAAGGAAAAAAUGUUUUUGAAAAAAUCUGUUUCACAAUUAUUAAAGUGCUUUUAGCCCAAAAAGUGUUUUUGAAAAAUAAGGGUGUUUGGCAAAAUUUAGAUAACACUUUAAAAAAUUUGAAAAAUUACUUGUAAUAUUGAAAAAUCACUUGUAGUAUAUUUUAGAGAAAAUUUGAUAGGUGAUUAUUUUAAAACUAUUUUUAGAGAAAACAUUUUGAGUAGAAACAUUGUCAAACAUAUUCUUAUAUUUAUUUGAGCAUAUGUUGUAGAUUUUGAUAAAUGUCAAAAUGAUAAGUGUUAUCUAAGCCAAUUUAUCCACUAAUUUGAGGUUGACUUCUAUGUCAUUCAACAAUAUUUUCUAAGCAAAAUUAAUUUUCAUAACCCCAUUUAGGAAUUUAAUUAUGUCAGGCAAUUCUUCUUAAUAUCUUAAAAUCAAGUAGUCGAUUGAAUAUAUUAUAGAAAAAAAAUAUGUUGUGAAUUGAAAAUUUAAUAUUUUUUAAAGAAAAAAAAUCAUAUAAUCACAUUGCAUUUUUGCUAUUAAUACUCCAUGUAUAUGAUAGAACAUCAUUUUAUGAGCCACAAAAAAAAAAAAAAAAAAACCCAGCAAAGGAGAAGAAAUGAGUUGGAGUUCAUCAGGUCUUCAAAGGCCUUCUUUGUUUAUGUUAUUAUUGGUAUUGAUUACUGGAGUUGAAAUCCAAAGCAAACAUUUCAAUGUAGAUAGUUUUGGCGCAGUUGGAGAUGGAAAAAACAAAAAACAACCAGAUAAUUUUAUGUAAUAUUUUAUAAUACAUUAGUAAGUGUGUAUUUGAAAAUAUUUUUAUUUGAGGUGUUUUUAAUUGAAAUUUAUUUACGUGUUUUCAAACACUAUAAAAUAAUUUUUAAAUUUUACAUAUAUAUUGUGGACAUGAGUUGUAUAAUCCCUACGUUACAAGCAUAACUGAAGGGAUCAAAUUACUACUCUAUAGGGUUAACUUUCCUUAGACAUUUCUAUACAAUUUUAGAUCAUGUAUGGGUUAUAUAUUAAGCUCCUUUGUAACCAUUUUUAAUAGAGCAAUUUGUGUAUACAAAUCCCAUAUAUACAAAUUAUUCCCUUUCUCGUCAAUAUGGUAUCAGAGCAGGUUUGUUUUUGCUCUUUGGUAUCAACUCCUUGAUUCUACCCAACCUCGACAACCUAACAACGAUGACAUACAAGGAAAGUAGAGAUUUUUCGCUUGAUCAAACCUGAGCCUUCGAUGAGUUGGAAGAAAUGAUCUUGCCACCGACGAGACUGUGAUAGAAGACGACUACGCAUCUGUGUCAUCCAUGUGACGACGACCCCUGAUUUUGUGCUGUUGAAGGUUUUGAGUUGACGACAACAAAGACAAACCGUUUCCUGAUUGCCAAAAUGGACAGAGCUGCCAGAGCUUCCCCUUCGAUGACGGCUUGUGGUGGUCGGCAAUUCCCAUGGAUUCUCCAAAAGCUGACUUAGUUCAGUUAGAUAAUUCAAUCGACUACGAAGCUAUAACCCCGACACCGCUGGCCACUAGAAUUCCAUUUCCCUGCGAUCUAACAACAACCCAGAAAAAAUCAGACUCUCAGACAGGAGGGUCUCCACCAACGACAACCUCUAUUUUAUCAUAACUCACCAUGAAGAUGGAUGAGGUGCUGAACAAGGCCCCGACCCCAACUGUAGUGGCGGAUACUGCCCUGAUCGGCAUAAAUCUUGAUGGAUCGAAUUAUGUACUAUGGUCCUAAGUUGUGGAGAUGUUUGUCUCCGAGAGAGACAAAUUAGGGUACAUUAAUGGUGAUUUACCCCAAUCGUUUCGACUGAUCCAUUAUUCUGAUGAUGGAGAACCAAAAACGCCGUCGUCAAAGGCUGGCUCAUCAACACCAUGGAUUCAUCCAUUGUUAGCACGUUAGCACGUUCAUCCGGUAUCCCACUGCGAAAGAAGUUUGGGACGCCAUCGCUAUCACUUUCUUCAACUUGAGUGACACUGCUCAAGUGUAUGAGCUUUGACGAUGGGUGUGUAGGCUACGACAAAAUGGUGGAUCUCUGGAGAAAUUUUAUAACAAGCUGCAAGGCUUGUGGAGGGAAAUAGAUUUUCGUCGACCAAACCCCAUGGAGUGCCCUAAGAAUGUGCAAUGGUACAUCGCAAUUCUCCAAGAGGAGAAGGUCUAUGUGUUUCUCGAUGGCCUUAAUGAUCAACUCGACCAAGUUAGGAGCACUAUGCUACAAAUGCAACCAUUUCCGACGAUUGAGCAAGCCUACGAGUGCAUCUGAUGGGAAAUGGUGUGACAGACAAUGAUGAGGAAUGGUUUUGAUGAAGGGAUGGGAGUUGGGUUGGCUUCCAAGGGGCUGAAAAUGAGCCCCCACCCAUUUGGAAAAGACAGAGUUCUAGUACUCAAUAAAUCUAAUCCCACUGGUCCAAAUUCAAAGCAAUGGAUAGAAGGCUUAAAGUGUUCCCACUGUGGAAAUUCCAAACACACAUGAGACACUUGAUUUAAGCUCCAUGGAUACCCAGACUGGUGCCAUGAGCUCCAGGCUAAAAAGAAAUGUAAUGGCACCAAUAUUGAGCCCAGUAUUGGUAAAAUGAUGGUAGUAGUACCAGAACCCCAACUGUCUCUAAUUCCUAUUGACUCUACCAACAACACGUCAGGUAUAACAUCUCUUGGAUUUACUAGAAGUAAUAAGUGCAACUUGUGGAUCCUGGAUUCCAGAGCCACGAAUUAUAUGACAUUUGAUGCACAAGACUUUUUUCAGCAUACAGUUCAUAGGAGAACUAGCAUUACGAAUGCUAAUGGCACUAUUUCAUCGGUACAAGGGGUUGAAACUGUGAUGCUAUCACCAACCCUGUCACUCUCCAAUACAUUAUUUGUGUCAUCCAUAUCUCAUAAAUUGCUUUCUGCCAGUCAACUUACUAAGGACUUAAAUUGUACAACACUAAUGUACCAUGAUUUUUGCCUUAUCUAGGAUAUUCUCACGAAGGAAAUUAUUGGGCAUGGUACUAAGAAGGGGAGAUCUACAAAAUGGAUGACUUCAAAAUGGGACAAACACAUCAUGUGGGACAGUCGGGUGAUUCAGGAAUAGAACAGAUCUGGCUUUGGCAUCGACGACUCGACCAUCCGUCAUUUGGAUAUUUAAAGCAUUUACUAUCUAGUUUAUUUUAUGAUUUCUCUAUCUCAGAUUUUCAAUGUGAAUCCUGUAUUUUGGCAAAAAGUCACUGGGUAAUUUAUCCUUUACAUAAGAAUAAGAGUGAUGUUUUUUUUAGCUUAAUUCAUUCUGAUGUGUGGGGACCAUCCUCAAAAUCUACUCUAUCGGGUUAUCACAGGUUUGUUCUCUUUGUUAAUGAUUGCACUCGAAUGAUGUGACUCUACCUACUGAAAAACAAAGAUGAGGCUUUUACUAUCUUCUGUUCUUUUCACACAAUGAUUUAGACCCAAUUUUCUGCCAAACUUAGAGUCAUUCGCUUUGAUAAUGACGGUGAAUACAUGAAUUAACAAUUCCAAGAGUACUUCCACCAGCAUGGGUUGAUACAUCAAACCUUGUGUCCUCAUACUCUAGAGCAAAAUGGUGUAGCAGAACGUAAGAGUCGCCAUAUUCUCAAGACCACAUGUGUCUUCCUAUUAGGUGUACAUGUACCUAGUUCUUAUUGGCCUGAUGUGGUUAUAACUGCCGUGCAUCUCAUCAAUCAAAUGCCAUCCUGGAUUAUGGGUUUCAAAACACCUCUACAAGCCUUAACCGCGAGUAUAUCAGUAUUUUCGGUUAUGACGCUUCUUCCCUAAACCUUUGGAUGCGUUGUUUACAUUCAUUUUCACCGUAACCAACGCACCAAACUCAACCCUUGUGCUCAUCGUUAUCUCUUUCUAGGCUAUGCCACCAAUCAAAAAGGUCACCGGUGCUAUGAUCCAACAAACAAGCGGCUCUAUGUUACUAUGGAUGUCACCUUCCUCGAGUCUGAGAUGUUCUAUCAUCCAUCUAAUUCUUCUCUUAAGGGGAAGACACACGAUGAAGAGUUGAAUUGGUUCAAGAACAUCCUAGACAUCCCACUAGCUACAAAGCCACCAAUGUUGAUGGGUAUGGAACAGACUAUAGAGCUACCAAUGCCGACUACUGAGACACUGACUUCGAUCGCUAAGACACUCCCUCAUUCUACAAUACUUCAUGACCCCAACUUUUGAGAAUAUUCCUAAAGAGAUUCCUGAGGUAAGUUCUCAUCUUGUCACGAAACAUUUAACUGACGAUGGUUAUCAAUUACCUCUCAGGCACAAUUGUGGCAAACCACCAGAACAUUACUCUCCAGAUAUUGAGACACACAGAUCAAAGUACCCGAUUGCCAAUUACAUCUCAACAGAGAAGCUCUCAGAACCUUUAAAGAGCUUUUCUAAUGCAUUAUCGACGCAUCACAUUUCUACAAGCGUAGAGGAGGCUCUACAAGACCCUAAGUGGGUCUAAGCGAUGAAGGAAGAAAUGAAAGCAUUGUUGAAAAACAAAACGUGGAUUCUUGUUUCUUUACUAGAAGGCCACAAGAUAGUGGGGUGCAAAUGGGUAUUCUCCAUCAAAUACAAGGCGGAUGGGUCGAUUGAGAGCUACAAAGCGAGACUUGUAGUGAAAGGAUAUACGCAGACUUACGAAAUUGACUAUAUGGAGACCUUCUCACCUGUAGCCAAGCUGAACACUGUAAGAGUCCUUCUAUCCCUUACAGCGAACCUUGAUUGGUUGCUAUUCCAAUUUGAUGUAAAGAAUGUGUUCCUCCACAGUGACCUCGAUGAAGAAAUUUAUAUGGAUAUUCCUCUAUGGGUACAUUGAAACAUCUGGCAAGAUGGUGUGUAAACUGCAGUACACCUUGUAUGGCUUGAAACAGUCUCCAUGAGCUUGGUUUGGAUGCCUCGGCCUAGCAAUGAGAAAGUAUGGGUUUCAACAGAGCAAUUCUGAUCACACUCUAUUUCUAAAAUGUCAACAAGGUAAGGUAACAACACUAAUAGUGUAUGUAGAUGAUAUGAUCAUAACAGGAAAUGAUACCAAGGAAGUUGCGAAACUUCAAAAACAGUUGGCAGCAGAGUUUGGGUGGGUUGAAAUAUUUUCUAGGAAUUGAGGUGGCUCAAUCUAAACGAGGUAUCUUUCUUUCGCAACGAAAGUAUACUCUCGAUCUAUUAUCAAAAGUUGGAUUGCUAGACUAUAAACCAGCAGAUGUUCCAAUACAACAGAAUCACAAGCUUGGAGAAUACCCCAGCCAGAUCCCCAUUGAUAGAGGUAGAUAUCAGAGAUUGGUUGGAAAACUAAUUUAUCUUUCACAUACCCGACCUGAUAUUGCUUAUGUGGUCAAUGUAGUGAGUCGGUUCAUGCAUUGCCCUAAUGAAGAUCAUAUGAAUGUAGUGACUCAAAUUUUGAGAUAUCUUAAGAGAACCCUAAGGAAGGGAAUUAUGUUCCCAAAGAAUGGACACUUGGAAAUUACGGGGUAUACCGACGCUGACUGGCCAGGAAAUAUCUCCGACAGGAAAUCCAAAUCAGGCUACUUCACAUUUGUUGGAGGAAACUUGGUAACACGAAGAAGUAAAAAAUAGAAAAUAGUAGCACUAUCUAGUGCAGAGGUGGAGUUUUGAGGAAUAGCUAAGGGGUUGUGUGAGUUACUCUGGCUGAGAAGAUUGUUGACAAAAAUUGGCUUUCCUUCCAGUUGCGAGAUGAACUUGCUUUGUGAUAACAAGGCAACCAUUGAUAUUGCUCAUAACCCAGUCCAACAUGAUCGAACUCAGCAUGUGGAAGUGACCGACAUUUUAUCAAGCAGAACUUAGAAGCUAAGUGUAGACCCUCCAUUUUGUCCUCUUAGCAUAUGUCCUUUAUAGCAAUUCCCUAGUGGCCCAUUACCACUUGUGUAGUCUAUAUUUUCUAAGCCACCUCGGGGACUUUGGUUGAGGGAUUUAUUAAACCCCAUUAUGACUCUUGACAACCCUAAUUUAGACUUAGGCCCAUUAGACACCACCUUAGGCCCAUUAGGCACCACCCUAGGCCCACUUAGGCACUUUAGGUUCACUUAGAUACUCUAGGCCCAUUAGGCACCACUUAGGUCCAUUAGACACCACUCUAGGCCCAUUAGGUACUACCUUAAGCCCACUUAGGUCACAUUUUAGGCAUUUUUUUCAUAGACGCAUGGCUUGCAUGGCUCAUUUUUUAUUUUUUUUAUUUUAUAAAGUUGCAUGACUUGACUUUUUAUUUAUUUUAUUUUUGUUUAUUUAUUAUCUUGUCUAUUUCUUCCCUUAUUUUAUUUUCUUAUUAUUUCAUCACUUUUCCGUAAUACUUGUUCUUACUUAUUUAUUUUAAUUUAAUAAUUUUGUUGAAAUGUUUCUUCUUAUUAUUAUUAUUAUUAUUAUUAUUAUUUUUAUUACUACUACUCAUUUUUAUCAUUGUUAUUAUUAUUAUUAUUAUUAUUAUUAUUAUUAUUAUUAUUAUUUUAUUUAAUUUGUUAACUUUGACAUUUUGUAGGAAAGUCCACCAAAGAUUGAAGGAAAUCAUACACGGCUGCAUCUUGGUGGGAUAUUCAGACUGCAUACAUUGGGAGUGGCAACCGGAUACAGGAAGAAAUUUAAGGACGAUCACCCAUAAAGAAAGAAAAGAGAAUGCAACCAUUGUGAUUUUUUUUUAAAUGGUAAAUUAUCAAAGCUAUUGAGUAUGUGAAAAUGAGGAAUCUAGCGUGUAUGUGGACAGAAUAAGGGUUGUGUGUAAAAGAAAAAUUCUCAGCGUGCAUAGAAAAAACAUGGGGAGGCGGGUCAAAGAAGAGGACGCUUAUGGGAAGGUAGCCGACUAGUGAGGACAGAGAAGAUAAGGAAUCUUAAGAAAAAGAAGAAUUGAUUACGAGAGGAAAAAUGUGACUUGGAAGGAAAGACACAGGCUGGUGGUUUGAAAAAGAGAGAAGACAAACAUCAUUUGAAAAAAAAUAAAAAUAAAAUAAAAUUGGACAACCGACUAUGUGGAUGGGGAGAGAAAAAGAUAAUUCAGCCAAAGAAAAAAAAAAAACAAACAUCUUGGAAGGGAGGAUUUUGGGGGACAUCACGUCGAGCUUACUGUCAUCUGAAAGACUUCAUGGAGUAACCUGGGAGCUCUUGAAGGGACCAGCCGCACCAUUUGGAGACUGUUAGGACGCAUCAAAAGAGGGUUUUGACAGCAUGAGAGAUGAUUUUUUGGAAGAGAUCGAUAGAGGGGAUUUGUUUUGGAAAAGAGGAGGGGAACAUUUUUUGAGGAGAUUAGAGGUUGUUGUUUGGGGAGGAGAUCAGUAGGCGUUUCGAAGGGAUCAAAGGUUGCUAUUCCGACAAAGAUCAGUCUACGUUUUCAGAGCGUGAGAAGUUGCUGUUUGAGACGAUCCAAAAAAAAAAGUUCAGAGCAGGAAAUGGGUUGUUUGAAGGGAUCGAAAGAGAGAGCUUUGAGAGCGUGAAAGGGAGCUGGCAUUUUGGAUCAGUGCGAGGAGUUUUUCAGAGGGAAAGACUGCCAUUUUUUUAUCACCGGGCUGUUGAUUUCUUUUCAUCACCGGGCUGCUGAUUUCUUUUCAUCAUCGAGUUGCCAUUUUUUAAAUCACGGGGCUACCAUUUUUUCAAUCAUCGGGCUACCAUUUUUUUUUAUUACCGGGCUGCUGAUUUCUUUUCAUCACCGGGCUGCUGAUUUCUUUUCGUCACCGGGCUGCCAUUUUUUCGUCACCGGGCUGCUCAUCCAUCAUAACAUCAACUCCACAUCACAACUGGUGCUAUUCUACUCAUCCUUCAGCGCACCAGCUGCACACCACCUUCUCUGGUAUCUUCACGGCUGUUAGGUAAGUUAGUUGUCUUUAUAUAUAUAUGCAUGGGUUUUCAGCAACAGUGAAGGUUUGGAUCAUUUUUCCAAGUGAAAUUAUUAUUAUACUAGGUAAGUGGUUUGACUUUAUUUACUAGCUCCAACAUACAUUUUUUUUGUUUUAAUAUGGCAGAAUGGGAAUUGUGUUUAGGUUUAGUUUUGGUAUAUUAUAUUAAAUUCAUAAAAUAGAAAUUCAUGUAAUUUUACUUUUGAAAAAUAAAAAAUAAUAUAGUUUGAUCUUUAUUUAGUUUAGUUGUGAUUCAUUUAAUUAUUAGUUAUUUAUUUAUUUAUUUGCUACUAAUCUAAUGCUUUGUAACUUAUUUAUUUAUUAAUGAGAUUGAACCUGUGGGUUAAAAAUUUAGUUUAAAAUAAAAAAGAAAAAAAUAUGUUGAAGGUGGUUUGAAUUGGCUUUAGGUUCAGUUAAAAUUAUAGUUUAUUGAAAUGAUUGAUUUUUAUGUGUUAAGUAUUAAAUUUUAAACUUGCCUUAAUUAGUGUUAAAAAUGUUUGCUAAGCUCAAAUUUUAUUUUAGUAACGUAAGUUUUUUUUUUUAAAAAAUUAUUUAAUUCCAUGAGUUCGUAUUUCGUUUCAUUUAUAUUUUGUUUCAUUCAUAUUUAUUUGUCUAUGUGUUAUAAACUUAUCCGUUUAAUUAUGAGUUUAAUUUUAUAGGUUAGAAAUUUAGUUUUAAAAUUUGUCUUAGGUAAUUUUAUAAUUUAAUUUUUGGGUAAGAUAAAAUUUUAGUUUGUUAAAAUAAUAUGUGUGUUGAGGAUUUAAGUUUAGAUUGGUAUUAAUUAGUGUUUAAUUCAUUUUAAGCUUAGAUUCCAUUUUUAUAAUGUAAGUUUAUUUAGAAGAUUGACUCCAUUAAUUCACAUUUUGUUUUUUUUUUUUAAAUUAUAUUAUUUAUUUAUGUGUUAUCUAUUUAUCCAUAUUUCAAUAAGAUUAAUCUAUAGGUUAGAGAUCUCGUUUUCAAAUAUAUUCUGGUUAAUUUUUUAUUUAACUUUAGGUUUAGGUGCUCUUGUAAAAUUUUUGUUUGUUAAAAUAAUUAAUCUUACAUAUUAAAUAUUUGAUUUUAGACUUGCCUUAAUUAGUGUUAAAAAUAUUUUUUUAAGCCUAGAUUUCAUUUUAAUAAUGUAGGUUUAUUUAGAGAGUAGAUUCCCUGAAUUCAUGUUUUGUUUUUUUAGUUUGCCUUCAUUUUAAUUAUUUUAGGUGUUUUUAUAAUUUUAAGUUAUUAAUAAAAUCAAUUCUAUAUUCAAAGGUGCCUAUCCUUAGUUUAUUCUGAUUUAGCUUCACUCAUCUAUUCGGUUUGGGUAUUUUCUAUAAUAUUAGUUCACUAAAAAAAAAAAAAAUUAAUUUUAUGAUUGAAAAUUAUUGUUUGCCUUGAUUUGAUUUGGUCUAUUUUAAUUGGUCUAGAUGUGUUUGUAUGUUUAAUCGAUCUUGUGCUAAUUCUCGAUUGUUACUCUUAAUUGAUAUGUUUUUUCAAUAUUAGUCAUUAAUUCUUGGUGGGUAUCUCGUUAGCUUAUUUGAUAUGAGUUUGGAUAGUUUAUUGUUUAGGUAGUCUCUGGUAAAAUUUACUUUUCGGAGGCCAUCAAAAAAUAGUGAAGAUUGGUCUCUAUUCUCACCACUUCAAAAUUUUUUUUUGGGUAAUCGAAAAUUCUACUUGGUGAUUUUGUUUUCUUUUGUUUUGCCUGAUAUUUUGUCUCAAACAUUUUGUUGUUUUUUCAAAAUAAUUUCUUUUAUUUUAGAAUAAGAUACUUUUCUCAAAAUGUUCCUCAUAAAAAUCUAUUUUAAAAAUUCAUUUAGAGUCCUUAGAAUUAAAAUCUCAUUUUCUUUAAAUAACAUGCAAUCAUUUUUUUGAUCGGUUUGCAUCCUUAUCAGUUUUCAAUGAAAAUUUUGGUUUUGAACAAAACACGAAUCAAAGCUUGUGGUCCCAAAUAAAUGGGAUGAUUCUAGGUUAGAUUUGUGUAUAUCAAUUGGGGAAUUGGUGAAACCCCUACAUAAGAAAAUUUUUCAAAAUUCUUCCUUACGACCAGUUUUCACUCAACCACUGACCCUUUAAAUUGAAAAUUCGUUUUAGCAGCUUUAUAAUGUUUUUAAAAAAUUUACAAAACUUUUAUGACUUUCCUCAUUUCUCGAACUUGAAUUUAAAGUUUCAUUUGAGUUAGAAAGUCAUUCUGGAAUAGAAGAUAUAAACAAGUCUUUAGGAGGGCCCGUUUUCACCCAAUUCUGGACACCUGAGAUAUUUUUGCAAAAAUAAAAUACUAGAUGACUUUUUAAAUUUUUUUAAAUAUUUUUCCUCAAUCCUAGACUUCUUGAAAUUGAUAUUAGACACAUAAAAUAUUAAAAAAUAUUCCUUUUUGAGAGAGAUGUGAUUUUUCAAAGUCGUACCUAUUGUGCAUGUUGAAUUCUAGACAUCUGAUUAGCUGUAGUGUCUUAAAAAUGUUUUUGAGUACUAUCCGACCCCGAAUUCAUUUUUUUUUUAUGUGAUAUAGACAUUUUGAAAUUUUUUUGUGAUAUUUUGUAUGAUUUUAUGUGAUCAUUUAUUAUUUUUAAAAUUUUUUUUUUAUUCAUGUCACUUUUUUUCUUAUCUAAUCUGGACUUUGUGGAACUUUUGGGCAUCUUUGCUGCAAUUUGGCAUUUGAAUGAGUGUUUGGAUUUUGGUAUCUUGUUCUAGAUGUGUAGGAGUUGUUUCCAGCAAUUUUUUGUGAUUAAAUUCCACUCCACGUCAUUUUUUUUAGAAAUUAUUUUUGUGAUGCUCCCUUUAUUAUAUGCAUGUCGAUGACUCAGUACUUGCUUGAAUUGGUAUUAUUUUUGGAGUCAUUUGAUUUAUCUUAGCUUGAUUUUGGCUUUGGCACAGUAUGUUAGACACAAUAAAGGUGUUAUAUGAUAUAUACUUGUCUUAACUACUCUAGCCUUUUUUGAGGAAUCUUAUAAAUUAUGCAUGCUAUCCAGGUAUGUUCUCUAUCACUUACUUUUCAAAAUUUUAUGAACAUGCAUGUUAUUGUGAAUUUCAUUUAUGCUUGAUGUGAUCUUUAGGUGCUUAGAUGUAUGCUUGAUUCGCUAUGAUUAAAUACAUGUUGUGUGCUAUAUUUCUAUACUAACUUUGAAGUUUUAUGAUAACGCUUGAGAAGCAGUUCGGGUAUGCAUCUUAACUAUUCUUUAUUGUGAUUUGAUCUUGUUUGGCAUGCUAUUUUUCUGAAAUCACCUUAGUCUACCUAGGUAUCCUCAACUAAUCAAUUAAUUGCCACAUUUUCCUUAACUUAGUCAAUAGAGACCUUUGUAGGGCUUAGAGGGGUGCUACCUUUUUAGAGGUACAUUCCCAAUAAGUAAUUCGAUUCCCAGACUUAGACUUGGGUUUUCCAAAGACACGUUUUCCAAAAACUAUGGAGUCAUUUUUUAGGGUUUUAUUUCUUAUUUUAUUUUCCCUUUAAAAUAAAAUAAAAUAAGUGGCGACUCCAACUUUUCCAAAACUAAAUUUUUCACCAAUAAAAACGAGUCUCGCCGAUCGAGUGGGGGCGCACAUAAGAAAUGCGGGUCCACACUAAGAUAAUCUGAUUCCCAUUUGUCAAAUCAAAAGACCAAUUAGCAGACAUCCUCACUAAGGCGGUAUGCAGUAAGGUCUUUCACAACUUACUUGACAAGUUGGGCAUCGACGACAUCUAUGCACCAACUUGAGGGGGAGUGUGGACAUGAGUUGUAUAAUCCCUAUGUUAGAGGCAUAACAGAAGGGAUCAAAUUACUACUCUACAAGGUCAACUUUCCUUAGACAUUUCUAUACAAUUUUAGAUCAUGUAUGGGCUAUAUAUUGAGCUCCUUUGUAACCAUUUUUAAUGCAAUUUGAGCAUACAGAUCUCAUAUAUACAAAUUAUUCACUUUCUCGUCAACAUAUAUAUUUUAACAAAUUUCAAACUUUUGUUUUUUUUUCUUAAAAUGUUUUUUAUGCUAAAAACUAUCAAAUGGAGUUUAAUUAAAAAAAAAAAAACAUUAUGAUAAAUUUGAUGACAAAAUCUACUCAUGUGAAAUAGUAUGAAGAGUUUAGUCUAUUAUACGCUUUAGUUUUUAAUUUUACAUAAAUGGUAAAAGUGUAAAAUGUUAUUAAGAAAAUCAUUUAUAAUACAUAGCAUCAUAAUUGAUUUUUUGAAAAUACUUAUAAAAUUUUUUAAAACUCUUAAUUUAUUUUCGAAAAUACUUUUUAUGCUAGACAGACAAGAGAGUUGAAAAAUAAAAAUAAAAACAAUUAUUUUGUGUCCAUAUGUUGAUUUCAUUUUUACUUUUUAUUUUUUGGUGAGGUUUGCACGGAUUUUUGAAGGCAUAGAAGGCAGCAUGUGGGUGGAAAAGAUGGGCAACAGUGGUUGUUCCAAGAGGAAAAUACUUUGUGAGAGGAGUGAUAUUUUUAGGCCACUGCAAAGGACCCAUUGGCUUUAAAUUGAUGGGGGAUCUUCUGGCCCCAAAAUAUGAAUCAUCCAUUAAUUCUAAGCCUUUUGAUUUUUGGUUGAAGUUCAACUAUGUGGAAAACUUGUCAAUCUAUGGAGGUGGGAAGCUAUAUGAUGAAGGAUCCUCAAUUUGGUCUUACAAGGGCAAGUGUGUACAAGAAGGUUGCUUUAUUCCUUUUUCCCAUGUAAGUGCCCAUAUAAUUGCUUUCCCAAAAAUAAAAUAAAAGACAAAUAAACAUAUUAAUAAUAAUAAUAAUAAUAAUGCCUACAUUUAAAUCUUCUUGAAGGAGUCCUCGAUCACUCUGACGCUCAAGCCCUAAUCUAAUCGUUCGACAAAAAAAAAAUGUUGGAAUAUAUGCUAAAGCAAUUUUUUUUCUUUUUUGUGAACUUUUUAACUUUUAAGCAAGGUGAGCAAUAAAUGUAAGUUUCCAUUAUCUACUUAGAUAACAAAAAUGGUAUGUUCUCAUUUAUUCAUUAUUUUUUUUAGCAAUAUUCCUUUCCAUACUUGAUAAAGGUAAUUUUAAUAUUUUAUUGAAGUUACUAUUUGAAUGCAUAUAGGAGGAAUUAAUUUUUCCAUCAUUCACCUCUAUAACAAAAGUGAUAUAUGGAAACUCAUUCUUUCAAUAUCGUCCCAUUACAUAAUUGAUAGUUAUCUCAAAUUUAAUUUUCAUCACUAAUAUUUUGUCAGGCUCCUAUGAUUCUCUUUUUAAUUUAAUGCCUUCAAUUUGUUCAAUCCUUCACUAGUCACGAGAUAGCCUUCAAAGAUAACUUAUUUGAGGAAGUCUUAAUUAUGUGUCAGAAUUCCUUAAUGAUAUAAGUCAAUUGUAUAUUCCAUUAAGACAAAGACUUAAGAAAAACUUUGUUCCAUGGAAUGAGAAACACACUAAGAUUUUCUAAUACAAAAAGUAAUUUUUGGAUACCUAUCAAAAUGGCACUUUGAUGCCAUGUAUAUUUGUUAUCUUAUUGUUUGUACUUAGUUUCAUUUGUUUAUACCCAUAUAUAAGGGAAACAUGCGUGGAUUCUACUCAAAUCAAAACAGAGCAUGUUUAGUCUAAAAUCAUGACAAAUAUUCGGUCAUCAAUUCUAUAUUUGGAGCUGAUUCUAAUUUUGCAUUAUUUAGUUGUCUGUUGUAACAUUAACACAUUUCUAGCAUUACCGUAUAUGUGUUUCCUAAAUUAGCUUCUCUUCCACUUUGUAUAUAACACAAAAUUUCUAUCAAUAAAGAGUGGGCAAUUAUUCAUUGAAAUCACAACAGUACUUAUUUUCUAUAUGGUAUCAGAGAAGCCACUCUCCACCGAGCCACCAAUCCAAGUCAUUACAAUGUCUUCCUCCUCCGAUCAAACUCCCCACUUUACCCUCAACACCCAACCCCCUUCCUCAUCAGGAAAACCCUUUAUUGCUCUCAAUAUCACUGCCCAAAUCAAUGAAAAAUUAACUCCCUCCAUCUUUCCUCAAUGGCGUGCUCAAUUUGAAGCACUUCUUAUUGGUUAUGACUUACUCGACUAUGUCGAAGGCACCUUUUGGUGUCCUUCUUCAGAUGGUACCGUUGCUGAAGAGCUGCCCAAGACCCAUUGGGUCCGACAGGAUAAACUUAUCCUGAGUGCGAUUUUAGCCUCUACAUCUCCUUCAAUCACACCCUCAUUGCUAUGGCUAAAUCCUCCCAUGAAGCUUGGAAAAAGCUCACUCAUCUAUAUGAUAGCCGAUCCAGAACUCGUGCAAUGCAGUUAAAGGAGGAACUCACCUUAAUCCAGCGUGGAAAUCGGACCAUCAUAGAAUAUCUCCAUGUUGUGAAGACUUUGGCUGAUGAAAUAGCCAUCAUAGAUCAUUCAAUUUCGGAUGAUGACCUAACCCUUUAUGUGUUGAAUGGUUUAGGUCCAGAUUUUCGGGAGAUUGCAACACCUAUUCGAGCCCGAGAAUCAUCAAUGACUUUUGAGGAGUUGCACGACCUAUUGGUUGGACAUGAGGCUUAUCUGAGGCACCUGGAAGCCGCAACGCAGAACAUAGUUGCUUCCGCUAACUUUACAAAGAUGAAGCCGUCUGCAAAUGGGGGGACUCACCAGCGGUUCUUUAAGCAACAUGAUCAUUCUCGUGGGCCUUAAGGCUUCAGUCUAGGCCUACACUUCAAUGGAACCCAAUGUGAUGGACGACGUCCCAACACAAACUCUGGUUAGCUCAAUAAUUCCACUCGGCGCUAUCAGCCCAAGUGCCAGCUUUGUGACCAGUUGGGCCACAUUGCCAAGUCCUGUCUUCAAUUUCAUUCCCAGAAUGUCUCUAUCAAUUGUGCUACCACUUCUACGGGAAAUGAUAAAAAUUGGCUACUUGAUUCGGUCGCUUCUCAUAAUAUCACGGGUGAUCUUUCCAAUUUAUCUAUUCAUUCCGAAUAUGAUGGAACUGACGAAGUAAUUCUCGGUGAUGGUUUAGGUUUGGCUGUCUCACACAUUGGUUCUUUGGCUUUACACUCUCUGCACAGAACUUUUACAUUACAUGAUGCUCUUUGUGUUCCAAAUCUUUGCAAAAAUUUAAUUUCUGUGCAUCAUCUCACCAAACAAAAUGAUGUCUUUGUUGAAUUUCAUCCUUUUUAUUUUCUUGUGAAGGACAAGAUCACGAGGGCGAUCCUACUAAAAGGAGCAUGUAACAAUGGCAUCUACACCUUCUCGGAAUCACUGGUGGCGUCCAAAAAGGUUGCUAAUGUGCAUGAACGGACCUCCAUUGAUGGAUGACACAAGCAUCUUGGGCAUCCUUCUCUUAAAAUUGUCCAUCAUCUUGUUAAGAAUUUUUCUCUUCAUAUUUCCUCGCACAAAAAUUUGUCUUCAUUAUGUCAUUCAUGGUCUAUUAAUAAAGUACAUCAACAACCUUUUUGUGUCACAAGUCUCCAAAGUCAUGAGCCCUUUGAACUUAUUUACAUGGAUGUGUGGGGACCUACUAGUUAUACUGGGAUUGAUGGAUCACGAUAUUACCUUAUUUUUGUUGAUCAUUAUACAAAAUAUAUAUGGUUUUAUCCAAUGGCCACUAAAUCCGGCGUUUCUACAAAUUUUCCGCAUUUCAAAAAAUUUGUUGAAACCCGCUUUCAAAAAUCAAUCAAAACACUAUAUUCUGACAUUGGAGGUGAGUUUAUUGCUUUAAAAUCAUAUCUCUUACUUCAUGGCAUAACUCACCUUAGUACUACUCCCCACACCCCACAACAAAAUGGUGUCUCUGAACGACGUCACGGUCAUCUAGUUGAAACGGGCCUUACACUCCUCCAUGAUGCAAAUCUUGACUUCUCGUAUUGGCCCCACGCUUUUCAAACAACCUCUUAUCUCAUAAACCGACAACCCACGCCUCUCCUAAAAAACAAAUCACCUUUUGAAGCUCUUUUUGGUCAAUCACCCAAUUAUUUAAAAUUUAAAAGUUUUGGGUGUAUUUGUUAUCCUCUCACAAGGGCCUAUAACUCAAAUAAAAUGCAGCCCAAAUCAAAAGCCUGUAUUUUUCUCGGCUAUUCACCCAUUCAAAAGGCCUACAAGUUUUUUGAGCCACAAACAAAAAAAUUCUUCUUCUCUCGCCACGUGUUAUUUGAUGAAAAUCACCUUCACUCCAACCCAUCCUCACCCGUGACUUUCAUGCCUACCCAGUACCUUCGAGAACCUCACCAUUUGCUUCCACUUCACUUCGGUGCCCAACCGACUGCAAUGUCCUCAUCAAUGGUCUUUGACGCACCAGCAACCUCGUUGCCUCCGAAAGGCUCACCUGCCAUCGUUGCGUCCUCCCCAGGUAAUUUUGAACCCUCUGCUUUUUUACUUCAUGAUUGCUUGCAAGCCGUAGACCACAACCCCACCCAUCCGAAUACUCCUCUAGAUGAUAAUUGGCCUGGGUCUUCCUUAAAUUUGCAAACACAAUCUAACCAUUUUUCCCUGAUACACAUCUCAAUGCAGAUCAUCCUCUCCCAAAUCCAAAUUUCACAAACUCUAACCAAACAAAUCCUCAUCCUUAACGCACUCAUACCAUGACCACAAGAUCAAUUAACCAAAUUUUCAAACCCAAACAAAUCUAUAUUGUGUCAAAACAUCCUCUUCCUCAAACCAUUGAACCAAUGAGUGUGAGCCAAGCCAUAUCUCAACCUCACUGGAGUGAGGCCAUGUCCAAUGAGCCCACUGCUCUAAUGAAACAUGGGACUUGGGACCUCGUUUUACCACCUUCAGAUUGCAAUCCUGUGGUGUGUAAGUGGAUAUUUCAGGUAAAACAGAAAGCUGAUGGGUCUAUGGAUAGAUUCAAAGCCCGUCUCGUUGCCAAGGGCUACAAUCAACGUCCUGGUGUUAAUUACACAGAGACCUUUAGCCCUAUAGUUAAACCAGCAACUAUUAGAGUUGUAUUAUCUAUUGCAAUCAUGAAUGGAUGAUGUGAAACCAAGGUUUGGUUAAUCUUGAUUUUGAUGAUAACAAAACAAGGUUUAGAACUAAUGAUUAUAUCUCAAGUGUGAUUAGGCAAGACGAUUUCCAAAGUGGCAAUCACAAAGACAAAUCAAGCCAAGGAGAAAUUAUGAAGAAGAAGACCACCUCAAAGAGAAGAGUUUUUCAAGACCCAAGCUUCAUAAGAUCUCUUUGUAAGGUUGUUGGUGCACUAGGACUUUCAUGCAUUUCAUUCUUUAUUUAUGCACCAAAAUCAUCCAAGAGUAAUAAUGUUUUAAAUAUCUUUAAAAUUGGAUGAUUUCAUGUUUUCAACUAAAACCUUGUGUUAAAUAAUUUUCAAACUUGUGUUAAAAGGUUUUAAGUUGAAAAACGUUGGGUGUUGAGCCAAAAAAUGGCUCAACCGGUUCAAUCGGUCGACUGGUUGUGCUCGUCUGGUCGAGUACCGGUCAAUGAGGCUAAAAAGUUUCUCUCUCUCUCAGUGACCUUCUCUUCCCGGUCGAGGUCUGGCUGAGGCCCAACGAUCACCUGUCAAGCAUUUAAUGCUAACGGCUAGUCAACCGGUCGACCCCUAGCUCGACCAGACGAAUCCCCAAACGGCUAGUUUGACUUUUCUCUUCUAUAAAAAGGCUCCAAUCUUCAUUGUUUAAAGAGUUUAACAUUUCCAAAAUCCUUCUUGAAUAUAUUUGAGCCUUGGAAGAGUAUUUUUUAGUGCACCAUUAUUUCAAAACUUGCAUAUCUUUAGUGCACCAUUCAAUCCUAGUUUUUUCUUGUAUCAUUUGAGCUUAAAGCUUAUACUAGGAUUUUGUGAGAUCAAUUAUUUGUAAACCUUGAGAGGAAGUUUCAAGAGUGGGAUAUCUCUUGAGAAUUGUAAAGGGUGCUUGGAGUCAAAAGUCCAAGAGGGUGAAUUGGAACCAUAAUCCAAUUGUAAGAAGAUUGGAAGCUUGGUUGAAGCUUCAAGUUAGUGGAACCCUCACUCGGUUAGGAGGUUGAGGAGAGUGGAUGUAAGUCGGGUUGCGCCGAACCACUAUAAACUCUUGUGUUUGCAUUAUCUCUUCCCUACUCUUUUAAUUUAUAUGCAAUUGUCUUUAUUUUGCUUAUCAUAUACUUGCAUAUAAAUUGUCUCUUACUUUUGCUUAGUUUAAAUUUGAAAAAGAGACCAUCACCCUAUUCACCCCUCCUCUAGGGUGAUUAUCAUAGGUUGGAUUAGCCCUAAUUUCCUAACAUAUGAGAUUUGAGGAAACUGGACGUUAAUAAUGCCUUUCUCCAUGGUGAAUUAACUGAAACUGUUUUUAUGGCACAAUCUCCGGGGUUCAAAGAUCUGUCCAAACCUCACCAUGUUUGCAGACUAAAGAAGACUAUCUAUGGGCUUAAACAAGCCCCACAGGCUUGGUACCCUGCCUUCAAAACUACCAUUCUUCAAUUGGGUUUUCAGAACUCCCAGGCAGACUCUUCUCUCUUCAUUUAUAGUCACGGCUCCACUCUUUGUUAUUUCCUGGUGUAUGUUGAUGAUCUUGUCAUCACAGGAAAUAAUCCAACUCUAGUGGCCUCCAUUAUUAAAUAGCUGGGUGACAUGUUUUCUCUCAAGGAUAUAGGUUCUCUUCAUUUUUUCUUGGGGAUUGAAGUCAUUCCUACAAAGGCAGGAUUAUUUCUCUCACAGCAUAAAUACAUUUGUGAACUUUUAGACAACACAGGUAUGAGUGGUGCAAAAGAUGUCUCAACCCCUUUAUCUACAACCCAAUCACUUCAAUUGGUUGAUGGCAUGGUUGUUAUGGACAGCUCUGAGUUUCGUCGAAUAAUUGGCAGCCUUCAAUAUAUUUCCUUGACACGUCCAAAUAUCUCAUUUGCAGUUAACAAACUCUCUCAAUUUAUGCACAAGCCAACUGCAAAUCACUGGACAACAACCAAACGGCUCCUCCGUUACUUAAAACAAACCAUUUUUUAAUGGUAUUCAAAUCCACAAAGCUGGAACUCCUGUACUCAGGACAUACUUCGAUGCCGAUUGGGCUAGAAAUAUGGAUGAUCGUACGUCAACUUCUGCAUACAUCAGUUUCUUAGGUCCUAAUCUAAUCUCUUGGAGCUCCAAGAAACAACGUGCAGUUGCAAGAUCCACAACCGAGGCUGAAUAUUGGGCACUAGAUAAUGCGGCUUCCGAGAUAAUGUGGUUGUCUACCAUUUUCAAAGAACUCGCACUUCCACUCAAAGAAUCUCCCCAUCUGUUAUGUGACAAUCUUGUAGCCACACAUCUAAGUUUCAACCCAGUCAAUCAUUCGCGUAUGAAACACAUUCAAAUCGAUCUUCACUUUGUGCGUGACUUAGUCCAAAAAGGAAGCCUUCAAGUAAGACAUGUACACACUCAAGACCAAUUAGUUGAUCUGCUAACCAAGCCACUGUCAAAGUAGCGCACAAAAUUGCUACGUACUAAGAUUGGUCUUGCCGAUGGAAGCCUAAUCUUGCAGGGGCAUAUAAAGGAAACAUGUGUGGAUUCUACUCAAAUCAAAACAUAGCAUGUUUAGCCUAAAAUCAUGACAAAUAUUCAAUCAUCAAUUCUAUAUUUGGAGCUGAUUCUAAUUUUGUAUUAUUUAGCUGUCUGUUGUAACAUUAGCAUAAUUCUAGCAUUACAGUAUAUGUGUUUCCUAAAUUAGCUUAUCUUCCACUUUGUAUAUAACACAGAAUUUCUAUCAAUAAAGAGUAGGCAAUUAUUCAUUGAAAUCACAACAAUACUUAUUUUCUAUACCAUAUACCUAAAUCGUAUUAGUUUGUAUCUUAUUAUAUUGUUUAAAUCUAACCAUACAUAUAUUGUUCUCAUAUCUUAUUUGGUAGGUACCGCUCCCGUACAUUGGCAUUUUCAUAUACAUGUAGUUAGAUGAAAUUCAUGACUAACAUCUUGUGCUUAUGAACAGUCCCUGAGAUUGGAAUUCAUCAAGUUUGGGAGUGUUUUAGACAUAAAAUCAAUUGAUAGCAAAGGCAAAUAGAUAAGUAUUUUUGGAUGUAACAAUGUGCAUAUGAGAGGUGUUAAUGUAUAUGUCCCCUGGGAACUGUCCCAACAAGGACGGGAUCCAUAUCUCACGCUCACGCAACAUUCAAAUUGAGCACAGCAUAAUCAAAACUGGAGAUGAUUGUAUCGCCAUUAUUUCUGCGACCAUGGAAUCAACAUUGGGAGCAUAGGUGGUGGCCCAAACCAAGACCCUAUAACUAGAAUACACAUAAAGAACUGCACUUUUACCAAUAGUGUGAACGGGCUUCAGAUCAAAUCAUGGGCUAAUAAUCCCAACUAUUCGGCCCUUGCUGCAGAUACCAGUUUCCAGGAUGUUGUUAUGCAUAAUACAGGCAACCCCAUUUUCCUUAACCAACAUUAUUGCCCUGGCCAAGGCUGUGAUCCAAAGGUAUGUAGGCGUCUCUAUAAUAAAAUUUGUUAAAUGGGACAAGUGAUAUCCCACAUUGCAUUUGAAAAAGUUGCUAGCAUUUUAUAUGCAUUGGCUUCUUUUAAUUAUAAAUAUGCGUUUUAAACUCGUGAGAGCUUAUCAGGUUUAGAACAUACAAUAUCUACAUAGUUGAGAAGAUGUAUUCUAUAAGGAAUGUAUUCUAUGGGAUACAACAUCCCAGUAUGAGAAUUUGUUUGGAGUGUUUCAUGUGGGACAUAAAUUCACAAGUCUCUCCUCAAUAUGGGAGUUAUUUGGCUCUGCAAAGGGUGUAUGAUCACGUGGGAAACAACGUAAUGAGGUUCUUGGUAUGAGAGUUUGAAUGACCCUGUAAGGGGUGUACCUUAAGAGGGGGUGAUUGUGAUAUCUUAUAUAAGAAAAAGUUCGGGACUCCUCUUAACCAUGUACAUGUGAACAAUAUUUAUAUGAUUGGAAGCAUUCAUGACAUGACACUGACUCAAACAUAUCCAAGGAAGGCUUGAGAUCAUGUGGCAUUGAAUGAUAUACUUUGAUCUAAAUGGGCUAAUGACUUAACAAGGAUUUGUUGUUGAUUUGAUUAUCGAUUUAUCUAUUUGGUGACUGUUGUGUGUAGGUUGUCUCGCGAGUUCAGAUCAGAGAUGUUAAGUUCAUCAACAUUUAGGGUAGUUCCAGCACCAAAGUUGCAGUUAAUCUCCAGUGUAGCAACAUCAAACCAUCUCAGAAUAUUGCGCUUGAAGAAAUCAAUUUAAAAUACAGAAAUCCCAAAACAAGCCGGUUAGAAUCUGUAGUUUCUUCAUGUUCAAAUGUCAAAGGCUUCUCUCGUGGCAUACAUCGGCAUUCCUCUUGCAUAUAGGCCUCUUUUUUUCAUGCAACUCCAUAUAUAACAUUAAGUCGCUGAAAUUCUUUGGCAUCCAUCAUUUUCCAUUUUUCUUUUUAUGGGUUUGCAAUGGAGACGUAGACGUCAAAAUUUUUAAUAAAAUAAAUUAUCACUAAAUUAUUAUUAUUUUUUAAAUGUGAUUUCCCAAUUCAAAUAAAUUUGGAAUCGACUAGUAAUAGGUUCUACACACAUUUGACAUGUAUUAAAAAGGGAACAUGUGACCAAAUUUGAAAUAUUAAAAAAUUUAUUCUUAUAAAUAAAAUCAAAUAUUUUAAUUGAGAUGAGAAUUAAAAAUAAAUAAAUAUUUUCUUAUUGAUAAAUUUUCUUGAUGAAAAAAGACAAAUUGCCAAAAUCAAGCAAAAAUUCUUUGAAUUAAUCAAUUAAAUCUUGGGGAAUUCCAAAAUUUAAUUAUCUAAUUUUACAUAUUAAAAGGGGUGACUUCCUUCUAUGAAAGGACUUCUUGGAUCUAUAAAAAUGGUUUAGCCCAAGAAAAAAGGUUCUACAAAAUUUUCUUACAAAAUCCAAGAAACAACAAAUGUAAUACACACCAACAAUCUUCACUUUUCUACAUGAAGAAGCCACUUGUGACCCUCAAAUGAUCUCUAAAAUCAAGAAAACAUUUUCAUCAUCUCCAAAAUUAUGAUCAAGGUGGAAAAAAAAAUAUAGUUCACCAAAAUAAAAGUCUUCUGUAUUGGUUUUAACUUAUUAAAAAGUUUCUUAUUGUUUUAGGAAAAUUUUGAAAGUACCAAAAUAACUUUAUCCACUUUAUUAGCUUCAUUUAAAAAAAAAAUUAAAAUGAUAAAAAAAAAUAUCAUCAAAACAUAUUUUUCAUACUUGAUUUUUGUUUUCUUUGAAAAUAAAAGCAAAAAAUGAAUCAAACAAACAAACCUGUCAUUACAAAGGUUUGAAAAGUGAUCGUGAAGAUUUUAAUUUGAUAGAAUAAUUUAAAUUAAAUUUAAAAGUUAUAUAUAUAAAAUAGUUUGUUUAAAAAUUAUUUCAAGUAUAUAAUUUUAAUAUAUUUUAAAUUUUAAAUUUGAUUCAAAAGUAUAUAAUAUAUAAAUAUAUAAAAUGACACAACACAAGUAUUUUCACUAUACCAUAAAUAAUGGAAAAUGCUUAAAAAAAUAUGAAUAGUUUUUAGAUUCUUAAAACAUUUUAAAAACAAAUUCUUAAAAGACAUUUAAAAAAAAAUCCUAAAAGAUUUUUUUUGUAAAAAAAAAUGCUUCAACGAUAUUUUUUCUUGUUGUUAAUAAUUUUUUAUUUCUAUAAAAAUAAAAAUAAUUACUAAUAAAUAUUUACAAAUUCCAUAGUUAUGAAAUAGUGCAAAAUUUGAAAUUUAAUACAAUCCUUAAAAUCAAUGGAAUAUAAUCUUUAAUCCUUAAAAUUGCAAUCCGAUCAAAAUGAAAUCCAAACAUAAAGGAGGCAAGCGAUUAGAAGGAAGACAUGAAAAACUCCGAUCCAACAUGGGCCAUGGAGCAAAAUUGGUAGUAACCUUAGACAAAUGGAGCAAAAAUGAUAGUAACAUUUAGGGAAAAAUCAUGCAAAAAUAGUAGUAGCAUAAGAGAAAAAGUCAUAACUACGAAGAAUAGCAAGCACCAAUAGCAUUACCAAUCCAUUUGAAUAAGAAAACUCUUGAACUUACAAAAUUGAAAAUAGAUAGAAAAAUGAAUACAUUAAGAGAACCUUAAAAAAAAAAAAAAGAAUAUAUAUAUAUAUAUAUAUAUAACAAAUCAAAUUGGAGAAAAUAGAAAAAUGAAAACAUAUUAUCAAAAUGAGGGAAAGUGAAAAGGAAAAUAAAGAGACCCUGCAUUAAAUCGAGUCUAAGUCUGGGGUCAGGUUACCUAUCAGGAAGGUACGGUGAUAAGCCGUAGUGCCACUCUAAGUCCCUAAAAAAUGGGUCUCUACUAAUCAAUUAAAGCAAAAAUGACAAUUAAUCGGGAAAUCAUGGAUACCAAACAAUGAUCAAAUAAUAUAACAAAUCAUGCAUGAUAACGGAUAAAUAAAUAAACAUGAUUGAGUACGAAGUGUAUCUUAGUCGUAAGUUGAGUGCUAUCAUGAAAAAACAAGAUUAAUGCACAAAUACAGAAUAAUCACAUACAUGUCAGAGUAGGACAAAGUCAAUCAAGCGAUCAAUCACAGAUGUCGGGCCCCACCAAUGCCCGAUUUAUUUUGUAUGAAUUAAUUAUCUAGAAUUUCAUUAUGUUUGGAAGUAUAGAAUUUUAUUCGUAUUUGUUAAAAUAAAAAAAAAAUUAAAAAUCAAGGAAAAAGUGAAAAGUGAUUGCCGAUGAAAAUAUGGAAGCAAAUUUAUUAAAAUAGAUUUUAAUGACCUAAGAUAAUUGCCAAGGAGGAAUAAAGAGUUAAGAAACUAAAAUUAUUUGAAAACCAAUUUUUGAAAGCAAUGAGGAAGAAUAAGGAAUGAGACGCAUGUGCUUUGAGGUGGCCAUGCAUGGCCUAUGCAGAAAGGCACGUGGGAAUUGGAUAGACAAGUAAUGGAAGUGAGUACUGGAUAUGGUCUUCAAAUCCUCUAAAUUUUGCUCAACUUAUGAUGGUUCAUUAAGUGUAUGACCAUUGCAUCCAAUAAAUUUUUCGAGCACAUAAAUCUAGCAUCUCUAUCCUUGUUCCCCUUGUUCAGAACAACCAAGCUUGGGAGAAUUUUGUCCAUUUCAUUUAUUUCUCAUGGUUUCCUACUCUGAUUCAAAGCUUUCGUAAGCGCAAUCUCGAUUUUUUUCCUAUGUUUCUAGAUCUCCGAGGUAUUUCUCUGGCCUCGUAUAUAGCUUUAACUCUUAAUUAAAUGAACCCUAGAUAUAUUGUAGGCUUAGUUGAUGAAAUCCAAGACACCCAUGACUUCAUCCUUUAGCACGAUCUCAAUGUAUUCAAAAGACCUCACUGACUUCAAUGGAAUCUUGGUUGGGAGCGAAGAAACAGUGCAUUCAAACUGUCCAUAUUAUGCACUUAGUAACAAGAGAUUGAAGGCAAUUCGUGGAGCUUCUGCCACCAAAUGUAUCAUGAUGGAAAAAAAACCACUUUCCAUCUUUGAAUUCUUUAUAAAAGUUGGAUCCUUUUGAGACCACAUAGGAAACUAGAAUUGUAGGAAUCAAAAGGUUGGAUUCUUUCCGUACAUGUCGAAUUGUCAUCUUUUCAUUCACUUUGACCCAUUUAGAAGACCAUUUGCCCGCAUAAAUGCCAUCGUAGGAGCACUCCAUCACAUCCUUCUUUUCAUCACCAACACUGCCCACAUGAGAAUCAACAAUUCCCUUAUUUCCCUUUAGGUGUAGAUAGAGAUCGAUCUGGUGCUCCAAAUGUGAAAUCAAGGUGUCCUAGAUGGUGGCAAGAAUAGAGAGCAGGAUAUUUGGAUGUUCUAGUGAGGUAGGUCCCAAGGAGAAUGGAACAUCUCCAUUAUGACUUCAGGUGAGGUUCCAUUACCAUAACCAGCUUUGCUUAAGGCAUCAAGGAUUGCAACUGUGACGUUUAAUCCCACUUCACAAGGAAGACUGCAUACUCAAUGCUGAUCAAGAUCCCGGAAAGAGAAUUUGUUUCUUUUGCAAUGCCCAAAAGGUCUGACAAUGACACCAAUUUCCUAGCAUUUUUGGCUGAUGGAAUUCGAAACAAUCUGCAGUUUGAAUAUGGAUAUUGCAAGGGUCAAGGUUUGAAUAUUCUCGCAUGUGAGGUUGAAGGUAAAUAUUCCAUUGCCCUCUUUGAAUCUCAUGUGUUAUGACCAAAGGUGUUCUUCAGUCGAACGUCUGCUAAGAAUUGGUUCUAUUUGUAGUUGAGCAUAGAAGAAAUAGGUGAAUGAGUGGAGGAAUGAGUCAUGCGUGCUUUAACAUAGCACACACUAGGGUGGCCAUGCAUACAAAUUUUCAUGAACGCGGGGGGUGAGUGGUGAAGCAACUAGGAAGUGGGUGUAAUUAGCAUCGAGACUAAGAAAUAGGUCAUUCUGAUUCGGUGCUCUAGGCGAACUCAUUCCAACUUGUCAUAUCAUCUUUUCUAAAAUAUCCGUUGUCCUAAUAAAAUUGAAAUUCCUGCUUCUUGAACCAUUCAUCUGGCUUUCUGUUGGAUACGUGGAGAGAAGAACUGGACCAAAGAGUGCAUCAGGUUUGGAAUGAUCUUCCAGCCCACUCACGUUCAACCCCAUGGCACUUUAUUUCAUUCUUCUUCUAGCUUCAUUGCUCGUAGCACUAAUAGCAGAGCUGGAACUUCCUUGAGCAUUUCUCACAGUUAUGUCAGUUCUCUUCAUCUCAGUAAUCACCUUCAGCUGCAACACUUCCAAUUAAAUCUGUCACACCAUGAUGGUUCUUUGGAACACAUUUAUCUUUUAGCUCAUGAUUAUCACCAUUUUUUUUUUUUUUGCAGGUGGAUGAAACCCACUCUUUAUUAUCAUUUGAUUGCAUGGCAUGGGAAUAAUGGAGGAAAUAAACAUAGAAAUUACCCAAAAUCAUCCAAAAUUUCUAAGUCUUCCACUGAAUAGAUUCUAACAACCCAAACCUUGCUAAGAUUUUACCCAUUAAAAAGAAUAUACAUGAAAAGGUCAUCUUCUGGAUCUUAAGGUUACUAUAGCAUUCAGAAGAUUCUCUAAACAAAGCAAUAAUUUCAAAGGAGCCUUGGAACCUAUUUCCCUCGUAGAUUCAGCAAUGUCGUCUAUCUCAAUAACAGUUUUUUGUCGUCGAGGAUGCAAGUUCCAAGUAGGACCCCUUCUUAUGAGCAAAAGAAUGAUAAGCACAAUGAUUAUCUUGCAUGUGACAUUGAGAUUUUAGGAGCACAAUGACCCACAUUACUGAAACCUUGAGAGCUCUUUGGAAAAUGACCAAGAGAACAUUGCUCGGAUGACUGAAACCUAUUCAACCUUUCUAGAAUCAACUUAAUAUGACCCAACUCUCUCAAAAGGAUGUCAGAAGUAGACAAAUCCAAAGGAAGUGAAAUAAAAACGCAACAAGAACGAAUAAAGCAAAAUACCCAUUAAAUAAUAGCUCUAUUUCAUGGGUUGUCAAUGAGCUUUUAAAAGCGGAUGAGAAAGUUUCAGUGAUCUUAACACAUGAAUAGUGGCAUAACUAUCAUGCAACACACACAGGUGAAAUAAACAAAAUGAGAAACAUACUUAACACAUUCAAGCAUCAAAACAAAAAUCCAAAUAUAAGUAAGAAGCAUAGUAUGACAUUGUAAAAAAAAAAAAAACCAUAGUGUGAAAUGGUCAUACCUGAGCAAUUCCCCUCGAGCAAAUGUUGCUUGGCUUCCAGCAAAUUGCAAUCCCUCUCCACUGUUCCUCGUUUCCCCCUCCCUAACUCUCUGUUUUGCUCUAAAUCUUCCAAAAGCUCAACCCCCCAAAGAAUCAGAAUCUCUCCCUUCUCAAAUGCUUCUUUCAUAGCUUGCUCACUCUCUAUAUUUCACAGCUUUUCCUCAUCUCCUUUUGUUCCUCCCAGCUCGUUGCCCCCUCUCCAAGCCUCCUAACAGUCUCUAAAUUUCCCCUCCACGUGUCACCUGCUAGUUCCCCAUAGAAAAGGUCCUUGCCAGCCCAUUAUGUCUCAUACACCUCAACCAAAACCCUCUAAAAGGUGGUAAAAAUGUGCUCUAAAAAUAUCCCCUACCUUUAGACCAAAAUGAGGGUCUACACAUACCAUCAAAAUGAGGGAAAGAGAAAAUGAAAAUAGAGAAUACUAAAAGGAAAAUGGAAAAUGUAUGACAUAACCAAGAAAAAAGAGAUAACUAAGCAAAAAUAGAGAAAAAGAAAAUAAAAGACUUUGCGUUAAAGUCGAUGAUGUUCCCAAAAGACAAUGCAAUAGGAGGGAUUUGACCAUAUGGGUAGAUGUCAAUUGAAAAAUCAUCACCAAUUUAUAGUAGGUAUAAAUUGAAAAGUUUUUUUUUGGACUUAUAAGAUAAUAAAAAAAGUUUAAGGGGCAUAUCAAAACUUCUACAAAUAAUUAUUAUUAUUAUUAUUAUUAUUAUUAUUAUUAUUAUUAUUAUUAUUAUAUUUUCUAAACCUUAAUAUUAUAUUACAUUUAUUUAUUAUUUUUAAUUUUAAAAUACUAAAACAAAAUUUUCUAAUAUAUUUAUAAUUAAUCAAGUAAAGUGUCUUAAUAUGAAAAUAUAUUCAUUUAUAAAGAUAGAAUCCAAUAAAUAAACAAACUAUUUAUUUUCAAGCAUAUCUGAGAUAAUAUUUUAUUUAUAUUAAUAUUUUUUAUACCAAUAAUAUAUAUUGGUUUCAACUUUUUAGUUUUUUUUAAAAAAAUUUGAAAAUAUCGAAAUGAUGUUUUUACUUUUUCCACUUUUUAGCUUAAUUUUCUACAAAAUUAAAAUAAAAAAUAUCAUCCAAACAUAUUUUCAAACUUGGUUUUUGUUUUCUUUGAGAAUAAAAACAAAAAAUAGUCUAAACAAAUAAACUUUAAUCUUCAAUAAUCAAUAAUAACUGGUUGAAGAUGCAUUUUAAAAGUAGAUGUGAUUACAAAGGUUUCAAAAGUGAUUAUGAAGAUUUUAAUUUGAUAGAAUAAUUUACAUUAAAUUUGGAAUAUAUAUAAAUAAUUGAAAAUUCUUAAAUGAUAUUUUUUUUUCUAGUUGUUAGUAAUUUUUAUAUUUUUAUUAAAAUAAAGAUAAUUACUAAUAAAUAUUUAAAAAUAAAUUUAAAAAUUUUUUAUUUAUCAAUUUUUUAUUUAUUAAAUACUACAAAUUUUAAAAUGUAAUACCAUAAUAGAAUAUAAUCUUUAAUCCUUAAAAUUGAAAUUGGAUCAAAACGAAAUCUAAUAUAGUCAACAUCAAUCCAAUGAAAACUUAAUGCAUUUUGUGUUUCAAGAGAGCUAAAAGAUAUCAUAAAAGGCAAACGGUUAGAAGGAUGGCACGAAAAACUCCAAUCCAAUGUGGGUGAUAGAGCAAAAAUGGAAGUAACCUCAAAAAAAAUGGAGCAAAGAUGAUAGUAACAGUAGGAAGAAAUCAAGCGAAGAUGGUGGUAAUAGCAAUAAAGAAAAAUCACAACUACAAAGAAUAGUGAGUAACAAAAGAUUUAGAGAAGAAAAGAAGAGUAAGUACCAAUCCUUAGAAUAAAAAAUAAAAAAAAUCAUUACACUUAAAAAUUUAAAAAUAUAUAGAAAAUGUAUAACAUAUGGAACGAGGAUAAAAAGGGAAACCUUAAAAAAUGAGGAAAAUAAUAUAACAAAAGGAAAACAUAUAGAAUGGAAAAAAAAAAAAAAAGCAUAUCAUUGGAGAGAAUGUAAAAGGAAAAAAAGAAAAUACAUCAUAUAACUAAGAAAAAAAAUUAAUAAAUAAAUAAAAGACUUUGAUUUAAUUUGGGAUUUCAAUAAAAGACAAUGCAAUAUGGGAUGAACUAUUGUCAACCAAAUUAAUGGUGGGAACUCAAAAGUGCAACAUGAUAAUUGAAGGGUUUUUGCUAAAGGAGUGUUAUUGGUACAUGUCAAUUGAAAAGGUGUUUUUUUUUUUUUUUUUUUGGGACUUAUAAGGUAAUAAAAUAAUUUUAAGGGAUUUUUUGGAGUAAAUUUUUUUUACAAGUUAUUGUAGUUUUAAUAUAGUAUAAAUAUAAAUAAAUAUAGAUAUAGAUAUAGAAUUUUUAUUUGGUUUUACUCUAGAAAUAUUUGACUUCUUGACCGUAAGGCUGGCAGACAUUUCAACAUUUUGCCCCCAAGAUGAUAGCAAAAAAAGUAAAAGCAUAUUAAUUAUCUUAUAUGAUUAAUGGACAGAUCAUAAAGUGACAUAUAUCCGGUAGUGACCAAAUCAAAAUUGUGUUGUAAAAACGUAUAGUCAUGAAGAUAUAUGUGACAAAAUAAAAGUAGCCUCAUGCAUGCAAUGAUUCUUAUAAAUAAAAUUGAGAUAAGAAUAACAUUUCAAAUGAUUGAUGAAUAUCCAUUUAUGUUUUUCCAAUUCUCUCCAAAUAGGGUUUAUCUCAAGUCUUCAAGUGGCAUAUACUUCGUAACAUUUGAAGGUUCUUCAAGUUUAAAGAUCUAAAAUUUCCUAAGAACAAUUUUGAAAAUUUGAAACUAUUUAAAGACAUAGUCGAGUCUCAAAGUGUCUUCAGUAUGAGAUCAAGCAUUUAAACAUUUGAGUUGACAUUUUUUUCUUUCGUAAAGAAGAAUUAGAGGAUAGAACGAGGAUGGUAUCUACUUUGUCAAUUCAAUAAAAUUUACAAUUUGAUCAUAUUUUUCUAUAAGCAAAAUUUAUGUAUAUAAAUUUCUAACGUGUUCAAUAGAAUAAGUGUUCAGUAGAAUAAUAUUUAUCUCUCAUCUUUUCUUCACAAAAAAUUUUCUAAUGGAGCUUAAGAAAAACAGUAACUCCACAACUCAAAGUAAGACAAAAGCAUCUUCCCAACACUAAGCUAAAUUAUUCUUCUCCUACACUAACUACAAUUCUUAAAGUUCUUUCUCCUAAGAAUCUAACCAUUUUAUUAGUAUUUUUUGAGCAAAAAACAAUAAUAUGGUUGAAUAAGUAAUAUAUGACACCUAAUCACAUCUUAAAAGUACUCUCAAACCCGAAGAAUCUUGUCAACAAUAAUCCAAAUUGCUUCUUCUCUUAAAUCAACUACAACUCUUGUUGUGACUUGAUUUUCAUUCAAUUUUGAAGAGAUUUUAAGUGAUAAUUGCACUCUUUCAACCUAAACAUAUGCUAACUUAAUUAGAGUACUAAUUAAGAUAUCUAUAAUUUAGUGAAGAAUACAAUAAGAAGAGGAUAAAAUCCACAUAUCAUGCAAGUUAAUAUGGUGAUAAGAAGAUUCAAGAUUGAUGAAAGCAAGUUGAAAAGGUUGAUGAUGCAUUUGAAAGACUUUGAUGUGCCAAAAGAUGUGAAAAAGAUGAGGAAGUAAGCAAUCAUUGAAUUUCCAAAGGCAUUUUGGUAUCAACUAAAGCAAACCGAAAUGAAAAUGUUGAAAGGAGUUCAAGAGGAUUUCAAUAAAGCAAAGCCAGUGUUGAAUCCAUUUCGACACUAAUUUCGAUACUAGACAACAAUUCAAUGAUGGAAUGCUUUAUCACAACAACAUGUCCAAAUGACACUUUAAUAGUGAAAUGAAAAGUCAUAUCAAAAUUAUGGGAACCAAAGCAAUACCAACAAGGCAAUAUCAAAAUUAUGACAAAGUCAUAAAACAUGUAUAUGUUGAAAUAGAAAGUUAAAAAUAUUAUAUGACAUAACAAUAAAUGGAAUUUAUUAAUAUUUAUUGACAAUUAAAUGAAGAAGGUACUAAAAUUAAAGUUGAGUAGUCAUUAUAUGUAUAUAUAUAUAUACAAAUUAAGGUUGUUUAGAGUUGUCUGAAAUUUUAAAAAAUAAGUUUAGUUUAAUUUUGUGUGAAAAAUUGGAUUUUAGUUUUAUAACAAAGCAAAUGGUUACAAAGAGAAAGGAGAAAAAAUGAAUUAUUUUUUCGUAAAAUAAAGCAAAACAAAAAAAUAUUUCAAAUAUUUUUCUAGACAAAAUUAGCUUAAAAAUGAUAAGUUAAAAAAACUCUAAAAAUGCCUUUUAAAUCUUAAUAAUUGCUUAAAUAAUUAAGCAUAAAUAAUAAUAAUAAUAAAUAAAACCAUUCCCUAACCGUAACAAUUUUAUUAGCGAAAUUUCAACUUGACAUUAGACAAGUUCUUACCAUCCUAAGGGGAUAAAAACAAUUAUGUUAUAUUUUAUUUUAAGAAAGUAUUAAGAAAAAAAAAACACAUAAAAGGAAGAUGAUUUUCUCAUAUUUUGUUUUAUCAUAAAAAAUAUAAAAGAAAAAAUAUAAUCAAAAUUAAUUAGAAACUUAUAUAUUUUUAAAUUAUUUAAUUUUUUUUAUAUAAAAUGGUUAAAAUAAAUUAAAUAAAUUUCUGAUAAUAUAUAAAAAUAAUUUAUUAAUUUUAAAUCUAUUUUUUAUUUUUCUUAUUUUUUAACUUUUGUUUUCUUUAACUCGCAUUUUCUCCAAGAACGAGCAAGGAAACAAUAUCUAUUGUACUUAUCAAUAUUGUCUUUUUAAACGAUUAGGAAAUGUUACAAAAAUGGCAUUCAUGUUUUUUCCUCCUCUAUUAUAUGGACAAUUAAAUAAGAGAUAAAAAUAAUGUACAAUUUUUUCCUACCUUAUUUUGCCCCUCUCCUUCUCUAUACCUUCUUGGCUCCAAAAUUUCCAAAAACCCAAAUUACAUAGCCACUCCUUACCAUAAUUUAGUCCUUAAGAUUCAAAUUUUGUGAGAUUCCCACCUUGAUCACCGUAAUCUUCUGGUUAAGGCAGUUUCUAAAAAGAGACAUUAGCACCCAUUUAUUAUUUCCUAUAAUAUAUAACUUAUCAUAGGUCAACCUUUUUUAUUGUUCCCCUUACUAAAAUAUUUAAAUUAGAAUAAUUGGAAUAAUAAGAUAAAAAACAAAGAGUAUGUUUGACCUUUAUGAUUUAAAAACAGUUUUCUAUUUUUAAAAUCAGAAAACUGCUUUUAAAAAUUUCUAAUACAAUUUAAUCAUUAUUCUUUGGAAACAAUUUUUAAAAACAAAGUAAAAUGGAAAAUACUUUUUAAAGAACAAAUUAAUAGGAAUUGUUUUUAUCAAUUUUUAAAAACAAAAUGAGAACAUGACCGGACAGACCAAAGCUUCCUUAAAAAUGUUAAACCUCAAAAUUUAUCUAUAACAGUAUCAUACCAUUAAAGGGCAUUAUUUUUUUACCAAAGGGCUUUUUUUUUUUUUUUCCAAAUUUGAUGGAUGACAAAAUCAAAAUUUCAUAAAGUCAUUACAUAUAAAAUAUAAAAUAUGGUAACUUCGUAAUUGAAAAUCAAAUAUCCUCCUUAUCUAAGAUACUAACGUCUAAACUUACCUACAAUGGAUUAUGAAAAUUCAUUGAUUGUUACCAUGCAUUUAUCUCCCUACUCCUAUUUUGUAAAGGAAUGGAUUUCCACAAUCCAUUUAUCCAUCUAAUAAUAAGCAAUUAAUUAACACCAAUAGAUCUAUGGGUAUAUAUAGAGGAGACAAAAAUUAAAUUCCUCACAUCAUUGGAACAAUUAGCAGUAGGACGCCGAGGAGAUGAUGGCAUGGAGAUCAGAUUUUCUAGUAUUCUGCAUGCUGAUGUUCUUCUUGGUGUCGACCAGUAGUGUUGUUCUAGGAAAACCGGCGGUUUUGAAUGUGAAAGAUUAUGGUGCAGUUGCAGAUGGGAAGACUGACAACAGUCGGGUAAUUUACUUGGUUGAUCUGUAAAAUCAUAAGGUAUAUACUGCUGAAUCUCUUGCAGUAAUGUUCUUGCAUUUUUUAUUUUUUAUUUCUUUGGUAAGGCUUUUCUGGAGGCAUGGGAAGCAGCAUGUGAACAGCAAGGAACGAGUGUUAUCACUGUUCCAAGAGGAGGAAAAUACUACGUGCGCCAAGUCGCAUUCACAGGACCCUGCAAAGGCUCCAUAACGUUCCUAAUUCAGGCCGAUCUUUAUGCCCCUACUGAUAAAAGUUCUCACACUCUUACGUACUGGAUCAAGUUCGGGUAUGUGGACUAUUUGACUAUCGCCGGACUUGCCAAUCUGUAUGGCGGAGGACCCUCUGCUUGGCCUUACAAGGGCUGCGGACAAGGUCAGGAGUGCUUACAAGUUGUUCCCCAUGUAAGUCUUCCCGGCUUUAAAACAAAUCUAUGAAGUUAAAGGAGAAGUUCUUACAUUGUCAAAAUUUACUUUUUCUCUUAUUCUGUGUGUGAUUAUGAACAGUCACUGAGAUUGGAGUUCGUCAAUCAUGCAUGGGUUCAUCAUAUAGGAUCAAUCGAUGCUAAAGAUAAGCACAUCAGCAUAUUCCAAUGUCAGGACGUGACGCUUAGUGAUAUUAGGACAACGGCCCCCCACGACAGCCCUAAUACAGAUGGAGUACACAUAGCAGUAUCGGAGAGAGUUAAGAUUUUGGAUUCGACAUUUAACACCGGAGAUGAUUGCGUAGCCAUCUUUUCUGGAAGCAAGGAUGUGAAUAUCAGCCAGAGUAUUUGUGGCCCGGGGCAUGGGUUUAGCAUUGGGAGCAUGGGCAAAUUCCCAGAUGAAGACCCCAUAACCAAAAUAAAUAUACGCAACUGCACAAUUAGCCAUACUGACAACGGUUUUAGGAUUAAAACAUGGGCCGUCUCCUCCUACCCGACCUUUGCUUCCGAUAUCACUGUUCAAGAUGUUAUGAUGGAUAACGUCCGCAAUCCCAUCAUCAUUGAUCAACAUUAUUGCCCUCGGGGAGGUUGUGAUCCGACGGUAUGUAUUUAUAGUGAGUUUAAUCUACCAUUUUUCAUUGCUGAAGAUAAUAAUAUAUGAUCAAUUGUGUAUGUGUAGGUUGAGUCACAAGUUCAGAUCAAAAACCUUCAGAUAAAGCGAAUAUGGGGGACUUCAACCACGGAAACUGCAGUGAAUCUCCAGUGCAGCAGCCAAAAACCAUGUCAGGGUGUUGAGCUUGAAGACAUCCUUUUACUUUUCAGAAAUCCCGAAGGUGGCAAACUACAACCUGCAGUUUCCUCAUGUGCCUAUGUGGUGGGCUCCUCCCGUGGCAAACAGGUCCCUAAGCCUUGCAUAUAGGCCUCGUCCAAGCAUGAAUGAAGCACCAUUACAUUGAGUUGAUAUAUAUGCUUGCUUUGGGCUCCCUAUGUUCUGUUUGCUGGCUGUGGAGAAAGAAAAAUACUAUGGUUUUGUAUCUCUGUCAAUUGUAAUAACAUAUGAUGCGAUUUUAAGUAAUUUGUAUCAUUUUUGUUAGAAAGUGGGGUAAUUUUGAUCUGUAUCAGUUAUAUCAAAUGGGGUAAAUCACAAUCAAGGGCUGGUUUAGGAGAUGGAAUUACCAACCUUUAUCUACGCAUCAUUUGCCCACCACAAAUUUUCAACCAUUAUGAUAAUUAUCUGCAUCACAAAUCAUAGUAUUUGCCAUACAAAUUUAAUUAUAAAUCAUUCUUAGGAUUUAUUUCAUUAAAACCUUACUAAAAAACCAUAUGACAAAAAUCUAGCAAAUUAAAAAGAGUCCAAUAUUCUUUUAAUGCUUUUGGGACUACUAUAACGUACCGCUCCAUGGGACAAAAAAAAUGUAGAGUGUUAUGUAAUAACAUUCUUAUCAGUCUACUCUUUCUCAUAUAGCCAUGAUUAUACUUUCUUCAAUAGCUCAAUAUGAAAUAUUUGAGUUUACGUAUUUUGAUGUUAUAUAUGAAAGUGUUGCAACUAACAAAUGUUUUUGUGAAUAUCCAUCAUAUUUUCAUUUAAUCUUAUUUAUUGAAUCUUUAUUUCACCAUUCUUUUGGAGCUGAGUGUAAAAGAAAUUUGAUGAGAUAUGUUUAGUUCCAUCACCCUUAAUAUAUCCUUCUUUUAACAUAUGCAAUAUAUACAACAUUAUCUUUAUAUAAUAUUAUCUAAUUGUCCUUGAUGAAAGAUUGUUUGUUGGAUUACAAUAAAUUUCAACCACACACAUUCUUGACUAGCUUAAUGAAUUACAAUAAUUUUUAAAAAAUCAAAAGGUAGCUAACAUUGUCUCCUUACUAAAAUAUUCCUGGAAAUAAACAGAUAUGUAUGGAAUUUCGAAAAAUAACCAACAUAUAUAUUCAAGUUACCAUAGUUUUGAUCAUCUUGAAUAAAAUAAUUAAUUAUAAAUCAGUUGUUCCACAAUGCAUAUUUGAUCUAGAUCCAAACAUUUUGUGUAAGUGCAAAAUCAUAUCUUGCUAGAAAAUUGAUAGAGAUUGUUAUGACUAACCAUAUACAAUUUAUAAAAUACAUUAAUUUAUUAAUUGCACUAACAUAUGAUUCUUCUAGACUAAGCACUAUGUCAUUUUCUUUUUUGGGAUGAAAUAUAUUUUUAUUCACUUCAAGUAAAUGAAUAACACAUGAAUGGAGUGUGAUUGUUCAUAUGAAAGUAAUACUUCAAGACUUUGCCUAUACAAGUUAACUAAUGGGCUAAGACUCCACUUGGUUUUGUAACGUCUUUUAUUUCAAAUUCUUUUAUUAGAUAAUUAAUUAGUCUUAUUAGCUCUUAAGAAGUGACAACAAGAUUAUAAUAAUUAUAAAAUCCUCACUUUAAUCGAUAUAAGGAUGCCAUUUGAUAAAGUAUAUCAUCAUUAUACUUUAUCUAGAAUGUGAUAUUGAGAUUUUUAAUCAUUGUAACAAAUAUUUUUAAUCAUUUAGGUCAAAUUUGGUAGACCGGGACAUGGGAUAGGAUAAGGGAAAUGAUAUUUUAUCAUAUCUCAUGUUUGGUUGAUGAUGAGAUAGGGCAAGUUAUUCUAUUACUUAUUUUAUCAUAUAUUCAAUCAAAUAUGAAAUAAGAUAAGUAGUUAAAUAUAUUAUUCAUUUUUUUUUUAUCCCUUUUACAUGAUGUUAUCAUAUCCCAUUAAAAAUCAUAUCCUAAGAUAUGCAUUUCUUAUUCAAUAAGAUAUAAUAUUUUAGGAUAUGCAUAUACUAUCAUAUCUUAUCCCUUCAACCAAACGUAAUCUUAGGGAUUUUUUAAUCUUUUAGGGAUAUUGUUUACUUUAAGAACUAUUAACCAUGCCAUUAAAGCAUUACUAGAGUUAAUACAAGGUCUUUAUAGGAAACUGUUAGCCCAAGGGUUCUCCUAAUCAGGUUUUGAUGAUAACAAAUCAUGGUUAAGUGACUAAUUGGUUUGAAUGGUAAAAAAUCUCAGGUAUAAAUUCGGAAAUUCAUCAAAUGACCAAAUUGAUACAAGAUCAAGAAUUUUGAUCAUAGGAAACUAAUAUAAGAUUAAUGCAUGGGUGCACUUAGGUUUUUCAUACCUUUCCACGCAUCUUUGAAAACUCAGUUUAUUCUUUAAAAUUUCAAUUUCAUUAAAACUCGAGUUUUAUCAAAUGUACCUGAGGCAAAACGUUUCAGAAUUGGUAUAUUAAUUUUCCUAAAGACCUUGCCUAAGUGUUAGAAAAGAAAGGAAUUGAAAAAGAUAAGUUGUCAGGGCCAAAAGGUUGAACCGGUCAAGGCUCUGGCCAACCGGCUCAACCGGUUGGGGAACCGAUCGACCGGUUGCCCUUGUCCGGUCGAGGAGCGCCAAAAACAGUCUCUCUCAUCCAAUAGCUUCCUUUUCCCGGUUGAGGUUUCCUCCUUCUUGGUCGACCCCCAGCUCGACCGAUCGAGGCUGCCUUUUGCUUUUCUUGGCUUCCUAACUUAGAAACCUAUAAAUUGAGAGCUCCACUUCAUUUAUGACAUAGAGAAAACUUGUAAUCAAUUGUCUACCCACCUGUUAUUGGCUUAAAAGCUCUCAUUUUUUCUUAGUGCAUUAAAUCAUCACUUGCAUAUCUUUUAAUGCACCCUUUUGAGUCAUCCUAGCUUUGUUUUGUAUUUGAGCUAGAUUGAGGGAUUCUUUCUCAUAAAACUUGAGUGUUAAAGCCUUUAAGAGGUUUGAAUCUUGAAAAGAUUAUGUAAGAGCCCAUUGGAGCCAGAAUCCAAGUGUAAAGGAUUUGAAGCUUGGUUGAAGCUUCAAGCUAGUGGAACCCUCACUCGGUUAGGAGAUUGAGGAGAGUGGACGUAGGCAAGGAAGUGUCGAACCACUAUAAAAUCCGAGUUUGAAUUCUCUAAUUUUAUCUCUUUACUUUUUUAUUAUAUUGUGCUUGAAUUUGUUGUGUUGAAAAGUUUUUGAAAAACUCAAUUCACCCUCAUCUUGGGUGUUUUUUCUCAUUUAAGCAUAGAUUUUAUUUUUUCAAUUAGUAUCAAAGUUAGGCCUCUUGUUUAAGACUUAAUCGUCUAAAAGAAAAUGACUAUUCCACCAAGCUCAUCUCAAACUGAAAAUUUUACAAAACAUAGAGCUCCAUUUUUUACAGGAACCGACUAUCCUUAUUAGAAAACUAUAAUGACUUGGUAUUUACAAUCAAUCGAUUUAGACGUAUGGGACAUCAUUGAAGGUGACCCAACUUUUCCUACAAAACUAGUUGACGGAGUCUUGGUUCCAAAACUCAAGUAAGAAUGGAAUGAGCUUGAUAGAAGAAAUUUUUAAUUAAAUGCUAAAGUCAUUUUUACUUUGCAAUGUGUUAUGGAUAGAAAUGAAUAUAAUAGAAUAUGUCAAUGUAAAUCGGUUAAAGAAAUUUGGAGAUUGAUUGAAAUAACUCAUGAAGGAACAAAUCAAGUGAAAAAGUCAAAAAUAAAUAUACUUGUUCAUAACUAUGAAUUGUUUGUAAUGAAAGAAAAUGAGACCAUUGUUGAGAUUAUUACUAGGUUCACCAACAUUGUCAAUGGUCUUGAAGCAUUGGGAAAGACCUAUAAAGAAUCCGAAAAGGUGAUGAAGAUAUUGAGGUCACUUCCAUCAAAGUAACAUACAAAGGUCACCGUAAUUCAAGAAGCAAAAUACUUGACCAAGUUACCUAUGGAGGAGCUCAUAGGGUCAUUAAUGACAUAUGAGAUCAAUUUGACAAAGAAGCUACAAGAGGGUGAAGACAAAAAGAAGAGCAUAGCUCUCAAAGCUACAACUAAGGAAGAAGAAAAUGUUGAAGAAGAAAAACCAAGUGAAGAAGAUGGUGAUUUAGCCCUCAUCAUAAGAAAGCUCAACAAAUACAUGAGGGGUGAAAAGUUUAGAGAAAAAAAGUUCACCUCUAGAAGAGACCUUUCUAAAAAUGAAUCUUCAUCUCAUGGUGAUAAGGACAAAUGGUAAGAGAAAAGAGAUUUGGUGUGUUUCAAAUGCAAAAAAAUCGGGACACAUUAAAUAUGAUUGUCCUUUCUACAAAAGUGAAGUCAAGAGAAGAAUGAAGAAGGCAAUGAUGGCCACUUGAAGUGAAAGUGAAGAAUCCUCUGAAGAAAAAAAUGAGAAAGAAGUGGCAAACAUGUGCUUCAUGGCAAUAGAUGAACUUGAUGAGGUAAACUCUAACUUUAGUGAUGAAGAUAUGCAUGAUGUUUUUAAAGAAUUAUAUGAGGAUUUUGAAAAACUUAGUUUGAAAAAUAAUUCUCUUAAAAAGAAAAUUCAAGAACUUGAAAAAGAAUUUGAAGAAGUGAAAGAAAAAUUUUCAAUUGUUGAAAUUUCUAAAACUCAUAUUGAAAAAGAAAAUGAGAUUUUGAGAAAUGAAAAAGAGAUUUUGAAAAAGAAAAAUGAAUGGUUGACCUCCUUUCUUUAAAUUUUUUUCUUGUGGACAAAAAUCUUUUAAAAUAAUUUUAGUUAGCCAAAAAUGUGUUUUUGACAAACAAAAGCUAGGAUUCAAAUCUUCAAAAAAUCAAAAGUAUUUUAAAAACUACUUUGUAAAAGAAUCCUCACGUGCAAGUCCUUCUACCACUUGCAACUUUUGUGGAAGGGGAGGGCAUAUUAGGUUACAUGUCCCUUAAGAAAUGGUUCUCAAAGGAAUUCAAAUGCAAAAACUAAAAAGGUUUGGAUUGAAAAAUCUAAGGUCACUAACCCUCAAGGACCCAAAAAGAUAUGGGUACCUAAAUCAACUUGAAUUUUAUUUUGUAGGGUUCAAAGAAGGAUAAGUGGUUAUUGGAUAGUGGAUGCUCGAGACACAUGAUCGGGGAUGAAUCCAGGUUUGCUUUCCUUACAAAGAGAAAUAGAGGAUAUGUUACCUUUGGAGACAAUGCAAAAUGAAGAAUCAUUGGUUAAGGCAACAUUGGUUAAGGCAAAAUGAAAAAGGUUUUACAAUUGUUUGUAUAAGAAGUGAUCAUGGAAGAUAAUUUGAAAAUAUUGAUUUUGAAGAAUAUUGCAAUGAGCAUGGUAUUAACCCUAAUUUUUCGACUCCCAGAACUCCUCAAAAAAAUUGGGUAGUUGAAAGGAAAAAUAGAACUCUUCAAAAAAUGGCUAGAACCAUGCUAAAUGAAAACAAUUUACCAAAAUAUUUUUGGGCCAAAGUGGUUAACACCUCUUGUUACGUUUUAAAUAGAAUAUUAUUGAAGCUCAUUCUUAAGAAAACUCCCUAUGAGCUUUGGAAAAACAAGUUUCCCAACAUUAGCUAUUUCAAAGUCUAUGGGUGCAAAUGUUUUAUAUUAAACACCAAAGUCAAUCUUGAAAAAUUUGAUGCAAAAUCGGAUGUUGGAGUUUUUCUUGGUUACUCAACUUCAAGUAAAGCCUUUAGAGUUUUCAACAAAAGAACCAUGGUGUUAAAGGAGUCCAUCCAUGUUAUUUUUUAUGAAUCCAACAAUUCUCUCCAAGAAAGAGAGAGUUUUGAUGAUGAUUUAGGCUUGGAGACCUCCAUGGGAAAAUUGCAAAUUGAAUAUAGAAGGCAACAAGAAGAAAUUGGAGAGGAUCCCAAGAAAGAAGAAUCACCUUUGGCACUACCCCCUUCCUCAACAAGUGCAAGGUGAAUCAAGUCAUGACCUUCUUAAAGAUUGAAAGUUUGUCAUCAACCACCCACAAGAUCAAAUUAUAGGUAAUCCAUCUAAUGGGGUAAGAACUAGAUCAUCUAUUAGAAAUAUCUACAAUAAUCUUGCUUUUAUCUCUCAAAUUGAGCCUAAAAAUAUAAAUUAUGCUAUAGUUGAUGAAAAUUGGACGAUUGCUAUGCAAGAAGAGUUAAAUUAAUUUGAAAGAAGUAAAGUAUGGGAUUUAGUGCCAAAACCUUCAAAUCAAAGUGUUAUUGGAACUAGAUGGAUUUUUAGAAAUAAAAUGGAUGAAAAUUGCAUAAUUAUUAGAAAUAAAGCAAGAUUGGUAGCCCAAGGUUAUAAUCAAGAAGAAGGGAUAGAUUAUGAAGAAACCUUUGCUCCCGUAACUAGAUUGGAAGUCAUUAGGAUGCUACUUGUCUUUGCAUGUUUUAAUAACUUUAUUUUAUAUCAAAUGAAUGUGAAAAGUGCUUUCUUAAAUGGCUUUAUAAAUGAAGAAGUAUAUGUUGAACAACCACCCGGUUUUCAAAGCUUUUACUUUCCUAACCAUGUUUUUAAACUUAAAAAGACACUUUAUGGUUUGAAACAAGCACCUAGAGCAUGAUAUGAAAGAUGGAGUAAAUUUCUUUUGAAAAGAGGUUUUAAAAUGGGAAAAAUUGAUACAACUAUUUUCAUAAGGACCAAAGAAAAUGACAUGCUCUUAGUUCAAAUAUAUGUUAAUGAUAUUAUUUUUAGAGCUACUAAUGUCUCUCUUUGUGAAGAAUUUUCUAAGUGCAUGCAUAGUGAGUUUGAAAUGAGCAUGAUAGGAGAACUCAACUUCUUUCUUGGAUUUCAAAUCAAGCAACUAAAUGAAGGAACUUUCAUCAAUCAAGCAAAAUAUAUAAGAGAUCUUCUCAAAAGGUUCAACAUGGAAGAAGCCAAAAUAAUGAAGACUCCAAUGAGCUCAUCCAUCAAGCUUGAUAAGGAUGAGAAAGGUAAAUCCAUUUACUCAACUAUAUACAGGCAUGAUAGGUUCUUUGCUAUAUUUGACCGUAGUAGACCCGAUAUCAUGUAUAGUGUAUGCUUGUGUGCUAGAUUUCAAUCUUAACCUAAAGAAUCUCACCUAAGUGCCUUAAAAUGAAUUCUUAGAUAUUUGAAAGGGACAAUGGACAUAGGCUUAUGGUAUCCUAAGAGUGAUAACUUUGAAUUAAUUGGAUUCUCGGAUGCCAAUUAUGUCGGUUGUAAGGUUGAAAGAAAAAGCACCAGUGGCACUUGUCAUUUCUUAAGACAUUUACUUGUUUCAUGGCAUAGUAAGAAGCAAAAUUCGAUAGUUUUGUCAACGGCAGAAGCCGAAUACAUAGCAAUCGGUUUAUGUUGUGCACAAAUUCUUUGGAUGAAACAAACACUUAUGUAGUGUUUGUUUUUUUUACUUUUUUGCUGAAAGCAAUUUGUUUUCAGAAUUUAAGUUGUUUUUUUUUUCUACUUUUUCAUAACUUAUUAUAAACUUUUUACUAAAUAGAAAAAGCCAAAAUAUUUAGUUUUUUUUAAAUAGAAAAAAUAACAUAUUGGUUUUUCUUUACUUUUUAAUACUUAAUAGAAAUAAAAUACUACAAAAACAAACAACCUAAUAUGUAACACUAUUAAGCAUUAAGGUUCUAUUUAGAAUUAAGUAAAAAAACAAACACCACCUUAGUGAUUUUAAUUUGUCUUUUGAACAUGUUCCUAUUAAAUGUGAUAAAGUGCCAUAAAUAUUUCAAAAAAUCCCGUGCAACACUCUAGGACUAAGCAUAUAGAGAUUAGACACCAUUUUCUUUGAGACCAUGCACAAAAGGGUGACAUUACACUUGAUUUUGUAAGCAGAAAAGAUCUACUUGUCGAUAUAUUAACAAAACCUCUAAGUGAAGAACAAUUUGUUAAUAUUAGAAGACAACUAGGGGUGAUUUCUUCAUGAUUGCUUAAUGAAUUCUUGAUGAAUAUACCUCUGAUUGCAUGAAUUUCAUGUGAUAUGCAUCAUAUAGACAUACGCUUAGUUAAAUGGUCAAUUUUGACCAAAAAUAAAAAUUCCCUUAGCAUUGGGCAUAAAAAAAUUGGGGAUUUCAACUGAAAAUGGCAGGGAAAGGAUCAUGAGACGAGAAAACGCACAAAAUGAGAAAAGUUAAACCGCGUUGACUGUUGACCAAGCGGUCGACCGAAUUAGGACCGGUUGACGAGUUCGUCGGGCUGUUGUUUUAAAUACCCCUCCCGCACCUCAUUUUCUCUCCCGUUUCCUCUAGUUCUUCAAGUGUUCUGCCGAUUCGACUGCCUAGAAGAGAUUUUUGACACCAUUGCAGCAAUUUGAGGGGUUCGGAUUGAUUUUUGGGACCUAGGGCUUCAAUUUUGGACAGUUUCCCCUCCUAGGGUUCUCCUAAUCAAGUUUUUCAUCAAAGAACUAAAUGCAAGAUCGAGACUUUUGAUCAUAGGAAAUGAAUGUAAGAUGAGUGCACUUAGGUUUUUCAUACAUUUUCAUGCAUCUUUGAAAACUCGAUUUAUUGUUUAAAAUUUUGAUUUCAUUAAAACCCGAGAUUUAUCAAAUGUACCUUAGGUAAAAUGUUUCAAAAUUGGCAUAUUAAUUUACCUUAAGACCUUGCCUAAGUGUUAAAAAAGAAAGGAAUUGAAAAAGAUAGGUUUUUGGGGCCAAAAUGUUGAAUCGGUUGAGGCUUUGGCCAACCGGCUCAACCGGUUGGGAAACUGGUCGACCGAUUGCCCUUGUUCCGUCGAAAAGUGCCAAAAACACACUCUCUCUCAUCCAGUAGUUUCCUUUUCCCGAUUGAGGCUUGGUCGAGGCAACGGUAACUUGUCAAACGGUUAGUGAACCGAUCGACCCCUAGCUCGACCAAUCGAGGCUGCCUUUUGCUUUUCUUGGCUCCCGAGCUUAGAAACCUAUAAAUUGAGAGCUCCACUUCAUUUAUGAGAUAGAGAACACUUGCAAUCAAUUGUCUACCUACCUGUUCUUGGCUUAAAAGCUCUCAUUUUUUUCUUAGUGCAUUAAAUCAUCACUUGCAUAACUUUUAGUGCACCCUUGUGAGUCAUCCUAGCUUUGUUUUGUAUUUGAGCUAUCUUUGAGUUAGGUUGAGGGAUUCUUUCUUGUAAAACUUGAGUGAUAAAACCUUUAAGAGGUUUGAAUCUUAAAGAGAUUGUGUAAGAGCCCAUUGGAGUCGGAAUCCAAGUAUAAAGAAGUGAAAGCUUGGUUAAAGCUUCAAGCUAGUGGAACUCUCACUUGAUUAGGAGAUUAAGGAGAGUGGACGUAGGCAAGGAAGUGUCAAACCACUAUAAAAUCCGAGUUUGAAUUCUCUAACUCUAUCUAUUUAUUUUUUAUUAUAUUGUGUUUGAAUUUGUUGUGUUGAAAAGGUUUUUGAAAACCCAAUUCACCCCCCUCUUGGGUGUUUUUCUCAUUUAAGCAUAGCUUUUAUUUUCUCAGAAACCUUAUGCUAUAAUUUUUACUUUAUCUCAUAUUACACUUCUAUAUAAUAAAAUAGAAUGAAAUAUUAUUUUUCAUAUAUACUUUGAAAUAAGAAUAUUUGAAGAAAAUAAGAUUUCAUACAUUUCUAAAUAUGAUUAAAUAUUUUUGGUAAACAACAACUCUUAUGAAUGAAUUUUUAUUUUCUUUUACUAAUCAGUGUUAUGCUAAUAACUUGUUAUAAAAUAAAUAUAAAAAAUAAGAUAAAAUAAUGAAAAGAAAAUAAAUAAUUAUUUGAUCACUUCUUACUACCCAAAAAUCUUUGUUUACAAGUUAAGGGUAACACAAAUAUGGCAAUUAUACCAACAACAUAAUUGCGUUGUCAUCUAUAAAUUGUGAUACAAAUUUAUAAUAAUAAUGUAUUUUUUAUUGUUUUUAAUUUUUGCUAUUUUUAUUUUAAAAUUAUGUAAUAAAAUAUUCUAAUAUGCCUAUAAUUAAUCAACUAAAAUGAAUUAAUUCCUAAUAUAAAAAUAUAUACUUAUAAUAGUUUAUAUUCUAAUAAAUAAACAAAAUACUUAUUAAUAUGAGAUCAUAUUUGAUUUAUAUUAAUAUUUAUUUUACAUUUAUAAUAUUUAUAUUUCUUUCACAUGGUGGUGUAAUUUCUAAUUUACAAGUGAUUCUCUUUUGAUUUUGUCUUCUUUUUGAGGUCCCAACCUUAUGUUACUUUUAUUUUAUUCUAAUUAUGCUAUGAAAAAUAUUGUAAAUUUAUUUAUAUUAAUACACAGAAUUAUAUUUAUAUAUAAUUCUGUGUUAUUUUGGCAAUGAAUAUAUUGUGAUUAAAAAUCCAUCAAAUCUAUGAGAUUAUUUUCUUUUAUUGCAAAAAAUAAAAUUAGAAUUCAAAAUGUUUAUCAAAAAGAUAAAUAAUUGGAAAACCCAUUGCAUUGGGAUUUAUUAAUAAAAAUAUAUAUACCACUUUGUCUUCUCUAAAACAAAUUUUGCUUUCAUAAAUAUUAAAAUAAAACUUUAAUAAAUAAAUAAAUAAAUUUUAAUUAUUUUAUUUUCAAAUUGGAAAUAUAAAGACCAUUGUGAUAAGUAAUUACUUUUAAAUAAAAAAAUAGUCAUACUUAUAAUCUCGUUUUUUUUUCUAUCUUUAAAAACAUAAAAAAAAUAGUCAUACUUAUAAUCUCGUUUUUUUUUUCUAUCUUUAAAAACAUCAUUACAGAAUUAAAUAUGUUUGAAAUAUUACAUAUUAUUAUCUAAUGUCAUAAAUUUUGUUAAUAAAUAUAUUAUUUUUCUAGAAAAUAUAAUUUUAAUAUAUACAUUAUUUUUAUUUUAUUAUUAUUUAGAAUUUUUUGCGAAAUUUUUGUAAGUUAUGAUAACUUCUACCCAUCGAAAGUUUUUAAAAAUAAAAAUUGUUCGAUAUUCUUCAAAUGUACACAAAUUUUAAUCAUCGAGGUUAGUCUUGUUAGAUUAAUUUUUGUAAUUAAUCUAUAAUUUGGGCCACACAUGUAAAUAAUUAAAAUGUGUGUGCUAUCAUUUAAUUAAGCCUAAAUAUAGUGAUCUAAUUAAUAAUUGAUUAAUUGGCUUAAGGGUAUAAUUGUCAUGAGAUUAUUGUGUAGAUACCAUUAGACAAUUAUUAUUUCUAUGAGGGGCAAAAAUAUAAUUGUGAUAAAAUUAAAACUGCCCUAGCGGUUUAUAAAUAGGGUUAUGGUCCCCAUUCUACGACUACGCAUUCCAAUUUCUGAAAAUCCUCUCAGAGAGAAAUUGACACAGAAUCUAGUGGCUAGAAUUGGAAGACCAUCUCAAAGGGUUUUCUUCCUAUAAAGUUUUCUUCUUCAAUGGAUUCAGGUAUGCUUCCGCUAUUAUUUUUCUACUCAUUGUUUUUAAUCAGGAGAUUCCAGUAUAUAUGAAAUUAGGGUAUUCACCUUGUUAAAUAUUCUAGUAUAUAUGAAAUUAGGGUAUUUACCUUGUUAACUAUUCCAGUAUAUAUGAAAUUAGGGUAUUCAUCUUGGUUGAUUUUAACAAGACUAUUCCAGUAUAUAUGAAAUUAGGGUAUUCAUCUUGGUUGAAUUUUAACAAGUGGUAUCAGAGCCUACUCCUUGAUUAAUUCUUUGAGUUAUUAUUUUAAUAUUUGUCAAUGGAUUAAGAUUUAUGAAAUAUUGAGUUGAUAAAUUUUUAUUAUUAUUAUUAUUAUUAUUAUUAUUAUUUAAUAGCAUUUUAUGAUAUUAAUAUUUAAGUUAUUGAUCUAGCAUUUUAAAUAGGCCAAUUAAAGCGGAAAAUCACCAAAGUGACAUCUUCCGUGUAGAUUAGUCUGUUCGGGGUGUUAGAUAUUUGUGUGUAUGUGAUUCAUGCGGGUAUUGACUGGCCCAAAGGAAAGUUAAUAUUUGGUCAAAUUGCAUACAUACUUGUGGUGAUAAAUAUGUGAUGAUUAUAAAGGUAACUUAAUGUGAAUAAUAAAUCAAUCCAAAGAUAGAUUUAUUAUUUGACAUAACUUAUCAUCAAUGUUUGAUCACUACAACAAGAGUACCACUUACAAUUAAUAUUACUGUCCAAAGACUUGAUAUUAAUGUUGUGCUAGGUAUCUUGAAAUGUCAUAAUUUGCUUUUAAAUUUAAAGAUUAUGUGUUUAAUUGCUUAUUUUAUGUGAGCAUGAUGGUUUAUUUGAUUCAUUUUAUUUUGUUCUGGAUUCAGCUUUUAUAUCAACUACUUCUAUAUCUGCCAACAUCAAUAAUGUCCCUAUGUUAAAUGGGACUAAUUUUAAGGACUAGAAAGAGAAUAUGAUGAUUCUUUUAGGCUGCAUGGAUAUAGACUUGGCCUUGAGAAUGCCCAAACCCGAUGAACUCAAUGAGCAAAGUACUCAAGAGGAUGAGGUUUAUUGAGGUAAGUGGGAACGUUCAAAUAGGCUAAGUCUUAUGAUCAUGAAGCGCGGCAUUCCAGAAGCUUUCAGGGGUGCGGUAACCGAUGAGGUUACUAAUGCCAGUGACUUCCUUACGGAAAUUCAGAAACGUUUUGCCAAAAACGAUAAGGCUGAAACGAGCACUCUUUUAGCAAGCUUGAUUUCAAUGAAGUAUAAAGGCAAGGGUAAUGUUCGGGAGUACAUCAUGGAGAUGUCUCAUCUUGCUUCAAAACUUAAGGCUUUGAAACUCGAGUUAUCUGAUGAUUUACUCGUGCAUUUGGUUCUCAUCUCUCUUCCUGCACAAUUUAAUCAAUUCAAGGUCAGUUAUAACUGUCAAAAGGAUAAAUGGACUCUUAAUGAGCUCAUUUCAUUCUGUGUACAAGGGGAAGAGAGAUUGAAGUAAGACAAGACCGAAAGUGCUCAUCUGGAUAGCACUUCGAAGGAUAAGGGCAAACGAAAGAAUAAGGAUAAUAAGGUUGCUGCUUCUAAUGGUCCAGAACAAAAGAAACAGAAAGUUGAGGUAACAUGUUUCUUCUGUAAUAAGCCUAGACAUACUAAGAAGGAAUGUACCAAGUAUGCUGCUUGGCGUGUUAAGAAAGGUAUGUUUCUUACUUUGGUCUGUUCUGAAGUUAAUUUAGCUUCAGUAUCUAGAACACAUGGUGGUUAGAUUCUGGUGCUACUACUCACAUCUGUGUUUCUAUGCAGGGUUGCCUGAGUUACCGAAAACCAAGUGAUGCUGAAAGAUGCAUCUAUGUCGGAGACGGUCAGUCGGUAGAAGUAGAGGCAAUAGGGCACUUUAGAUUAUUAUUGAAAUCUGGUUAUUUUUUGGAUUUAAUAGAUACUUUUAUUGUACCGUCUUUCAGACGGAAUUUAAUUUCAGUUUCUGUUUUGGACAAAUCAGGUUAUUGUUGUUCAUUUGGAAACAAUAAAUUUACAUUAUCUAUUAAUUCAAAUGCUGUAGGAACCGGUUUACAUAAUGUUUAUGAUAAUCUAUAUUUGUUGGAAACUGUUCCGUCCUAUAAUGAAACCUUGCAUGUGGAAUCACGAGGUACAAAACGUAAAUUGAAUAAAGAUAAUUCGGCCUCAUUGUGGCACAAACGCUUAGUGUCAUAUCUCUAAAUCUAGAGUUGAGCGACUUGUGUCCGAUGGGAUUUUGGAUUCACUUGACUUUUCAAAUUUUGAUAUUUGUGUUGAGUGUAUUAAAAGAAAACAGACCAAAACAAAGAAAUUAGGUGCCAAUAGAGCUACAGACGUCUUAGAAUUAAUUCAUACAGAUAUCUGUGGACCAUACCCUACGACAUCUUGGAAUGGUCAACAGUACUUUAUAACAUUCAUAGACGACUACUCAAGAUAUGGCUACCUAUUUCUUAUACAUGAGAAAUCACAAUCAUUGGACGUGUUCAAAACAUUUAAAACAGAAGUUGAGUUACAACUCAACAAAAGAAUAAAGAGCGUCAGAUCUGACCGUGGUGGUGAAUACUAUGGUAGAUAUGACGGAUCAGGUGAACAACAUCCAGGACCAUUUGCUAAAUACCUAGAGGAAUGUGGGAUCGUCCCUCAAUACACCAUGCCAGGAUCACCUAGCAUGAAUGGUGUAGCAGAAAGACGAAACCGAACCCUUAAGGACAUGGUAAGGAGUAUGAUUAGUCAUUCUACUUUACCCGAAAAACUCUGGGGUGAAGCACUCAAAACGGCAGCUUAUAUCCUAAAUCGGGUGCCAACUAAAGCGGCUGCUAAAACGCCUUAUGAGCUUUGGACGGGUCGAAAGCCCAGUUUAAAGCAUUUUCAUAUUUGGGGAUGUCCAGCUGAAGCGAGACCUUAUAAGCCUCAUGAAAAGAAAUUGGACUCUAAAACAGUUAGCAGCUACUUUAUUGGCUAUGCAGAGCGAUCAAGGGGUUUUAAAUUUUUUGAUCCUGCUAUUAGGUCAAUUUUUGAGACGGGAACUACAACAUUUUUUUAGGAUGUUGAGUUUGGGGGGAGAAAUCAGGCUAGGAAUAUUGUCUUUGAGGAGGAAGAGGGAUCUACUAUUGCUUUUGAUAAUGUACAGGUUUCACUACCUAUCAUUGAUCAAGAAGUAAAUUUGGAUCCUCAACCAACAGACAAUAUUGUUCAACCCUUAAUUGCAAAUGAGGACAUUGCUCCUGAAGAACAAACUCAACAACCUCAAGAAAAUAUGCCAUUAAGGAGAUCCACUAGAGAGAGGAGAAAUGCAAUUUCGGACAAUUAUAUCGUAUAUCUCCAGGAAUGUGAGGUAGAUAGUGGAAUGAUGGAAGAUGAUCCAAUCAACUUCCAGCAAGCCAUGAAAAGUUCCAACUCUCAAAAAUGGAUUGAAGCCAUGAAUGAAGAGUACAAAUCUAUGCAAGACAAUAAAGUUUGGGAACUUGUCCCAUUACCAGUUGGUACGAAGCCCAUUGGUUGUAAAUGGAUAUUUAAAACCAAGCGGGAUUCAAAUGGUAAUGUAGAAAGAUAUAAAGCACGUCUUGUAGCUAAAGGCUUUACUCAAAAAGAAGGAAUUGACUUCAAAGAGACCUUCUCUCCAGUUUCUACGAAGGACUCUUUCAGGAUAAUCAUGGCACUAGUUGCACAUUAUGAUCUUGAGUUACAUCAAAUUGAUGUUAAAACAACGUUUCUCAAUGGUGACAUUGAUGAAACAAUUUAUAUGGUACAACCAGAAAAUUUUGUGUCCGAAGACUCAAAGAAUAUGGUUUGUAAAUUAACUAAAUCCAUUUAUGGGCUCAAACAAGCUUCUCGUCAGUGGUACUUCAAGUUUCAUCAAAUUAUUGUCUCAUAUGGUUUUGAGGCAAAUCUUAUGGAUGAAUGUGUGUAUCACAAAUUCAGUGGGAGUAAGUAUAUUUUCCUGGUUUUAUAUGUCGAUGACAUAUUGCUAGCCACAAAUGAUAUUAGCAUAUUGCACGACACCAAGAGAUUUUUAUCAAAACAUUUUGAGAUGAAAGAUCUUGGUGAUGCCUACUUUGUCUUAGGAAUCCAGAUACACCGAGAUCGCUCUAGGGGUAUUUUAGGAUUGUCACAAAGGACCUAUAUUGAUAAAGUCCUCCAAAGGUAUGGCAUGCAAAAUAGCAAACCAGGUGAUACCACUGUCGCUAAAGGAGACAAAUUCAGUCUUAAUCAAUGCCCUAAAAAUAGUUUAGAAAGUCAAGAAAUGCAGAAGAUUCCUUACGCUUCGGCUGUGGGGAGUCUAAUGUAUGCUCAGGUAUGUACACGUCCGGAUAUUGCGUACAUUGUUGGCAUGUUAGGCAGAUAUCUAAGUAACCCUGGAAUGGAUCAUUGGAGAGCAGCCAAGAGGGUUAUGAGAUAUUUACAGAGAACAAAAGAGUACAUGCUUACAUAUAGGAGAUUGGAUCAGUUAGAGUUGAUUGGGUAUUCCGACUCCGACUUUGCUGGGUGCCAAGACAGCAGAAGAUCCACAUCAGGCUAUAUUUAUAUGUUGGCUGGUGGAGCAAUUUCAUGGAGGUUUGCCAAACAGACACUCGUAACUUCAUCCACCAUGGAAGCAGAGUUUGUAGCAUGUUAUGAGGCAUCCAAUCAAGGAAUAUGGCUACGAAAUUUUGUCACUGGGCUGCGUGUUCUGGAUGGCAUUUAAAGACCACUGAAGAUAUUUUGUGACAAUAAAUCAGCAGUUUUAUAUUCCAAUAACAACAGGAGUUCUACAAAAUCAAAAUACAUUGAUAUCAAGUUCCUAGUUGUAAAAGAAAAAGUACAGAGUGGACAGAUAUCCAUAGAGCAUAUUGGAACAAACUCCAUGAUAGCGGAUCCGCUUACAAAGGGAUUACCACCCAAGGUCUUUCAUGAGCACACUGCUCAUAUGGGUGUUGUCUCAUUUGAGGAUAUCCAAAUUUAGUGGGAGUUUGUAUUAUUCAUUGUAUAUUGCUCUAUGUUAUGUUUAGACUUUAUCUAUACAUUUGGAUUGUGUUCUGCAGAAAUAAAGUAUUCAUUUUAUUGCACUUUGUUAAAUUGUGCUAAAGAUUUGAUCUCAAUAAAGUUAAGUUGGACCAGUUGGAAAUAGGCAUGAAUAGAUCACAUUGCAUGUAAUUUCCAUGCUAUGCACUCAUGAUUGAUCUAUGUCAUUUAGUUGUGCAGAUAUAUGUGGCCAUUGAUUGGUCUAGUAACGAUUGAUGUAACAAAGGCCACCUUGAUCCUAUGUCAGUAUAGUUAAUGGACGAGAUUGUUCGGAUAUACCCUAAGGACAUGAUAGCAAAUUUUGAGCUCAUAAGGUUAAGCACAUUUAUGUGAUUACAUAUGCAUGUGGCCCAGUGGGAGAUUGUUAGAUUAAUUUUUGUAAUUAAUCUAUAAUUUGGGCCACACAUGUAAAUAAUUAAAAUGUGUGUGCUAUCAUUUAAUUAAGCCUAAAUAUAGUGAUCUAAUUAAUAAUUGAUUAAUUGGCUUAAGGGUAUAAUUGUCAUGAGAUUAUUGUGUAGAUACCAUUAGACAAUUAUUAUUUCUAUGAGGGGCAAAAAUAUAAUUGUGAUAAAAUUAAAACUGCCCUAGCGGUUUAUAAAUAGGGUUAUGGUCCCCAUUCUACGACUACGCAUUCCAAUUUCUGAAAAUCCUCUCAGAGAGAAAUUGACACAGAAUCUAGCGGCUAGAAUUGGAAGACCAUCUCAAAGGGUUUUCUUCCUAUAAAGUUUUCUUCUUCAAUGGAUUCAGGUAUGCUUCCGCUAUUAUUUUUCUACUCAUUGUUUUUAAUCAGGAGAUUCCAGUAUAUAUGAAAUUAGGGUAUUCACCUUGUUAAAUAUUCUAGUAUAUAUGAAAUUAGGGUAUUUACCUUGUUAACUAUUCCAGUAUAUAUGAAAUUAGGGUAUUCAUCUUGGUUGAUUUUAACAAGACUAUUCCAGUAUAUAUGAAAUUAGGGUAUUCAUCUUGGUUGAAUUUUAACAAGUCUUUGCUAAAAAACAAAUUAAAGAGUCUUAUUGAUAUGAAUGGUGGUGAUUUUUUUAUCCUCAACAACCAAUUUAGCACAAUGUGACACAAUGAAUAUGGAGGUCAAGAUCACCAUCAUUAUUCCAUACAUCAAGCUCAAAAGCCCCACAUGUGAACAAUGUGUGGACUAGACCUUUAGUUAGUCACUUAAAUUGACUUCUCUGAAGAUAUUGAAAUAAUAAUCAAAAUAAAGGAAAAAUUAUUUACAAAAAUACUUUCAAAUCCAACUUAAAUAAUUGAACUAGAAAGAGGGUACUUGCAUUGGCAUAGGCACCCAAAUAAAGGGCAAUUAAGUUCUAAUUUUAUCACUAAAGGGAUUAAUGAUAAAAUUUGUAGACAUAUUUUUUCAAUGAGUUUGUGGAACAAAGAAUGGUAAAAAUAAAAACUAUAUAUUAUUUUAUAAAAUAAUACAGAUUAUUAUGAUUAUUGAUGCUAUUUGGGUAGAGCAAAAUAUACAUAAUAUACAUUUUUAAUGGAUCAAAUUUACUUAUUUCAUGUGUCUAUGUGGUAAAAUAAUUCGGCAUACGCAAUUGACUCUAAUAGCUUUUUUCAACAACCAUGUGUGGAAUAAGUUGAAAAAAAUAAUAAUAAAAUUAUUAUUAUUUUUAGACAUUGAAGAAUUAUUAUUUUUUUUUUCAUCUCAUGAAAUGAUACAUUUAAUUUUUAUUUUUUUUCUUAAAUGAAAUUUCUCCUGGCAUUCAAAAAAAUAUGCUUCUCACUCUUUUUUCCUUAUAUUAGCAUACGUUUUUAAAUACAAUUUAUUAAGUUCUAAAAAAUUUUAAAAUAUUUUUAAAAUUUGAACAAAAAUGAAAAUCAAGUAUAAGGUUUUUAAAUGUUUUUUUUUAAGUAUUUUUAAAAGGGUUACUUAUCUAUCAAAUGUUUUACUAAAAAAUAUUAUAAAUGAUUUUUUAUAUUUUUAAAAUAUUUCAUAAAUUUUGCUAAACACUUUAAUUUUUUUUUUAAAUAUAUUUUUAGGAUAAAAAUGCUUCCUAAAAUCACUGUCAAAUAAACUCUAAGAGUGUGUUUUACAAUGUUUUUAUUCAAAAUAUUUUUAAUAGAAAUGUUUUUUAUAAUUGUGUUUUUAGAAUAAUCACUUGUAAAGAUUUCGUUUUCUUUUUAUAAUGAGUUUAGAAAUCAUUUUUUAAAAUAUGUUUGAUAAUGAUUUUAAAAAACGUUUCUACCUUUUAUAACACUUAAACAAUAAAAAAUUUUAAACGUUAAAAAUAUAGAAAUGUUUUAUAAAAUUAAUCAUUACAAAACAAACUAAUAGAAUACGUUUGACAGUAAUUUUAAAUAAUAUUUCUACUAUUUCUAAUUAUUGAAAGAUAAAAAUUUUCAUGUGUUAAAAAUGUUUUAAACAUUUUAUAAAAUUUCUAUCAAAUAUAUUCAUAAAAAGUUUUUUUCCAAGUAACUUUUUAAUACUAUAAAUCAUUUUUAAAUAUAUUUCUUAAAUUUUAUCAAAUAUUUAAUUAAAAAAAAAAAAAAAGGAAGCUUCUUAAAACAAGUGUCAAACCAGCUAUAAUAACGUCGUGGAAAAAAACACAUACAAUUACGACAUGCAUGUAUAAUUUACGUAAAAAUGACGUAAAAAAUGAAAAGAGAAAAUAGAAAAAGUGGGAGAAGGAUAAUGCAUCAUCAUUCGUAAUUGCUAAAUCAUGGUGUCGACGUGAACCCCUUUCUAUGGCUUCACAAGUCUACACCUUAUUCUAUCAUUUUCACUUCACUUUUUAAACUAUAUAAUUAUAAACUCGUUACACAUCCAUCUUCCCUUUGACUCACAUUUCUAGCCUGCCUCAUGCUUUUGUACUAGUGACGUCAUUCCGUGGGAGAUCCAGGCAUUAAAUGUUCAAUCAAAAUCCAAAGUACAAAUAUUUAAUUAUCAAAUUUAUGACCAUAUACUUUUUUGCAACAAUAAAUUCCCUGAAACAUAAUCUAUUUUGUUAAUUAUUUUCAAAUAUAAUUAAUUAUAAAUAAAAAGUAAAAAUUUAAUGAAAAUAUAGACAGAUACCUUUAUAUUUUUUUUUUCAUAUUUUUAUUUUAUAUUUGAAAAAAUAAAAAUAAAGAUGAUUUUCCAAAUUAGGGAGGAGACAGAAGAAUCCUUUUCCCAUUAAGGAAUAUGUUGAGAAUAAUAAUAAUUUAUUUAUUAUUUUGUCUUUUUUUCUUUCUCUUACAUUAAAAUGUGAUGUGACCAAUAGCUGUAGUGGGCCCACUGAAAUCGAGGUGCCUACCUCACCUAGGAUGCAUAGGCAUCAGAUUCACCAGAGACAAAUGAUUCAAACCUAUGGUCCAUGAUUGGCCGCGUGACCCCAAUUGUACGGCCACGAUAUCACUCCGCAUAACAGCAUCAUCACCACGCUUUGCUGACGUUAGCAAAUGACCUGGACCUCAAGCCAUCUCUCCACUCGGCCGGCCUUUUGACCUUCCAAUCAGAUCUCUUUUCCUCUAUAUAUACAUGCAAAUAUCUCUCCUUCUGCAAUCUACAAUCAAGUCGAAAACUGGUUUACAAAAAUGCCUGAAACACAGAUUUCCAAUGGGUUCAGUGAGCCUCGCCUUGUGGUGAGAAAAUUCUUGGCUAGGCCUCAGCAUGAAGGAGCUGGAGCCAUUGUCAGGAGAAGCAUAGGAAGGUAAGAAUUAAGAGAUAAAAAAUGGUUUCUGUUUGGAGAUUGGGGAAGUUUGAGUUGUUUGGUUAAAUGGGUGUUUUGAUUUUUUUCAGGUUUGAGCUGAAAUACUUCGAUCCUUUUCUUGUUUUGGAUGAAUUCUCAGGUGGGUUGCCCUGUUUUCCCCCGUUUUCUGAAUGAUAUUCAGUGGCUUGUGCUUGCUUUUGUUUGUUUCUUUGAUUACUGAGAGUUUUGAUUUCUUGGACUUCUGCAGUUUCUGCUCCUGCUGGGUUUCCUGAUCACCCCCACAGAGGUUUGUUUUUGGCACUUUCUCUCUCAACCUUGUCUUUUUCCUGAGAAAAUUUUACUCUGCAUAAUGAGAGACCGAAAUUGGGUUGAUUCUCAUUCCUCUGUUUUUCUUUUGUCUUUUUCUUUUCAGGUUUUGAGACAGUUACCUACAUGUUACAGGUACGUGCAGUUGGUGAUUCCUUUAUUUAUUAGAACUUAUUUCUCGGCAACCAAACAGAACAAAGAAAAAAAUGAUAAUAUUUUCCUUUUCACAUGUCUCAAUGAAAUAAUCCCCUUAGAGAUGAACAUGACAGUUGGCUGUGUUUGGUUUUUUCAUGCGACAAGAAACUUCCUACUUUAGUUUGUUGUUGAAUACUCUUCACCUAAGACUCUGAACCUCAAAAUAAAAUACCAUUAUUUAGUUAAAAAAAAAAAAUUAUUAAACAAAGACUUCUUCAACUGUCCCAAUCCAUGUAAUAUUUUUGAAGUUUUCAAACAGUGAGCCAUGCCAACUUGUCAAGUUUUUCCAGUGAUGAAUCCAUGGAACAGGGAAUACAUUUGAUCAUAAUUGAAAAAAAUAUAUACGUUUGUUUGAAUGGACAGGGAGCUGUUCAACAUGAAGAUUUUGAAGGGCACAAGGGGUCAAUAGAGGCAGGUGAUUUACAGUGGAUGACCGCAGGAAGAGGGAUCGUUCACUCAGAAAUGCCUGCAGCCACCGGUGUCCAAAAGGGUCUGCAGUUGUGGAUCAACCUCUCCUCCAAAAAUAAGAUGUGAGUAGAGUGCUCUUAAACGUAAUUUCAGAACUUUUCCCAUAAGAAUAUUCCUCAGUGAUGUAGAAUUUGACCUUGAUCACAGGAUCGAGCCGAGGUACCAAGAAAUAGAGAGUAAGAACAUCGCAGAAGCUACAAAAGACGGGAUCAAGGUGAGGGUCAUAGCAGGGGAGGCCUUGGGGAAAAAAUCACCAGUAUACACAAAGACCCCCACCAUGUAUCUGGACUUCACUCUGAGUCCAGGAGCUCAGCUGCAGCAGCCCAUACCCAUAAAAUGGAACGCGUUUGUGUAUGUCUUGGAAGGUGAAGGGGUGUUUGGGAACCCAAAAAAUCUUCCCACAACAGCCCACCACCUGCUCCUUCUAGGCUCAGGUGAUGGGCUGGAAGCAUGGAACAAGUCCCUGAAGCCCCUCAGAUUCGUUUUGGUUGGGGGUGAGCCCUUGGGGGAGCCUGUGGUGCAGUUAGGCCCCUUUGUGAUGAACACCCAGGAAGAGAUUGACAGAACAAUUGAGGAUUAUGAAAACUGCAUCAAUGGAUUUGAGAAGGCUAAAUACUGGAGGUCUGAAGUUCUUCGUUUCUAGUCUUAUGUGAUGUAUUAUUAUUCAUUGGUUGAUUCUCAAAGAGUUGUGGAAAAAUGGAGAUCACAAAUUUAUUAUCAACCUUUGGUUUAUCACUCUGAUGUAUGAAUGAAAUGGUGUUGAGUUGGAAAGCAGUUUCAUAAAAUAGACCAAAUUUGGUCAACUAAAUUGCCUGAAUCCUCACUAGACUUUUAUGUACUAUGCCCUUUUGCCCAAAAGGGGGUGUGUUUGACUUGAAAUUAAAUUUUAGGAAUGGUUUUUUGAAAUUACCCCAUGUUUGACUUGAAUUACCCUCUUGGAGAUGUUGUAUUAUUUUAAUAUUUUUUUAAAAAAUAAAUCAUUUUCAAGAAAUAUUUUUGCCAAAUAAAUAUGAAAAGGACAAAGAGUGUGUUAGAUGAUGGUAUUUGAGAAAUAAAGCUAAGGAUCAUAUUUUAAAAACUUCUAUAGGAAGUUAUAAAUGUCUAAUUCAUAAAAAUAAAAGUAAAUAUAAGUUCAAAUAAAUUAUUAAAAUUAUUUUGCCUCUAAAUGUUACUUUAUAUAUUAAGACGAAUUAUUUUUAUCCUCAAAACAUUGACACAUACUUUCUACAACAAGAUAAUAUUGUUUCCAAAUAUUUCAACUUACAUUUAGGUAUGAAGUAUUUAUGUACCGAAACAUCGAUAUAUAAUUUCGGUAACAAAAAAUUUUUAUCUCAAAAUUUUUUAGCUUAUAUUUGGAUACAACAUUAUUUCAUCUUAAAAGUUAAUACUGUUUAGGGUACAAAACAAUUUCAUCUCUUUGGAAGAUGAAAAUAAUGAAAAUUAUUCGUCCUUGGAUGAAAGAAUUUCCUCUCUAAAUAGUAAAUAUAAUAUUUUUGUUAUCUUUUAAAUGAAACUUAUAUAAAUUGUUAUGAUAUUCAACAUUUUCAAAUAAAGAUGCUAUUAUGUAAAUCAAACUUUUAAUAACCUAAAAAUAUAAUAAUUAUAUAAAUUAAGGAUGCAUCAAAAGCUUUGUUUCAUUAAUGUAAACCAUAUUUGAAACUAACAUUGUUCAAGUAUUAUUUGAGUAUUGUUCAAAAUAGAAAUGAAAAACAAAUAAUAGUAAUCCACGUCAUGAUGUCAACUUGAUGGUAGACAUGGUGAUAAGGAAGAUGAGUAAGAUUGAGGUGGUGGUUGAUAAGAAGAGUUGAUUUGUUGUAACAUGAAAUUCCUAAUCUAUAACUUCAACUCUUACAACUUGAUCGUUGUUGCAAUCUUGAACUAUAUAACCUUAUAAUCCGCUCUUACCACUCUUUUGUCUUUCUAACUCAAUAGUUAAGGGAAUGAGUGCCCUUUAAUAUGAAAAAUUGUCUAUUAUUUCUAAACAAAACAGAGAAAAUGAUGACCCAUAGUUAUUCUUGUAAUGAAGUGAUAAUAAAUAAAAAUAGGAAUUCAAAGAAUAUUGAAGAUUAUUGUCUUUGUUUUUCAAAGAUUAUCGUCUUUCACUAGUAUAGAUUAAAAUCCCUUAUUGAAGCCCUAAAAACCGAAAACCCCUUAUCAAGCCCUAGGUAUUGGUCUUUAUAAAGCUCCCUCCCAUCUCUUUUACAAGAAUUUUAAAUAAUUUGUUUAUUUAUUCCUUUAUUUUUAUAUUUCUCUAAACCAUCUCUUUCCAUAUUUCUCUUUAUAAAUACCUUUUAUUUUUAUUAUUAUUAUUAUUACAUAUUUUAAAUAAUUAAGCAAUUAAUUUUUUUAUAUAGAAUAUUCCUAUGUUUACACUUUUUUUUUCCAUAUUUUCUUCCAUUUAUAUUCACAAUUUUCCCUACUAUAUAUAUAUUUUUUUGUAAUGACUUCGAUUAUUACAAAGCAUCUAUCUUUUUCUAUAUUUGUGACCAACCAUUAAUGUCAUUAUAUGCACCACUAUCCUUCAAUUUGAUAUGCUAUCUUUUCCACCAUCCUUCAAUAGGAGUGUAAGUUGGGUGGAUUUCACGAACCAAACUCAAUGUCUAAAUAAGUUUGAGCAAUUAUUUUCAACAUUUGGAUUAGGCUUAGGUACUAUCCUUCAAUUUGGUAUGCUAUCUUUUUCACCAUCCUUCAAUAGGAGUGUAAGUUGGGUGGAUUUCAUGAACCAAACUCAAUGUUUGAAUAAGUUUUAGCAAUUAUUUUCAACAUUUGGAUUAGGCUUAGGUUAGAUUAUUUCAACCCGACAUCAACCCAAUUUGGACAAUCCAAGUCUAACUUGAACUCGAUUUAAUAUUUUGACAAUAUUUAUAAUGUAUAUUAUUUUAUAUAAUAAUAUCAAUUUUUAGUUUAGAUUUUUAAGAAAAAAUAUCAAAAUAUGUCAUAUUAUAUAUAUAUAUAUAUAUAUAUAUAUAUAUAUAUAUAUAUAUAAAUUUAUUUUUACAUUUUUGUUGUUAUCUUGAUUUUUUCUUUUCACCUUCCUCCCAUUUAAAUUUUUAUUUCUUCAUAUUGUGAUGGGUACAUGUAUGAUAUCUAAUAUUAUCCUAGCAAUAAGAUAACACAGUAAAAAAAUAAAAAUGUAGACCCAUCUUUUAGACCAAGGGACUUUUUUUUAAUUUCCAUUAUUUAUUGCAUUUUACGGGGCAUUAGCUUGGCUAAUUUAUUUUUUUUCCACCACUUGAUGACCACCGGAAGGUGAGUUGGGUAUUUUCAUUUUGGGGAGUGGGGGACGGCCUCUACGAGUGAGCAAGCUGCAUGGGACGCAUGACUAAGGACACUGCUACCUUGCCAUGGUGGUGGUUAAGAUGAAGACACUUUCUAAAUAGGGACCAGUGGAGUAGAGGGUAAGCAAUAGAGCUAGUGGAGGCCUGGACGAGAAGCAAGAACAAUGGGGUGAGUUGGGUGUCAAGAGAGCUAAAAAAAAAAACGGAGUGACUACCUGCUAUGAGGGGGUCUUAGAAGAGGAAAGGAACUAGAGUGUCAUGAGAAAGGGAUUCGAGAGAGAGAGAACUACAGGAAGGAAAAACUGGUUUUAAAAGGAGGAAAAAUAGGAGGGAGGGAGAAGUCAGGAAGAGAAUAACAUAGGUAUGAUUUCUAUAAACUGUCUAUUCUUUCGUUUUCAUACAGUUCCAUUAUGUUUUCUAUAUAUGCAGGGAUUUUAUUUUGAUGCUUGAAUAUGAGCAUUGGAAGCUUUUGCAUAUUCUUGUUGAAUCUGAGUUUGUUUGCAUGCAUUUUAUGCUUGAUUUUUAACCUAUUUCAUUGGUUCUGUUUUGGGAUUCCAUAUGAGAUGCUUGCAAUCAUGUCUUGAUUUUCGGUUGAAGUUCAUUUUGGCUCACUCCCCUGCAUCUAAGCCCGUUGAUUGAAACAUGAAACGUGGCUUUUACUGGUUCAUUUUGUUCCUAUCAUUUGUACUCUAUUUUUCUAUCUUUCUUUGUUUUUGGUACUCGUUCGUGGUGUGCAUCAAGUUUCACAUCUCUACCUAAGGGAGUAAGGAAUUGUCGAGACAAUAUUUUUCAGUCUGUGGGUGUAAAGGGUUAUAGUAUGCUCGUCAAAUUGUGAGAAUGCUCAAAAUGGGUCAUGGAUAUGGCUAGAAGUAUAUCUCAGCUCAUGAAUGUUGAGAGCAGUUAAGGUUCGUUUAGGUGAUAAGGCUUGAGAAGCUGAAAAAGGGACAAAGAUAUUAAUGGAAGGGAAGGUGAAAGAAUGUCACUGGAUUAUUUUAGCAUGCUAAGAAGGCUAUGAGAGCAUUUGACAGAUAUCUAGAUGUGAGGGUAGUAAUGCUUGUCAUGGCUAGGUGAUUUUAAGUAUGUAGCUAUUGGGCAUGUGGAUAAGGAAAUCCGAAUUCGGUAGCCUUUUCGGAGACUAUAUGAAAAUUUUCAAUGAACAUUCUGAGUUCAUUCAACGUCUGGGUGUAUUUGCUGAUAAAAACUCCUAGUUUUUGGUUCUCUUAAUGGCAUCUGAAUAAUCGACAAGAUUGAUGGGGUUUGUUGAUGGCAAAAUUCCCCUACUACAAUAGUAGUCACCAGCAACAGAAUCUCGAUCAACGCGUAGUAGUAAUUCCUCCUUCCUCCUGCCAAAAGAUGUCCGGAUGGGUUGUUCGAACACACCCUCCGAUGAUUAAGUUAGUCUUUUGGAAGUUGUUGGAAAAUAGAGUUUUCCUCUGGGAGUGUUGCUCCGUGAUUUUCGUCAAGGAUGCUUACCUUCCUGAGAGUCUCCUUAGAGUUUAUAUAUGAGUCAGAAAGUAUGGCCCCAUUGUGCUAGCGGGUCCCAUCGUCAUGAUUGCGGCUCAUAGGGUGGCAAAGCAAUCAUGACAUUUCUGGUGCCAGGUGGUGGCUGUCAAGAGGGUAUUCAGGCGGCUGAUGUCGCCUCAAUUAAUGACUUUAAAUAUCGGGGAUGCAUCAGGCACAUUAAGAAGAUUUGGGAAUAUGUUGUUGAGCGUAUCUUGCAUUAAAGAUGAGUGACAGUUCAGGAGACUUGGUCGUCAGUAUUAUCGGAGUUUGCUUUUUGAUUGUGGGCGGAAAUGGAUCCGGCGAAUCGCUAGUGUUUGACGAGCCAAGCUGUUCGGGGAAUCUGAAUUGUCGGCUGCAGAUGCACUCCGGGUAAGCGCUAUCAGAGGAUCCGGACAUGUCUGACCGGGAAAGUUGAAUCGCCCUUCUCUCCCAUCCGGCGUCAGACGCCGGAUGUGAAAUAUCCGAAGAAGGUGGAACGUCAGCCAGACAGAAUUUUUCCCCGGGUGGAAUAAGUUAUGUCGCGCGUCGCAAGGAGGACCGUCUGCGUGUGCAAGGGAGAGAGAGCCACAUGGCAUUUUUUAGGGAGGAUCCCACAAUGCCCCCUUUUAUAUCGCAUGUCUGGCCCGGUCAGAAAAGGCGAGAUAAAAAUGCUACCUUUACAAAAUUUCUCUUUCAUUGGUAGUAUUGCUUUAGAUUGGCUACAUUCCAAGGGCGGAGUAGAGGGGUUCCAUUUAAGGUUUGCAAAUGGUACGAUCCAUUUUCGUUGGCUUUUGAUACCACAUAAGGACCUUCCCAAUUGGCCUGAAAUUUUCCGACUCAUUUCUCAGCCGUGUUUUCAAAGAUUUUUCUAAGCACCAAUGACCCUUCCUUGAAAAUCCGAGGUCGCACCUUCCUGUUGUAAUAUGCAGCUACCUUUUGUUGAUAUGCGGCUAUCCAGAUGGAUGCUGUCUCUCUAGCCUCAUCCGCCCAAUCCAAGUGCCUUGCAAGCUCGUCAUCUUCAUUUCUUUGACCUGGACGGCAGUCCGGGCUGUAGGCAUACCCACUUCAGUUGGGAUGAUGGCAUCUGUUCCGUAUGAUGUUGGGACGUCAUUUGUUUUUAUUUUUGGCUCUGGCCAGCCGUACCACCGAACUGUGCCAGACAGGGACAUCACAGCCGGAAUGGGCCAGGAUCAGAGUGGCCUCCCCAAGAUUCGAACUUGGGUCUUGUAGGCCUUAAGGCUUAGGACGUUGCCCUCCUAGUACCAUCUGGGCUAGUAUUUUUGGCUCUGGCCAGCCGUACCACCGAACUGUGCCAGACGGGGGCAUCACAACCGAAAUGGGCCAGGACUAAAGUGGCCUUCCCAGGAUUCGAACUUGGGUCUGUAUGCCUUAAGGCUUAGGACGUUACCCUCCUGGUACCAUCUGGGCUAGUAUUUUUUGCUCUGGCCAGUCGUACCACCGAACUGUGCCAGACGGGGGCAUCACAGCCGGAAUGGGCCAGGACCAGAGUGGCCUUCCCAGGAUUCGAACUUGGGUCCUGUAGGCCUUAAGGCUUAGGACGUUGCCCUCCUAGUACCAUCUGGGCUACUGAAGUAUUCCAGGCAUGUCCGAGUGGGGCCAAGCAGAGAUAUCGCGAUUUUGUUAGAGCACCUUUUGAAGCUCGAAUCUUUCGGCUAGCGGUAGGAGGGUACUGACGUACAUGAAGCAUUCACCUCCCUCUAAUAUCUGGAUAGCUUCCAGUGGGUCUGCUGCCGGGGGAUCUUUGUCUUCCGGGUGCUGUAGCUGCUAUUGGUCAAAAGCAUUUGCUUCUUUGGGGGAGUGCUCGCGGUCGGCGUUGGGUCUGGCCUCGUGAGCGAUUUGAUAACAUUGCUGGGCAGCGGGCUGGCUUCCGUAAAGAUCAAUUUGCCCAUCUUAGGUGAUGAAGCUGACCAUUUGAUGGUAUGUGGAUGGAACGACUUUUAUUCUGUGCAACCACAUGCGUCCCAAGAUGGCAUUGAAAGGGGAUAAAUCCUCAACCACAGAAAAUAGAACGUUUAGAAUGACUGGCCCGGCUUGAACCAGCAGUGUUACAUCCCCAAGUGAGGUUGUGGAAGAACCAUUGAAUCUGGACAGGAUUCUUCAGGGAUUCUCCAGGCUGGAGGGUAUGAAACCCAUUUGUUUGAUGACCGCCACCUACAACAAGUCCGCGGAGCUACCUGGGUCAACCAGGAUUCUUUUCACAUCGAAGUCUCCAACCCUUAAUGUUAGGAUGAGAGCAUCUCGAUGUGGCUGCAGCACUCGGGUUGGAUCCAUAGCAGGGAAAACAAUGGUUCCGUCUAUGGGGUGGAUGCCCCCACUGGCUAAUCCCGGUUGAAUGGAGCUUACGUGCUCCCGAACCGUGGCUGCUCGCAAUGGUCUCUACCUUUUCCUUUUGGAGUUGUACUCGUCACCCAAGGGUCCUCCGUGUAUGUAGUUGAUUACUACCCUAAUAGGAGCCGCUGGGGCGCGUGGGCCUCGACCAUGGGAAGAUCCUUCACCUUUAGGCACUCUUCAGACGUACUGUUUCAAGUGUCCCCCUUUAGGAGAUCCUUCAUCAUGUAAUGGAGGCUUCUACACGUUUCAGUGGUGUGCCCAUGAUCUUUAUGGUAAUCACAUCUUUUGUUGCGGUCCCUUUCUAAGGGGUUCGAUCUUAUUGGUACUGGCCAUCUGAAGCCGGGCAGAUCGCGGAUUAUAGGAAGCAGUUUUUCGUAUGACUUGGUGAGAGGUGUUCGAAUGAGUGGCGGGCGCCGCUCAUCUUGCCCCAUGUUGGACAACCCAGGAUGGUUGGGUGCUUUGAAGCUUCUGGUGGCUUCGCUUCUCGCGGCUUGGCCAGCUACCAGGACCUGCUGUGUAGUGGCUCAGACGUCAUCCUCUAGCAUGGAGUAUUUAUUCGCACACCGGAAUAAAUUGUCCAUGGAUGUAGGAGGUUUUUUGGCGAGGGACUCAAAAAAGGGGGUCCUUGGGCAUAUGUUCCGUUUAAAAAUUUGAAGGACUGCAUCCAUGCUAUAUGAUUCUACUUGUAAGAUAGCUUGUCCGAAGCGCUUUACGAACUCUCUCAAAGAUUCAUUUUCUUGCAUUUUGAUGUUCUGUAAGGUGCUGAUAUUUUGCUUAUGCUUGGCUGAGCAUAAGUACUGCCCCACGAAGACCUCGGACAGAUCCCGGAGAUUGUCAAUCGAGUUCGCGGGCAGUCGGUGAAACCAUAAGAGAGCCUGGCCUUGUAGGCUUGCUGGGAAAACCUUGCAUAACAGCCUAUCAUUCCCUAUGUCUAGGGUCAUGAGUUGCCGAUAAUGCAUUAUGUGAUCGAAAGGAUCGUUAGAUCCAUCAUACAUGGAGAAUUUCGGGACGAUUAACCCUCGUGGGGGUUCAUAUUUAAUAAUGCGAGGACUGAAAGGCGUGGAGAGCAUGUCGUCCAGACGCCUUUUGAUAGAGCCCGGAGGGGUUGUGUACGAGGGAUCUUUACCAACCCCUACCACGGGUGGGCGGGCGGCAUGUCCCUGUAAAGUAGGCGAGCUUGAAGGCUCGAAGUGUGCCUCCAGUGAUAUGGUGGCAUGAGGCCUGUUUUUGUAGGGUGUUUGGGGUCCUAGACGUGUGCGCAUUGCGUUAGAUAUUUGGGGCCUUUUCUCACGUUGUCGCUUGGAUGAGACUCGAGUAGAGCCUGAACUUUCGUCUCGUCGGACAUGGUGAGCGUGCAUCGAGGUUUCAUUAGGCCAUGCCUCAUGCGCCCCGAGGGUUGGGCUCGCCUCUCGGAGGAAUGGGGCUUUCUGGUUGUGACAGGGAUCUUGCCUCCGCUGAUAGUGCUGAUGUUGGGAAGAGCCUUGGAUCCUCAAGACAUUGUUUUCUUCCCUAAGUUUCCUUGUUUCUUGGAGCAAAUUUGCAUCUUCCGUUCGUUUUCUCGUUGUCAUCUUUCCAUGUUGUCCCGCUACUCGAAGUAACCUUCGUCAUCUCUGGCGGAAGAACGACUCCUUGAGGGUGAAGUCAUCUUUACAGUUGGAAGGUAUAGGAUUUACCGAGAAGAAAAUGAUCUUCCCAUAGACAGCGCCAAUGUUGAUGGCAAAAUUCCCCUGCUACAAUAGUAGUCACCAGCAAUGGAAUCUCGAUCAACGCGUAGUAGUAAUUCCUCCUUCCUCCUGCAAAAAGAUGUCAGGAUGGGUUGUCCGGACACACUCUCCGAUGAUUAAGUUAGUCUUUUAGAAGUUGUUGGAAAAUAGAGUUUUCCUCUGGGAGUGUUGCUCUGUGAUUUUCGUCAAUGAUGCUUACCUUCCUGAAAGUCUCCUUAAAGUUUAUAUAUGAGUCGGAAAGUAUGGCCCCGCUGUGCUAGCGGGUCCCAUCGUCAUGAUUGCGGCUCAUAGGGUGGCAAAGCAAUCAUGACAUUUUUGGUGCCAGGUGGCGGUUGUCAGGAGGGUAUUCAAGCGGCGGAUGUCGCCUCAAUUUAUGACUUUAAAUAUCGGGGAUGCGUCAAGCACACUGAGAAGAUUUGGGAAUAUCUUGUUAAGCGUAUCUUGCAUUAAAGAUGAGUGACAGUUCAGGAGACUUGGGCAUGCAGCCCGCAUAAACCCCUUCCCAUUCUUUCCUAUGGGCAUGCAGCCCGCAUGCAUGGCCACCUUCUUCACCACUCGAUUCACUUGAAGAAAGUUUAAAUGACAAUUCUAGUUCAAACCAAUUCCAGCAUAUGUCUCUUCAUUAUGACAAUGGCAAUCAAAGUCAUGUUCCAACAGCAUGGUUAGUGUCUUUUCUAUACUUAGAGCUAUGGAUAUUCUCCAAGCUAAUUAGAUGUUUUGGCUCCUUUGAGCAAAAUCAUGUCUGCUUGUGAUCCUUUGAGAAGUCUGAAACUCGAAUACAUCGAAGAUCAUGAUGCUUCCCUAGCUCAUGUAAUUCUCGUGCCUCCUAUGCAAGCUAGAUUUGGCUUUUGCUCGGUUUGCAGUCACAAAGUGAAAGGAAGAACUUAGGUGGAAGCAAGACAUGUGGAUGGUCACGACUUUGAAGAAACUGAACUGAGCAAUCCAAACAAGGAUCAAGACUUUGAAUUUGGUGGUUCUGAAAACGAGGACAUUAUGGAGAAGUUUCAGCAACACACUGGAGUUCUACCCAUCAACCAAGAAAGACUUGGGACAUGCCUUGAGGAUGGGAAAGGGUUGUCCAUAUUUGAAACAGAUUUUGCCAUUCUCAUCCGAUAAUGUUAAGUCUCUCUCACCAAAGUUUCAACUCCCUUCGAGAGUUUACAACUUGAGGAAUGCCACCCCAUUAUCCAAUAUAGAGUUUCUAGUGAGCUGCAUCAAAGGUGCCACUUCGCAUGGCAUGUGACCUCUUCAACUUCAGAAUAUUGAAAGGACCAUGAUUUUUUUUUUUUUUCCAAAGUGUACUUGUUCUUUCACCCAACACUAGAAAGUCAAUAGCAACACCAUCACUACCAACAGUGUAGUCCCAAUUGCACCUUAGACCCCACCCUUGCAUGGCCAGCCACUCUCUAGUGCACCACCUAAAGGUCACUUGUCAUCUCUUUUAUCUUUCAUCCAUAUGUCAAAAUUUAAUUUUCAAAACUCCAAUUUUCAAGUUUAAUUUUCAAAACUUUAAUCUUCAAAACUUGAAUUUUCAAGUUCAAUUUUCAAAACUCCAAUUUCCAAAUAAUUUUUAAAACUCUAGUUUUUUUUCCAAAUUAAAAUCUUCAAAACUCCAAUUUUCAAAUUUAAUUUUCAAAACUUCAAUUUUCAAAUAAUUUUCAAAUAACAUUUUUAAUAUUUUUAAUACUUGAAUAAUAAAAAUUUUCUAGUGUUAACAAUACAUUAAUUUAAAAAUAAACGUCGUUUUUUGUUAAUAAAAUUUUUAAAAGAAAGUGUAAGAAAAAAAUAUAUAUAAGAGGAAAAAAAAAAUGGAACACAAAUCGAAAGGAUUCUAAAGUUAAUAUAUUAUUAUUAUAUGUAAUAUCAAACACAUUUUACUUAUAUUUUUUAUUCAUAAAAUUUUAAUUACCAAAUAUAAUUGACAAAGAUCACUUGUAUUUGUUGUAUUAAUGAAUUGAGGUAUAAAAAAAUGUAAUUAAUUAUUAAGAUUAAAAAAAAAAUGGUAAUCUUUCACAUGUACAAAGAUUGCAAAGAGAUUAAAGAAAAUGAUCAAAUAUAUACAAUAUGAUCAUAUAUAAAUAAUAUGAUCAUAAUAAAAUGAAAAGAAAAAAGUGAUUAAAUUAAAAUUAAGGUAUAAAACUUAGGUGGUGUUUUUUUUUUUUUUUACUUAAUUUUAAAUAAAACUUAAAACUAAAUAAUAGUUAAUAGUAUUAAGUAUUAAAUUGUUUGUUUUUGUAAUAUUUUAUUUCUAUUAAACAUUAAAAAAUGUUAUUUUUUAUAUUUAAAAAAGAAUUAAUUGGUUAAAAGAGAUGAAAUAAUCUCUAUAUUAGUGAGUUGGACCUCUCUUGUAUUUUUGUUUGAAGAGCAACUCAUUUUUGUCAUAUAUGCCCUUAAUUAUUUUAAGUAUUUACAUACGUAUUUUAAAAGAAAUUAUUAUUUUUACAAUGAAAAAAUGAGAGCAUUAAAAUGAGACCAAAAACUGAUGAAGGGUUAAAUUUCUAAAAUUUGGAUUUUGAAAGAUUUUUUUAAUCAAACAACCCUUUAGAAAAAACCAAAUAUUUUAAUUUUUUUCAUUCAUGUAAAAAUUUAUAAUAAAUCAAUGAAAAAAUAGAAAAACAAACAAUUUAAGUUUGAAAACAAAUUGUUUUUAGUAAAAAACUGAAAAAAAAACAGACACCUUGUUAUUCCAGAUUUUUAUUUUUUCAAAUAAAAAACAAUUGUAGCUCAACUUAUUCCACUGAAUUCUAAGAGUAAGGGAUUGCUUCUUAUUCAAAAAUAAAAAUAAUUUCAUACUUAAUAAAUUAAGACAUUAAGAAUACCAAAUAAUUUAACAUUUAAUAGAAUUAAGAUACUAAUAAAAACUAAAUUCUAUUUAAAUUACAAAUUCUACAAUUUUCAUUCAAAAGGAUAUGAAACCAUUUUAUGUUUCCGAACCUUGUAUCCAAAAAUUGAAUUCAAAUCUUUUCAUAUUCAAAUCUUUUCAUUUUUUUUUUUUAGUUUUAGUUUAGUUCAGUCGGAUGAUAUAACAAGUUUCUUUUAAUGGAAUAAAAUAGUAAAUAUCUGACAAAAAAAAAACAAACACAACCCAUAAUAGUUAGACUUUUUCUAUUAUCUUUUCAAAUUCUUCAAUUCCAUUUUUGAGCAAUUUUGUUAAAGGGAAAAUAAUAUUUUAUUUUAUGGGAGGAAAAAAAAAAAAAAUUUCUUAAUAUUCAGAGAAUGAAUAUGAUAUAUACAUAUAUAUUUUUUGUCAUCUUAUUUUUCUCACCCAUAAAAAAGGUGUUUACUAGAAAUGGUUAAUAUUUCAGAAAAACAGAAAAAAAAAAAAAAAAAAAAAAAAAAAAAAAAAAAAAAACUUUUACAUAUUUUUUAUUGUCAUAACAUAGCUAAUCUUGAUUCGUAACAGGGAUCAGGGUGGAGUUGCAAAAACGAUACGUACAAGGGGAGGUCACGUAUCUAGCCACGCGUCAUGACGCCAUUCGGUAGACUUAGGAGAAGACUCAAGGCUCUCCAUCAACCUUCACCCAGUCAUCUCAGAGACAAAGGGAAAACAAAAUCUAGAUAGAGAGAGAGAGAGUGAGCAUGAACAGAAAGAAGCUCAAGAUCCUGCUCUCUCUCUUCGCUUUCAACUCCAUCUAUCUCUACUUCUUCUCCUCCUCCGACCACCACCUCUUCAUCCACCAUAAACUCCUCCCCGGAAACCACAAGGCGUCCCCGGCGAACCCCAAAACUCCGCCGGGAAAACACCCUCAUUUCCCUAUCACCCCCCGCGCCAAGCCAUGGCCAAUUCUCCCGUCUUACCUUCCGUGGUCGCUGAACCCCACCGUGGCUCUUCGUUCCUGCGAGGGUUACUUCGGGAACGGCUUCACGCGCCGAAUCGGCCUUCGACGUUCUUCGGUGGAAAGGGAAUCGGGGAUCUCCGGCGGGGGCGGGUGGUUCAGGUGCUGGCACAGCGGGACGUUGCAGAGUUCGGUGUGUGAGGGAGGGAGGGUGAGGAUGACGCCGGAGAGGAUUCAGAUGUCGAUCGGAGGGGAGAGGUUGGAGAAUGUGAUUGGGAGGAAGGAGGAGGAGGAGUUGCCGGAGUUUGAGGCCGGAGCCUUUGAGGUUGAUGCUGGGGAACGGUUUGGCGAUCAGAGGAAGCUUGUGGAUGAAGAGUUUCUGAAUCGAUUUGUGCCGCAGGGUGCGAUUUCACGGCAUACUAUGCGUGGCUUGCUUGAUUCGAUUCGAUUGGUUGGAUCCAGUGAGUUCAAGUGCGAUCAGGUAUUAAAUUUUAUUGAUCAAUCUGCUAAUUAUUGGGAAUUUUCUGGUUUUAGAAGUGUUGAAUUUAUUACUUCUUUAAAUAUGGAUUAAAGUUCGGUUUUUUAAAUAGUAUAUUGGAGUAAAUGUCAUUUUAAUGGCUUGAAAUUUCCAUUUUUAUACUUCUGAAUCUGCUUAUUACUGGAAAUUCCUUUGUUUUUAUCGUCUUUUCAUUCUUCACGGGGCAUUUCAUGCAUGCCGUGCCAAGGGUUUCCGAAAUUCACAGUUGACUUGGCAGGCAUCUGACUCCACGAUGGGGGAGCUGACUUAAAUUUGCGAAAUCAAAUAAUUUCAAAAUGAAAAAAAAAAAAGGUGGGGGGCGGAAGAUGUAGAUUGGUUAUAUCCCAAAAAUUUCAGGAGGAUCUGAUACAAUUUCAUGGAUGAAAAAGUUAAUGAGUUAUUCAAAACCGUAAAUUGUUUGGAGUAGAAUCUGUAACUGAGAAAUGAACAAGGGUUCUGAUUAGUUCACUUUUCAUAGUUGAUUCCCAUCCCAUCCUAGGUGUGGUUGCUGAAGGCACCUUCAAUGAAGGUUGGAAUAUGGAGUCCAAACGCAUGGCAUAUUCUCUUUCAGAUUGAUUGUAUACCACACAAUAUGACAAGGGAAAAUUAUUCUGCGAUUGGGAUUCAAAGCAUAUUGUAUGUGCAGAAGCUUUUGGGAAAUUUUGGUUAAGAAUCCAGAAAUAAAAGGUAGAGGAAAACAGGACAUAAAACUAAACCUAAAUCAUCACAAAUGACAUACAUGCUAUGAAUGUUCCCAUUGAGACCAAGGUUAAAUAGUGGUUGGUUGACUGAGAUUCUGUUUGAUUACAGUGUUAGAUUUGACUUGGAAUUCCAAUUCUGGGAACUAUUUUUGUGGAGUUGGGAUCUUUGGAAUUUUAUUCUAUUCCAAUGCAACAAAUCAAUUGAAUUGGAUAUAGGACCUCUUUCAAUUCCAUGAUACAAGUUCAUGCUACCAAAAAAAAAAAAAACCAUAUGUGAGUGGAUCAAAGCUUUUACACAUUAAUUCUAUCCUACUCUUGAUAUUUUAGAUUGUUUUGAAUGAGUUUUUUGGUUUGCAUGUAACAGUUGACACCAUUUUUACUUUCACAAAGUUAAAAAAAUUCCAGUAGACAACUUUAUCAUGGAGUGCAGCCCCAUGAUCAUUCUUGUUAUAGUAAUUAUUUAUCAUUGCUAACGUGAUUGCUGCUCUAAUAUAUUUUUGCUCCAUUUUUGUGUUCCUGACAUUAAAGCCUCUACUUUCAGUGGAUCGAGGAACCAACACUUCUAGUCACACGCUUUGAGUAUGCAAACCUUUUUCACACAUUUACAGAUUGGUACAGUGCAUAUGUUGCUUCUAGAGUGACAGGCUUACCCAAUCGACCUCAUUUGGUUUUUAUAGAUGGCCACUGUAGGGUAUGUAUACCAAAUUUCCCUUUGUUUAUUUCUUUUGUAGGCUUUUGUUAUCAUGUUCAUCGACUAAGCUGCAAAAAUGUGUUGAUCAGUUUUUGAUACCAUAAAUAACUAUUCAGUCCUGCUGUGUGAUUAUUUCACAUGUUGUUAAAUAAGAAACUGAAGGACAAGGAGGCAUGGGCACCUUAAGAGGUGGAAAUAGAGAACAUCAGGAACUUUAGGGGAAGAGGAUGAUGGAGAUGUUGACCAAUAAAGGAAAAAAAUAUUAUGAGAUUCCAUUAAAUGAACUUUUGAGUGAAAAUCUUGUGUCAUUAUUACAGUUUCUAUCAGUUGUUUGAGUAACUGAGAGUUCAGGCUAUCCAAACAAGAGCUGAUCUAAACUCUCGAGAGUGUGGUAAAAAUUGUUUUUAAGUAAAUACAAUUAUAGAAAUUUGAUCCCCAUCAAAAUUUUAGCUUUCUGAGGUACCAGAAUUUCUUUUUGGCCUCUUGAAAAGACCUUAGAAAGCUCUCAUUUAUUCAUUGAAAGAAGCAUGAUGCACACAUGAUAGAUUUAAAAUUAAUUUAUCAAAGAUAUAUUUUUCAUCCACUGUGUUUUAAAUGUCUUUUCAUUUGGCAUUUGUAUGAGUCCAUUUAUUUUUCUUAAAUCUGGCUAAAAUUAGGUUAAUUAGAAUUUCAGUAAGUGUUCAUGCUUCUAUUCUGCUUUGAUGAUUGUGAUACUUCUUAUCGGUAUACCAACUUGUGUGUUCAAUUUUGGUGCAAAUGCAAAGAGUUUAUUAUUUCAUAUAAAGUUCGACACCUCGUGAAUGAUUGGCUCCUGCCUUCAUAAUAUGUGAUGUCUAAGAACCUGUAAACCAGCAACCAAUGAAAAAUGCCACCCGAACAUGGACUUUAGAAGUUAAUUCAAGAUUUUUUAUUUUUUUUUUUGUCCUUUCUUUUCCUUUCUUUUGAAGCUUAAAAAGCUGAUGCACAGUAAGUUGCUGCUGUAUACGAUACACAUUUGGAGGUCCAAUUAAGUUUCUAUAAGAGAGAGAGAUAAAAUAUACCAAGCUUGGACAUUCAAUUAUUCUGUUAUUAUUUUAUUUGUUUAUAUUUUGGUGAACUUGUCCCAUUCAAUAUAUUCUGCUUGUUUUGUUGUGAAGCCAUAUUGAACACUAGCCAGCCCUUGUAAAUACUGCUUUACCUAAUCCCUCUGGCAACAAUUUUCAGGCACCUUUAGAAGAAACAUGGAAAGCGCUGUUUUCAAGUCUUAAAUACGCUAAAAACUUUAGUGGUUCAGUUUGUUUUCGUCAUGCAGUUCUCGUGCCUUUGGGAUAUGAGACUGCUUUAUUUAAGGGGCUGUCUGAAAAUAUAAAUUGUCAUGGAGCAUUUGCACAUGAUCUGUGGCAAAACCCUGAUGACCUGAAAACUGCACGAUUAUCUGAGUUUGGAGAAAUGAUAAGAGCAGCUUUUGGGUUUCCAGUUGGAAGACACCGUGUUCUGAAGCCUGCCUCUGGUCACAAUAUCCUCUUUGUUAGGCGAGAAGAUUAUGUAGCUCACCCACGUCAUGGUGGUAAGGUUGAAUCAAGACUUAGCAAUGAACAGGAGGUGUUUGAUUCUCUAAAGAACUGGGCAUCUAAUUAUUUGGAAUGCAAAAUAAACCUUGUCGAUGGAUUAUUUGCUCACAUGCCAAUGAAAGAGCAAGUUCGAGCCAUCCAAGAUGCUUCAGUCAUCAUUGGUGCUCAUGGGGCAGGUCUAACUCACAUAAUAUCUGCAAGACCAAAAACGGUGAUCCUUGAAAUUAUUAGCAGCCUAUACAGGCGCCCGCAUUUUGCAUUGAUUUCCCAGUGGAAAGGCUUGGAGUAUCAUGCCAUUAAUCUUGAUGGAUCAUAUGCUGAUCCUAGAGUGGUUAUUGAUCAGCUUAACAGCAUAGUGAAAAGCCUUGGAUGCUGAAAAUUUUAUGGUUUCUUCAGGAAAUGGAUUCAUCCCUCUUUGCUGGGAAGUACAAGGACAAAGAGAAGUCCACCCCAUGUUUUGUAUCUCAGUUUUUGAAGUCUAUUGUUUGGCGUGCCAUAUUCUCUUUUUGUACAGUUUUGGCUUUUCCCACUGCUGCCAUUCUGCAGUGUUCAAAUGGAUAUUUCAUUGAAGAAAAGAAACUAUAGUUUCUUUAAUGGGGAUUUUUAUCAUUCCAAGGGUUUGCUCCAACUGAUGAUCCAUUGAAGACGGGUUGCCAAAACAUAGGGGCCUUGGCUGCUCUUUUUGCAGCACAUCUCUAGCAAUUCAGUGGAAGAUUUUCAGGGAAAGGUGGAUAGAAUAAUUACUUCGGAAUUAUUUGGUGUCCAUAGAGAGAAUGCCUGAUAUGCUGUCUUUGCACCUUUCAUAUUGUUCAUUUCAAGUAUUUAGUGUCUCUAGGAGGGGGAUGUAGGCUACCUUUUGAUUUUGCUUGGAAGCCAAUUCUUUAUUUAUUUACACAACCACCUUCUUGUACAAUAGACUGAUUCACCAGUUGAUUUCAAUUUGGUGGGAUUCUAUUCAAUACAGAUCAGAGAGACUUCUUGUAAAUUCUUUUAAAUCACAGUGAAAAAUGCUCAAAUUUGGCUCAGCUAAGCCUUAUCCCCCAACUGAAGCUUUAACACUGUUUUCUUCCUUUUCCUCCUGCCUGAGCUGAGUCAUGGAAAGAAUUUAAAUCCGGUUGCAAGAUUGGGAAAUGGAAGUGGGAAAUUUGGCAACUCUGGCCAAGAAAUAUAUCUGGCACAUGAAAUGGGUAAACAAUCUGUAAUCUAAGAGUCAAAAAAUGGAAAUGUGAUGUUGGAUUAAAAGAAGCAUAAACAUGAUUAGAAAUUUUGGCAUAACAAAUAGAAAGUAUUAAAAUGGUUAUGUGGGAAAUCAAACUGGAAAUUUUUAAGGAAAGAAUUUAAAAAUCAUAAGAAAUAAUGUUUGUAAACCAUUAUAGGAAUAUCAAAAGAUUAAAAGAGAAUGAGAACUAUGGGAGAUAUUUCCACAUUGAUUAUCUUAGGACUUUCCAGAGUGUUUCUUAUGUUUUGGCAUUUACCUGUUUCCAAAUGUUGUCCUGAAAUUUCGCAGAUGUUUCCAAUUUUGAUGCUUCCCUGAAAUUUCCGGUUAUACUCUUGAAGCCUUAGAAAUUCCACUACUCCUUGAGAAAAUGUAUCCUACCAAGACUAGGAUUAAUAGUAACUAGGUUUGCAACUUUGGGUUAAGUUAGUACUCAUUGAAGAUGUGAAACUUUGCAUGGUACCUGCAUGGGGCUUGUAGUUAGUGAUGGUGUUUUCCUUCUUUUUCUUGCUGGCUGGCGAUGGGUGGAAUCUUGUGAUUAAUUCUGAUGAAAUGACAGUCUUCUAUGGGUUAAAUAUUGUUUGUCAAUGUUUGGUGAAAUAGCCUCUGUCUUGACCCCUGGUAGCUCUUUUUAAUGGACUCAUUCUGGAAUUAUAUCAAAUGCUACACACUUCCUGCAGAAGACUGCUGGGAGCAAGCCCAAAUUCUGGCACUGAAGCUGUGAGACGUGGCACUUCCUUAGAGACCAUACAUGGGCAUUGCUAAUGUUGAUCUCUAAAUGUGAUCAGAUCACGAGUCAACACCCAUUUACCCUGAAGAUUCCUCUCAUUCUUUCCCAGUCUCUAUAACUUGAAUAAGUAACUGCUUCCAUCCACCCUCCACACCUCAUCCAGGUUAUCAACAUGGGAUUUAUGGGGCUAUCCACACCACUGCAGUGCAGUCCUCCCAUCAUCCUCCAUUUUUGCCUCUUCUCUCAUCUCAUGGCAAAUCCCUGACACCAUUUGAAAGUGAAUUGCAGGCUUGAGUAAAACUGAGGACUUCCUCAAUUUUGAAACAUCGGAGCUUCUGGAAUGCUGGGAAGAAGCUCCAUUGGGUUCCAAGCUCUGACAAACAGAUGAAGGGGUUGGUUACAAGGGCAGAGGCUAACAAAUAUGGGGGUGGUAACUGGAAAUGGCAUGUUAUUUUAAAAUCUGGAAGGGUAGUUUUUUACACAGCACCAUUGAAAGUUGGCACCAAGGAAAAAAGGAUUCAUAAGGUGACAUAAAGAAGGCAGCUGGCAAUGAUUGUUUUAUUUCUCAACUGUCUUUUUGUUUAUAUUUUUAACAUUUGUUUUAAAUUUUUCCAAAUGGUCAGUAGCUGAACUGGAAUCACAAUCAUAAUAUUUUAUGGAAAGGAUAUUUAUAGAGAUGGGCAAAGAUAAAGUUUAUUAUGUUGACACAAAGAGAAAACUAAUACAGUAAUGCUUGAUUUGCUCAUGCAUUGUUCCUAAUUUUCUAAUCCACAAGGAAUGGGUUUCCAUGAUGUGGCCAAUAAAAUAUGACACCUGGCUAAAAAGUCUCAUUUUCUUACCUGGCCUAUGUCCCAAAUAUUUCCCUUUUUAGAUCUUUUUCCUUUUUUAAAAGAAUCAUGGCUAAAUUUAUUUAUAUCUAAAUUUUAUCUCUUUAGAUAUUUUUGGUUGUAGAAAAUGCUUGCUAAAAGAAAAAAAAAAUAGCGGAAUCAAAGGCAAAUAAAGCAACUUAAUUAUAAGACAAAUGUGUCUUUUUCCACAUUUAAGUGCAUGACAAGUUCAGAGUUUGUUUUUAUUUCUUUUUUCAUCUUUCGGUUUUUUUGAGAUUUAUGCGAAAUCUUACCAUAUAUAUAUAUAUAUAGAUAAAACCUAAUCACAUAUGCAAGUGGUUUACAUCCACAAUUCAUCCUUAUUAAAUAAUUUUUCCUAAUUAAUUAAUUUAUUUAUUUUUAAUGAAUAUUCUAUAUAAUUUUCUUUAAUUUAAGAAGUGAUUACUAGCACUAAGCUAUGUUUGGUUCUCAUAAAAUUUGAAGGAAAAUGUAAAGGAAAGAAAAUAUAAAGGAAAAAUGGAAGAAAAGAAAAAGUGAAGGAAAAUAAUAAAAUAGAUUAAAAGUUGAUAAAUUAUUUUUUUUUUGUUAUUUCAAACUCAUUUUAUUUAUUUUAAUUUAUCAAUAUAAAGAUUAAAUAAUUUUUAAAUAUAUAAGUUUUUAAUUAGUUUUAAUUAUAUUUAAUUUUCUUUGAUAUUUUAUAUAAGGCAAUUAAACAUGAAAAAAUUAUUUUCUUUUGCAUUUUUUUUUUCUUAGUAUUUUCCGGGAACUAAACAUAACCUAAAGUUUAAUACGAUUUAUUCAUACAACUUGAAUCCGACAUAUUUAUUUAUAGGUUUGAGUUAGGUAUAAUCGUAUUUAGAUUAAUUAUUAUUUGUAAUUAGAUUAAUACGAUUUGAACCUGAGUUUAUAUUUUUAACAUGAUUAUUAUACCAUAUUUAUUGAAGAGUACGAGUUUUGAGACAUGGGAAACCCUUUUCCCUGUAUGUAUAUAUAUAUAUUGAAACAUAAAGAGUUUCCUUGUGAAGUUGGCAAGUGCUGGCUUGAAAGAUACAAAGGUGUAUUUAAAAAUACUCGCGGGAAAGCGCAUUAUUCACUCCCUGCGCUAAAACGACGUCAUUCUGAUGGGAUCCCACUCACGUCGCACAAUAAAACGACGUCAUUUUUGGUCCCAGGAAAAAAGAAAAGAAAAAAGAAAAGGCAGGCAAAUAUCGAACCAGCUACGUGUAUAUGGCAACGUUACUAGUCCCUCGAUUUUCCCGAGAAACAAACAGCUCUCCAAACAUCAUAUCCCAUACCCUUACAGAGAAAAGGCCACACAAGCAAACACAGAUAGAGAAUUCUGAGAGUUUUCCCGGAAAAUCGCGCUCUUCGUCCCAGGACCACCCAACAGCACAAUGAAAGCACUCUUCAAGACCAAGCCUCGAACUCCGGCAUACCUCGUCCGCCAAACUCGCGACCUUCUGAUAUACCUCAGCGGCUGCAGCGACCGUGACACCAAGCGCGAACUGAAGGUUCGGUCUAAUUUAUGGCUUGUGUGAAGUUCGAUUUUGGUUUGAGACUGAACUAGUGUUGAAUGAUGUGUUUUUGAGCACAUUUCUGUGGUUAAAUUCGUCUGAUUCAUUUGGAAAAGGAUAAGCUUGGAAAUGAUUUUGAUAAUUGUACUAGAGUUCAUGAGUUUCUUCUCACAUUUCCUUCGGUUCUUGAGAAAAGAAGAAAAUUUUGAAUCUUAUAAGAUGUACCUAGGGUGGCAAAUUGAUCAAACUUGGUGUCAUUGCAACAAGAUCUGAGUUUGAUCAAGCUCCACUCGGAAUGGCCACUGAUUAAGUUUUUUGGUUAUGUGAUCGGUUGAGUUGGGCUUGAUUGAGUUAUGCAAGCAUAAGAGUUGGAUGCUAUUGUAAUUGAAUCUCAUAAAUUGGAUUCAGAUGUGGAAAGUUGGACCUUAGUAGUCUUGUGACCAAUUUCUUGAUGGGGUCAAAAUUGGAUCAUGAUCCAACCGGUUACCAGUGUUCUAUAACAGAUUGUAGUUCAAGGAAGAGAAGUUUUUACUUGUGUUUUUGUGGUUCAAGGGAGCAUAAGAUAUGUUUGGGAUCUGUUCUCAAGAACAAUUUUUUAUCACUGGUUACCAAAACAUGUUUUCGAGAAUUGUUAUGAAAAUAUGAUAUUUCUCUGAUAACAUGUUUAAUUAUUUUCAGAUGCUGUUUCUUGUUUUUUUUAAUGCAAUUUUUAAAAAAUAUGGAGAAUGAUUGAAAAUAAAGCAUUAUAAAUAAAAGUUACUUUUAAGAAAUAUGUGAAAACACAAAAAUAAGAUGAGAAUACUCAUGGUUCUUAAACAGACUUUUGUUCUAGAAAACAUUAUAAAACUAUUUUUGAUAACUAUUCUCAAAAACUAUUUUCGAAAAUGUUCCCGAACAGGUUCUAAACUUUUGGUCUUUUUCUGGAUGUAAAAUAGUGGUGGAUGAAGUAGAUGUUGGGUAAUUGUUCUUUAUCUUUUAUAUUUCUAAUUUUAACCAAGUAGUAAGAUUGUAGGGAUAAUAGCUCACUUUAUGCUCUGUGGGCUGUGGCAAGAUGAUUAUAGUUCUGAUAGAUAUAAAGUGUAUGUUUUACUUUUGGCAUGAACCUGGAAUUUUUUUUUUUAUCACCCUUUUUUAAGUUGACAAUUUCCCAUGUAUUUAUGCAUGGACAUGUAAGAAGCAAUGCAACCUCAUGAAUUGUUUAUCCACUCUGCUGCAUAUUUUCAGUUAGUUUUUGUUUUGUUCUGUUGUAAUUGAUGUGAAAACUUGUUUUCAGAUGGCAGAAUUGAGUAAGCUCAUCUGGGAGUUAAAGUUGAUUCUCUAUGGUAGUGGUGAAAAUGAACCUGUUGCUGAAGCUUGUGCAGAAUUGACCCAGGAGUUUUUCAAAGAGAACACACUUCGUCUCCUCAUUAUCUUUCUUCGAAAAAUGAACUUGGAGGUGAGGAUGCUAAACAUUAAUAUCUUGUAUAUUAAUCAUGUCGCAUGAUAAACUUGAAUUAGUUUCAUAUUUAUUUUUCUGGUUUUGCUUCAUGUAUAAAUGCAUAAUAUGCAGAUAUUGGAUUGCUCAUCCUUUUACCACAUUCUGUACUUUUAUUUUCCUGGAUUGCUAAUAAUGAAGAAGAAAAAUUUUAAUAGGCUCGUAGGGAUGCCACCCAAGUGGUUGCAAAUUUGCAGAGGCAACAGGUUAAAUCACGACUCAUUGCUUCUGAUUACUUGGAAGCAAACUUAGAUCUUAUG